AACGUGGACAUUUUGAAUAGGCAAUAUUUGGAUCACAAUUCAGAGGGCAAGCUUUUGGGCCUUCCUUGGGGUCAAACUCUCCUUCACAAACAAAAGUCCCGUCAGCACUGUAGUAGUUACAACCCUUAUAACCUGAACAACAAUUGGUGCAUAUGGAUUCUUCUGCACUUUCUUCUGAACGUGGACAUAUCCCAUACGCAAAAUUACCACAAUUCUAGGGACAAGGUUUGGCAUCAACAUGUAGGAGAAAUAUUCCUACAAUAAAUAUAAGCUAUAUAUAAAUAUUAAGGAAAAACAUAACAUCACUUGUGUGUAUCACUACUACAAAAUCAAUACUUUCCUACUAAAAUUUCCCGCUGCAAAAUGUACUAGUGCUUAAAAUUAGGGAGCAUCUUAGUGUUUCAAUAAGAAUCUGUUUUUCACCAUAAGUUUUUUAGUAAUUCAAUAACGUGAAAAAUGGAUGGAAAAAUUAAAUAGAAAAAGGAGAAAGGAAAAAUCUUACCAAGAACAAGUAGGUAAGCAAGGAAACUAACUUCUUUGUGAACAGCCAUAUUAUGAAUUGAUGGUGAUUAUUUACCUUAGCUUGUUUUUGUUAUGGGUGAGGAAGUCUACCCGUCACCACCUAUUUAUAGCAAACAAAUAAAAGAUGUGGCUAACUAAAACUUUUAUUUCACAUUAAUAUAAGAUUGGAAAUCCGAAAUUAGGUACUUACGCUUGGUUCUUUACCUAUUUUUUUUUCUUUUUGGAAAAAUUACACAAUACAAUAAUUUAUUUUUACUAAACUAGAUAAAAUUUCUAUCCUUUUUAUUAAUUACAUAAACCCUUUUUUUCUUAAAAUAGUCGGAUACAUCCUCAAACUCAUAAAUUUUUGGAAUCAUAGUUUUAAUUAUAUAUCUCGAUCAAAUAGUUUCACAAGUACAUGUAUCUCAGCAAUUAAAAUUAUGUAUUCACAAAUCGUAAAAUAAAAAAUUAUUUAUAAUUUAGUAAAUAGUAGAGACUUGAAGUAAUUAGGGAGGAUAAACUUAUUCGAAUUUAUGUAAAUUUUACAUUUUUUUUUCCUAAUAGUUAUAUUCUUUCUCUAUCAAUUAAUCAAACUGCACUGACCCCGCCGUACUUGUUUUUGAAAUAUUUGUCAUCUAACAAUAAGUUUUUUCUUCACAUGAUAAAUUGGUAGCCAGUUGCACAUAUAUCGCUCUAAUUUUAGUGGAUAGAAUUACUUUUGCAAUCGAUAUUAUGUGAAUUAAACUGAUGGCCCAAUCAGAAAUACUUGCAGCCUAAACUGUACCAUCCGAAAUGAAGAGGAUUGAGAGUGAUCCAAACUACUUUCUCCGUUUAAAAAAGAAUAAUUUAUUUAUUUUAUUUUAUUUUUUAGAAAAUAAUUUUUUUUAAUAAUUUUUUAAUUUUAAUUUUUCAUAUGACAUAUUUAAAACUAAAAAAUUAAAAAAUAUUUUGAUAUAUUUAACAUAUCUUUAAUCUAAAAUUAUAAAAUCUAUGAAUCUUUUUUAUUUUUUAAAAUUUCGUAUUAAGUUAAAAUAAAUCAUUCCUUUUUAGAGAAAGGGAGUAAAAAAUAAAAAGAAAAUCUCUUUCCUACGGAAUAUUGUAUCAAGUUGAAGGAUAAUAAUGGCCAGUGUUGCUGACACAACUAAAACGUGCCGACGAUGUAUGGUGAUUGAUUGUUACUUCCUCUUUAAUUAGUUUAGAUUAAUUUAGUAUUUUAAAUUAUAAUUUUAAUAUUUAAAAAUUAUAUAAAUAGUAUUAUAAAUUACAUUUUUAUUAAUUUGAUUAAAAUAUAUUUUAAAAUAUUAAUUAAAAUUUAUAUUAUUUAACUCCGCAAAAGAAAAGAGUUAUGGUGAAUGAUAGUCUACUGUUAUGAUGUUGAUGUUGAUGUUGGUUAUGAAUUCAAGGAGUUAUUUCUUGUCAGUUUCCUUCCAUCGAGCCUGCGGGUAUUUGUACCCGAAAAAUAUAGUUGCGUGCCUAGAGCUUGUGUCAUGUUUUCACGAUAUUCGCAGUCAAGCCAUGUUCAGUAGAAUUUAGUCAGUCAUGUGACUCAGAAAAUCUCAGUAAUCUCAUGAACUCAGUAGUUAAUUAGAAUUCAGUAAUAUUCUGCCAGUCAACGAAACGCAGUGAUCUCAGUCCAGUUCAGUUUAGUAAUCCAUGUUCAAUGUCUAUUCAGAUGGGAGUAGAAAUUAGCACCGAGCGAACCUAAGGAUGGGAACUCACCUGCCAGUUUAGGGUGUGAUUCUUAGAAGUAAUCCUUGUGUUUCAGAACUACGUAGCCAGCGUAAGUUGAGACAUCUAACAUGUCAGUUUAGGGUUGAUGAGGUGGCUUAACCUGUCAGCUUAGAGUUUCCACCGUUCUCAUUUUGAGUACCUGCCAGUAUAGGGUCAUCACAGCUUGUCCUUACCAGUGGGGCGGUAUUGACACCCUUCCAAUCAGGGCAGAGAUUGGACCCCAACUUAGCCUUAUUGCUUAUUUGGGGCAUGUCGGUUAAAUGACUACUUCCCACAGUUUUAGUUACAGAUUUUAGGACUGUCAGAUACAGUCACUCAGUCUCAGUAAAAGGACUAAGAUAGUUCUUUAGAUUUCAGGACUGUCAGAUACAGUCACAACUCAGAUAGUUCCAUCAGAUUCAGGAUUGUCAGAUACAAUCACUCAUGUUAUCAGUACUCAGUUUCAGGACUGUCAGAUACAGUCAAUCAGACCAGUUCGUCAUAAUCAGAACUGUCAGAAACAAUCAUUCCUAUAUCAGUAAUAUAGUAUUAGUCUCCCAGUAUUCAGUAAUACAGUAUCAAUUCCUCACUUAUUAGUGAACUACAUAUCAAUAUCAGUAAACUCAGUCAUUCAGUACCUCAGUAUCAGUAAACUCAUGUUGUCAGUAUUCAGAAUCAGUAGUCAGUAUCUCCAUAAAGUCUGUGGCAGUUACUUAUGCAUAUAUGUAUUCUUAUGUUCAUAUCGGUCAGCAUUAUUCAUGCAUAUAAACCCUUUGCAUUUAGCCUACCUCACUCGUAUACUCAGUACAUUCAGUCGUACUGACGCAUUUGCGCUAUGAUGUUUACUUUACGCCAUAGGUUUAGAGGCACGAGUUCUAGAGUAGCAGUAGCAUUGCAGAUUUCAGUGUUUAGAGUUGCAGUGAGUCCUCUUCAUUCGAGGACGAUAUAAUUAUUACUUUAUUAUUUCAGUAUUUCAGUUUUUAGUAGAUAGAGUUAGUUAGAGAAUUAUAUCCCAUCUAUUCCUUAUUCAGACAGUUAGAGGCUUUCAGAUGACUAUAGUGUUUCAAAUUCAGACUUAAGUAUUUUUAGUUUUGUUUUGGUAUUGUGAUACCACAUUAUUCAGACGUUGAUUUUUCAGUUAUGCAAUUUUGAACCUUAUGGCUUUUUAGUACAUGUUUCCACAUUAUCAUGUUAUAUCAUGUAGUAUACAGGUACAUAUAUCAGUCAUGGGUUAGCUUGUGGUCCUUUGGGGUCAUAAGCACUGUGUAGCGUUUUGGGUACCAGAUUCGGGGCAUUAUAAUUUCAAAAUGAGAAGCAAGAAAAUAUUUUGUUUCUUUGACUCUUUCGAUAUCAGUUCCAAAGAUCAACAUGUCAUCUAUAUAAAGACAUCUUAUAACACCAGAAUUUUCUUGAAAUUUACUAAAUAUGCAGCUAUCUCCACCAUUGAUUAAGUAGCCAUUAGAAAUCAUAACUUUUCUAAAUUUCUCAUGCCAUUGCUUUAGAGCUUGUUUCAAUCCAUAAAGAGAUUUAAGAAGCUUACAAACGUUACGGUCUUGUCCAGGAAUAACAAAUUCUUCUGGCUGUUUCAUGUAAACUUCUUCGUCUAGAUCUCUAUUCAGGAAUGCAGUCUUCACAUCCAUCUGAUGAAUCACAAGGCCAUGAAUUGCUGCUAGAGUAAUCAAGAGAAGAAUAGAGGUCAUCCGAGCUACAGGUGCAAAAGUAUCAAAAUAAUCAUUAUCUUUCAAUUGAGUAAAGCCUUUACUACAAAUUAAGCAGGCUUUGUACUUAUCUAAAGUACUAUCGGAUUUCAUUUUCUUCCUAAAAAUCCAUCGACAAUCAAUUGAUUUACAUCUAGGAGGAAUAUCUGAUAAUAUCUAUGUAUUAUUAGACAGUAUAGAAUGCAUUUCAUCAUCAAUGGCUUCACCCCAAAAAGGAGCAUCAUGUGAAUACAUAGCUUCAGCAUAACUUUCAAGAUCCUUUUCAACCAAAUAAGCUUGAAAAUCAGGUCCAAAGUCUUUUGAUUUGGUUGAUCUUGAACUACAUCUUGGUUGACUUUUUUUCCAAUGGCUCAACUAUUUUCCUUUUAUGAGGAGAAAUAGAAGGGCUUGGAUCUUGUUCAAAAGAAUCUUUUUUCUUAGGAAAUAUAUGCUGAAAAAAGUUAGCAUAUAAAGUUUCAAUAAUUGUGUGAGGACUUGGGGUCUCAAGAUUUAAAAAUCUAUAAGCCUUACUGGUUUGUGAAUAACCAAUAAACACACAAUCUACUCCUCUAUAGCCAAUCUUGAUCAAAUAUUGAUCCGGUAAUCGAACAUGAGCCAAGCAACCUCAUACUUUAAAAUAAUUUAUAUUGGCUUUCGAUUAUUCCAAAGUUCAUAUGGAGAUGUAUCAUGAUUCCUGAGAGUAAUUCUAUUCAAAAUAUGACAUGCUGAAAAUAAGGCUUCAGUCCACAGAUUUUCAGAAAAACCAGAUCCAUAAAGCAUAGAAUUAACUAUUUCUAUAAAAUUUCUAUUUUUCCUUUCUGCUACACCAUUUUGUUGUGGUGUAUAGGACAUGGUCAAUUAUUUUUCAAUACCUUAUUUUUCACAAAAAUCAAUAAAAUUUUAUUUUUAAGUACUCUCCACCUCUAUCAUAACUAAUUGAUUUAAUUUUCAAACUCAAUUUAUUUUCAACCUCUGCUUUAUAUGUUUUGAAAGUCUCAAAUGUUUCAUCUUUUAUUUUUAAUGGAAAGACAUAAGUAUAUCUUGAGUAGUCAUCAAUAAAAGUGAUAAAGUACCUCUUUCCACAACUAGACAAACAAUCCAUCUCACAAAUAUCAGUGUGGAUUAAUUGCAAGAGUGUGAAAGUCCUAUCAACUGUCUUAAAAGGCUUCUUUGUAAUCUUGCAUUUACUACAAGUAAGACACUUAGUAGUAUGAUUCUUUCCACAAUCUUUGAUUAAUUCAUUAUUCACCAUAAGUUGAAUGGAUCUAAAAUUCACAUGUCCAAGAUGUUAGAGUGCGAGCCCUACCAGUUUUAAUAAUUUACUCUCUUUGUUAACUAUUUGUGGAACAAGUAGCUAAACAUGGUUCACAGAAGUAAAAGCUGAACAUAGUAAUUUUUACGUGGAAAACACCCGGCUCAAGAUAGGUGUAAAAAACCAUGACCUGUACCUCUACAGGGUUUAAACCCAACUCUACUAUAACUCUUGAGCUUCAACAAUCAACAAAAUUACAAGACUUUUUAUAACUAGGAAUUAAAACUUCUAACUCCUAUAACUACAAAAACACAAAUCUUUCUAAGAUAAGUGUUCCCAAGUCUUCGAGUUCCGAAACUUGAAGACACAACUCCUAACUCAGUUUAUAGAUCACUGUGACUAGAACAAUGACUCAUUACAAAUCAAAGGACCUACCUACUAUAAAUAGUCUAGAACUUGUUAAGUAAAGGAACGGGUUCUUCUUCAAAUUAGUGAAGUAUUUUGCUGAUUGUUGAUUGUCUUUUUAGAGCGUCAGUAAUGGAUUUGAAUCAUGUUUCUUGUAUUUAAGCCAUCCUGUGAUAAAGUUCUUUUUAAUCUACAGUUCUAUCUUCAGUAGGAGUCUAUUAAGUAACUUAUCUUCUUCUUGUUGCCGUCUCUCACUCUCUUAGAUUUAAUAGGACUCUUUUGCUUUAUCUUCUCUUCUUGCUGGACUCCUUGAUCAACCCAACUUCUGCACAAUUUCUUAUUUCUCUUCUUUUUGAAUAGGACUCUUUUGCAGGACUUCUUACUCAACCAUCUUCUUAUUUGGUAAACGUUUAUCCACUCCUAUUUGUACGCAAAGUUAUCUUAUUAGAAACUUGUCUGUAUCUCAGCUUCGUUCACUUGAAUGGACGAACUUUUGUAACAUGUUUCAUUCACAUGUCUAUCAUCAAAACUCUACAGUUACUAAUAAAUUUACCCUUUUUGAUGAUGACAAGCAUAGCAGCACAAUAUCAUAAGAACCUGAUAUAUUCAAUAAGGGAUUUGAAUAAAAGAAACACAGAAUGAAAUGAAACAGGUUAUCCAAUUGAGUUAUAACCAUUGCAUAGCCUACUCUUAGUUAUCCCAAGACUUAAUUUUGGAAAGUAAGGAGAACUAGCCGUGGAGAAACAAAUAGAUUUAGCCUAUCAGUAAGACAAUCAAAAUUUAAAAUAAGAGAUCAUGAAUGCAGUAUGAGAAAAAUAGAGGCAGAAUAACUUUAAAGCAACUAAGUCUAUUUCAUUCAUUACCAAAAUAUGACUACAAUUACUAGAAUCAAUCUAAGAAAGAACAAGACACCAGGAAGGGAACAAAAUGAGAUAGGCUUAGGGUAUUAGUACAGAGGCUAAGUGGAUGGAGAGGAGGGGAUAAUGGAAGUGAGCUUCCUAAUGACAUCAACAUUUUCAGCCCGCUCUUUUUCCAACAAGGUAAUGACAAAAGAAAUUUAAGCUUGAAGAACCUUUUUCUCAUCUUCAUGAGCAGCCUGUGCAUCCUCUAAAGAAGCUUGAGAAAUAUCUAAUUCACCCUAUUUUAUAGCUAGUGCAUUUCGCUAUCGUGCUAUUGGGUUAUCAUCACUCCUCAUAGAAAUAGGUAGAAUCAUAUGGUCCAUACUACCUACGAUAUCCUUAGUAGCCUGUGAAGACCACACUUGAACAAACACUCCAAAUCUCUCAAAAAUAGGGGUGAGCUAGAAUUCAUAAGGGAGGACAUGUCCAUUAACAUCCUUUAGGAGAACCCUUUGCAUGUGCUUUAGUAUAAGUCAAGGUAAAUCAAUUCUCACCUCAGUGUCCAACAGUUCCAUGAGUGUAAGAUCAAGAAAACUAGCCACAUACCUUCACUCCUUCCUAGGGAUAAUCAUCUUGUGUACUACAUCAAAAUAGAGCUGAUAAAGUGGGGAAAUCUCCCUCUUAAGGACCCUUCUAUGAUGGAGCAAGUGAGGAUUUCUAGAGAAAUUUCUACAUAUGUUAAGAGCAGAGGCAAGAUUGUCCAGAGGUGGCUAAGUGCCUUUAACAUAGUGACUCCACCCCCUAGUUGGGAUGUGGAAGAUCCUAACAAUGACAUCAAUAUAAAGAUUCAAUGUAGUCUUUCUAAUAGUAGUAGAGAACACUUCACCAAUACCCACCCUAUUUGUAUAGAACUCAUAUACUUCAGGCUUAGCAAAAGACCUUUGAAUAUCACCCUGAAGAAAUAACUAAGACCAUCCCUAAAACUCCAACUUUCCCAGUAAAGUCUGCAUAUCAACACCCCCAAAGCCGCUAAUAACUCUCCCUUUGGCUAAUUUUUGCUUUUGAAAAUAAAGAUGAUGAGCCUCAAGAGUGUCUUGAUGAGAGGAUGGAGCAGGAGACUCAAAAUCAAAAUCUAACUCUGCAGUAGCAUUCGGAUGGAAGUCAGAGUCAGAGGGAACAAGUUUACGAACCUAUUUCUUUGGACUAGUAAAAGACUUUGGAGGGGAAACUUUUGAGGAGAUGGAAACUUUGACAAAAAAAGGAGAUUUUGAAGAUGAGAAGGAUUUUUGAGUUAGUUUAGAAGAGGGUUUCCUAGUGAACGAGGGUUUUGGAACUUUGACCAUGACCGCCUUUGACUUUUUGACCAAUCUAAGAAGAAGAUCAGAGGAAGAAGCGCGAGAAGAGGUGGGAUCAGAUGUAGCCAUAAAUUUUGUUUUUGCUAGUGCGAAGAGCCUCAGCAAGGGAUGCAUUUUCUUAUGGUUUUAUUCCUUAAGUAUGAGAAGUACGGGAGAUGGAGACAUUUGGAGAGGAGUCUGUAGGGGUAAUGUCCUCAACAGUGAUGGAAGGAGUUUUUUUUGGUAGUUUGGACCUGGACCUUCUAGGGCUUAAGUCUGUGAUGGGAAAUUCAUAUCUAUCACUAGAAUUAUUUUCAUCUUCAACAAUUUAGAGUGGGAUAGGAGGAGGAAGAAGGUGUUUCGAGAAGGAUAACGAAGCUAAGGGAAUUUGGCUAAAAGGGUUUGGGAAGUUUCUGAAGGUUGCAAAAUCAGUAAAUUUCUGGGAGAUUUGUGGAGGAAUGAUAGAAGGUAAAGUAAUGCCUGGAUGAAGAAUAAUGGUGGUGAGGGGAUUUUUGACAUAGUCAAUGGAUGAGAAAGAUGAAGAGGAAUCCUUAUUUAGAAUAGGAGAUUUUUCUUGAUUGUGAGGAGGUAAUGGAAUUAAGAAACGUAUUUAAGGGAGAAACAAGUAGAAGUUGAAGAGGUAAAGAACUAUAUUUGGCAGAGGCGUAAUGAUUAAAGGUUCAGAACUGAUGGGAAAAUAGGUAGCAACUUUUUGAAAGGGAAGGGACUCUCUAAAUUUUUGGCGGUUUAAAUGGACCAGAAGGGAACCAGGUAAGCAACUUGUUUCUCUUUUAGCUACUUAUAAGUAAUAGUAAUCAUACCUGAAUUAAAAGAUAGACAAAAUUGCUUCUGUAAUCAAGGAUCUCUGCAAAAAUCAACACAUACAUAAGUCAACAUACUCUAAAAUCUUGGACUUAGGACACACAACUUAAUGUGUGAGACUGAAUUAACCAACAAUCACUUUUUGAGAACAACUUAUUCUAAUCAAGUAUUGAGGGAGACUUAUGCAAUUUUAAUCAUCCCCAAGGCUAACCUAUUUUUUUCAAAGUGUUCUCUACUGAAAGACUUCGUGAAAAUGUCAGUAAUUUGUUCCUCAGUAAAGCAAAACAUAAUUGAUAUAUGACCUUUUUCAAUAUUAUCUCUAAGAAAGUGAUGUCUAAUAUCAAUAUGCUUGGUUCUUUUAUAUUGAACAGGAUUUUUAUCUAUGUUCAUGGCACUUGUAUUAUCACAAAAAAUAGAAACACAACCAACAUCUAUACCAAAGUCCAUGAGUUGUUGCUUAAUCCAUAGCAAUUGAGAAAAACAGGAACCUGCAGCAACAUAUUCAACUUCAGUAGUAGACAAUGCUACUGAAUUUUGCUUCUUUGUGGAUCAGGUAAUCAAACAUGAUCCAAAGAAGUGUGCCAUUCUUGUAGUGCUUUUAUUGUCCACUAGGUAUCCUACAUAAUUAGCAUCUGAGUAUCCUACCAAAUUAAAGUUACUACCUUUGGGGUACCAUAAGCUAAGAUCAUAGGUUUUCUUCAAGUAUCUGAAGAUUCUUUUCACAGAUUUUAAAUGCGAUUCUUUGAGUUUUGCUUGAAACUUGGCACAUAGCCUUACACUGAACACAAUGUCAGGCCUACUUGCUGUAAGGUACAAUAAUAACCCUAUCAUACCUCUAUACAUCUUUUGUUCUACAUCUGAACCUAUUUCAUCUAAAUCCAGUUUUGUGGCAGUGGCAAUAGGAGUACUGAUCUCUUUUGGCUCUUCCAUGGAGAAUCUUUUGAGAAGCUCUUUUAUAUACUUGUGUUAAUAGAUCAUUGUCCCAGAUGAUGAUUGUUUUAUUUGCAUACCCAAGAAGUAAUUCAGCCCCCCAUCAUGCUCAUCUCAAAUUCACAACUCAUGAGCCUGGCAAACUCAUAAGUCAUAUUCAUAUUGGCUGAGCCAAAGAUGAUGUCAUCUACAUAUACCUACACAACUAAUAUAUCCUUUCCAUUAGUAUUUAAGAAAAGAGUAUUUUCAAUACCUCUUGUAUGUCCAUGCUCCAAUAAAAACUUUGACAAUCUGUCAUACUAAGCCCUUGGAGCUUGUUUCAACCCAUACAAGGCCUUAUCCAGUUUAUACAUAUGAUCAGGAAAUUCCUUGCUUUCGAAUCCUAGAGGUUGCUUGACAUAAACCUUCUCUUUGAGAAUGCCAUUCAAGAAUGCACUCUUCACAUCCAUCUGAUAAAGUAUGAACUCUAUAUAGGUAGCAAAAGCAACAAACAGUUUAAUAGCUUCAAGUCUGGCUACAAGAGCAAAGGUUUCAUCAAAGUCUAUUCUUUCUUCUUAGUUGUAUCCUUGGACCACCAAUCUUGCCUUAUUUCUUGUAACUAUUUCAUGCUCAUCAAUUUUAUUUUUGUACCCCCACUUAGUCCAAAUUACUGACCUAUCUUUUAGGAGAGGAACUAAGUGCUAUACUUUGCUUUUAUCUAACUAAUUUAAUUCUUCCUGCAUGGCUAUAAUCUAGUAAACAUCAAGUAGUGAUUAAGUUACCUUUUCUGGCUUAAUCUCUGAUAGGAAUGCCUUGCAGGCACAUAUACUUCUUAAUUCAGCCCUUGUAGUGAUCCCAGAGGUAAGAUCAGUGAGAACAUUUUCAAUAGGAUAUGAUCUUUGAUAUUUGUACCCUUUUGGGAUCAAACCUGUGAGCUGCUGGGAAUACUGCUGAUGUUUUAAGCUGGUGUAGUUGGUGGUUUAGUUCCCCCUGUCAUUGAGCCUUCAUCUCAGUUCCCCCUAUCGAGGUGCCUUUAUGAUUGGUAGCUCCAAUAAGCGAAAUGGGUAGUGUAACUUGUUGCUCAGUAUCACUUCCUUCCUGCAGGUUAGUCUUAACACAGAAUUCAUCAAAAAUCACAUGCAUGCUUUCUUCAAUACAAUUAGUUGUGUUGUUUAAACCCCUAUAAGCUUUACUAUAAAGUGAAUAACCUAAGAAGAUUCCCUCAUCACUUUAAGUAUCAAAUUUUCCCAGAUUAUCCUUUCUAUUAUUAUGUAUGAAACAUUUAUAAUCAAAGGUUCUAAAAUGAAAAAUGUUUGGCUUUCUUCUUUUUAGUAAUUCAUAGGGAGUCUUUUCUAGCAUAGGUCUGAUCAAGCAUCUAUUUAAGAUGUAUGCUACAGUACUUAUUGCCUCAGCCCAAAGGUUUUUAACAAUAUUUGCAGCAAGCAUCAUUGUUCUAGCCAUAUCUUCCAAGGUUCUAUUCUUCCUUUCCACCACUCCAUUUUGUUGUGGUAUUCUAGGAGCUGAGAAGUUGUGAGCUAUACCAUUUUAUGAACAAAAUUUUAAGAACUUUACAUUCUCAAAUUUUGUACCAUGGUCUGACCUUAUGGAAACUAAAGAGGUGCCCAGUUUCUUUUCAACUUUCUUAAUGAAAAUUUCAAAGGCAUCUUCUUUAGAUGCUAGAAACAAGGUUCAGGUAAACCUGGAAUAAUCAUCAAUAAUUACAAAAACAUACCUUUUUCCUCCUUUUCUUUGAAGUAUCAUUGGUCCACAGAAGUCGAUAUAAAUCAGGUCAAGACACUUGGUAGUGCUAACAUGGUUCUUUGACUUAAAAGCAGAUCUUACUAACUUCCCCUUUACACAUGUACUACAUAACUUUUCUUUCUUAAAAUUGGUCUUGGGUAGUCCCAAUACUAUGUCUUUAGAGGAAAGUAUGUUCAGUUGUUUAAGACUUGCAUGUCUAAGUCUCCUGUGUGAAAGGAGGGGAUCAUUUUCUAUUGCACUUAGAUAGGUUAACUCAGGUCCUUUGUCACAUAAUUGUGAGAUGCUAAACAGGUUAUGCUUCAGUCCUUCUACAAGAUAGACAUCUUCCAAUGCUUUUUACUGAGAUGAUCCAAUCUUUCCAACUCCAGUAAUGAUUCCAUUCUUUCCAUCACCAAAGAAUACUUUUUCUCUAUCUAUUUUGGAGAGAGAAAAGAACUUUUUCUUAUCACCAGUCAUAUGUCUUGAGCAUUCACUGUCUAAGUACCAGUGCCUUUUUUUUCCUUUCACCUUCUCCUGUAAAAGAAAUCAAAGGUUAAAUUUAGGAACCCUGACAAGCUUGGGUCUUGUUUUGUUAGUAAAUGGAUGAAUUAAAUUCCCUCUAGUCCAUGCAGGCAACGUGUAAGAUGACCUGUUACUCUGACCAGUAUUAGUACUCAUUUUCUUUGUGUGAGAGAAGUUAUUUUCCAGAUUCUGAAUUCUAGAUCUGCUUUUGGUAGCCACAGGACAUUCAGUAGUUGGAUGUCCAAGAUUACCACAGAUGUAGCACAAGUCUUGAGGAUUAUCAACCUUUUAAUAGAAAUCUAAGCCAUCUUUUACAGUAUGGUUUCUUUCACCUAACUGAUGAACAAUUCUUGAAGAAUAUGUCCACCUGUUUGCCCUUUCUAGAUCCAAUUUCAAUCUGGAGACUUCUUGACUCAGAUUAUUCAUUUUUUCAAUCAGGUCAUGGCAUUCCUAUUUUUGCUUAGAUAUCUCAAGUUCAACUUUUUCUUGUUCCUCACUCAUGGCCUUUUUUCCAUUUUUAGUAAGAGUUAAUUUAAGGACUUCUGACUUAAGUUCAUAGUUUGAGGACUCAAGUUCUGCUACAUGUUUCUUGAGAAUGCAGUUUUCCUUGUCAACUAUGUCUGUGUAAGCUUUUAAAUCAAUGAGGUCAAAUUUUAAACUUACAAGACUGUUGAACAGUUUAUCCCUAUCAGAAUUUAAUUCUUAGAAAUCAUCAAUUAGUUCACUCAUCAAUGAAACAAGUUUUGGUUUUGAAAACAAUUGUAGUUUUUCUUUAAGUUUAAGAGUACUUACCUCAGAAUCAUCAUUUUCUUCCUCUAAAUCUGAGUCUCCAAGAGCCAUGAAUGCAGUUUCAUCAAUUUCGUCUGCAUCUGAAUCAGAUCCCCAAGCUGCUAUCAUUGCAUGUUCUUCCUUCCUUUUAGCCUUUUCUUUCAGCUCUUUUUCAGCCAUUUCCUUCUUCCAUUGAAUUUCCCAAACUAAAAAGUCCCUGAUCUGAUGAUUAGUCUUGUCAUACUUGUAGUACCCAUUGGGAUUGUCAUUGAAACGUUUCUUAUUACAUGUUCUCUUCUUCUUCUUAAAAAAUUUGCUAAAAUUCUUAGUUAUGAAAGCAACUUGUUCCCUAUCAAGUUCAAAUUCCUCAUCACUAUUAGAAGCUUUUAAUGCUAGAAUUUUUUUAGAAGAAGUUUUCUCUUUGAUUCUAUCAACUUCCAUUUCAUAUGUUCUUAGGUUCCCCAUCAAUUUAUCCAGGUUCAUACUUGCAAGAUUCUUAUUUGCCUGUUUGAUAGCAGUCACUUUAACAUUCUAUUUUGAUUUUGGUAGUACCCUUAGUACCUUUUCAACUUGUUCUUCCUCAGAAAUAACCUUUCCUAAGGAAGUUAACUCAUUUGUUAAGGUAUUCAUCCUUGUCAUUAUCUCAUGCAAUGUCUCAUUUUCCUUCAUCUUAAAUGCCUCAUACUUCGUGAAAAGAAGAGAAAUUCUAAAUUUUCUCACUUGAGAGGUACCUUUAUGAGCAUUCACCAGUGCAUCCUAAAUUUGUUUGGCAGUUGUGCAGGUUGAUACCCUGUUGUAUUCAGUAGGUCCUAAUCCACAAACCAAGAUGUUUUUGGCCUUAGCAUUUUUCUUUAACGCCACUAAGUCAUAAGGAGUAAAUUCACUUCUUACCUUCUUAACUUGUUCACCAUCAACCAUCUUCAUAGGAAUAGUGGGACCAUCAGUAAUCCUAUCCCAUAAUUCAUAAUAAUCUCCUUGGAUGAACACCUCCAUCCUUUCUUUACACCAGAUGAAAUGGAUGACAUCAAAGAGUGGGGGUUUACUAGUUGAUUGACCUUCACAGUGACCAGUAGGAGGUGUGGAAUUUAUCAUAUUGAUUUUUUUAGGUACAAACAUUAUUUAAGACAGCCUCGACUUUGAUAACACUUGUUAGAGUGCCAUCCCAACCAGUUUAAUAUUUUACUCUCUUUGUUAACUAUCUGUGGAACAAGUAGCUAAACAUGGUUCACAGAAGUAAAAGCUGAACACAAUAAUUUUUAUGUGGAAAACAUCCGGAUCAAGAAAGGUGUAAAAAAACCACGACCUAUACCUCUACAAGAUUUAAACCCAACUCCAUUAUAUCUCUUGAGCCUCAACAAUCAACAAAAUUACAAGACUUUUUAUAACUAGGAAUUAAAACUUCUAACUCCUAUAACUAUAAAAACACAAAUCUUCCUAAGAUAAAUGUUCCCAAGUCUUCGAGUUGCCCAACUUGAAGAAACAACUCCUAACUCAGUUUAUAGAUCACUGAGAGUAGAACAAAGAUUCAUUACAACUCAAAGAACCUACCUACUACAAAUAGUCUAGGACUUGCUAAGUAAAGGACCGGGUUCUUCUUCAAAUUAGUAAAGUAUUUUGCUGAUUGUUGAUUGUCUUUUCAGUGCGUGAGUAAUGGCUUUGAAUCAUAUUUAUUGUAUUUAAGCCAUCCUGUGAUAAAGUCCUUUUUCAUCUGUACUUCUAUCUUCAGUGGACUCUAUUAAGUAACUUAUCUUUUUGUUGUUGCCGCCUCUCACUCUCUUAGAUUUGAUAGGACUCUUUUGCUUUAUUUUCUCUUCUUGCUGGACUACUUGAUCUACCUAACUUCUGCACAAUUUCUUUUUUCUCUUCUUUUUGAAUAGGACUCGUCUGCAGGACUUCUUGCUCAACCAUCUUCUUUUGUGGUAAAUGUUUAUCCACUCCUAUUUGUACGCAAAGUUAUCUUAUUAGAACUUGUCUGCAUCUCAGCUUCGUUCGCUUGAAUGGACCAUCUUUUGUAACAUAUUUCAUUCACAUGUCUAUCAUCAAAACUCCACAGUUCCUAACACAAGACGUUCAUGCCAUAAUUCCAGAGACUGCACAAGAUAAGCAAAAAUAUUUUCAUUUUCAAUAUUGAGUUUAAACAUUCCAUUUGCAACAUAAGCUUUUUCAACAAACGUGCUAUUUUUAGAUAAAACAAACAUAUCUGCCUCAAAAACUAUUUUAAAAAUAUGCUUCAAAAGAAGCGUACCUGAUAACAAGUUCUUUUGAAUCACAGGAACAUGCAAUACGUCCAUCAAUGUAACUAUCUUUGCAGAAUUAAAUUUCAGUUCAACAGUUCCUUUUUCCACAACUUUAGUAGAGGAGGAGAUUCCUAUAUAUACAAUUUUACGGUCCCCUACUAAUUCAUAAGUCUUGAAAGAAUUUCGGUUACCUGAUAUGCGAUGAGUUGCGCCAGUAUCUAUCCACCAUUCCACUUGAUCUUCCGCUAUAAAUGCUUCUGUGACCAUUGCCACAAGAUCAUCUUUUUUUUUAUUUACUUUUUCUUUCUUCUUUUCGGCUUUGAGAAUUCUACAAUCACGUGCAUAGUGACCAAUUUUGUGACAAUGACAACAUUCACCAGAUUUAAAAUUGACACCAUUGUGCUUGAAAUUUGUAGUCUUGUUUACCUUGAAAGAUUCUAUUAUUGAAUUGGUGAUUUUACCUUUUGAUCAAUGUCUCUCAAAUGUUUUUCAAGAGGAAAGUAAUUUUUUUUAGUGCAUGCUUUUCAAACAAAAAAACACACUAUUUUAUAGGACAGAAAUUUCAUGCAAGUGAAGAGUUUUAAUUAAGUAAUCGUUAAUAGGUUCAUGUAUAUUUUAAAAUAAAAAUAUCUUCUUUCAAGAACCUAAAACGUAAAACUUAAUGAAUAAUGAAUUUGUCAAAUUCAUGUUCUUUGUAACUCAAAACUUUAAGUGAUGCAUUUGUUUCAAAAACUAAUUGAAACAUAACUCUUAAAAAUCUUUAACCAUUGUAUUUGUUUCAAAAUUUAUUGAAACACAAACUUAACACAACCAGUGGAAUAAAUUAUUGUCUUUCCUUUGGAAUGGGGACACUCUGAAUAGGCAAUUUCUGAAUUAUAAUACUGGAGGCAAAUGUUUAAAUUUUGGGGAGCAAACGUUCCUUCACAAAUUACACUAUACUUGUUGCAACCCUUAUAUCCUGAGCAACAGUUGAUUGCACUAAAAGUAUGGCGAAUAUAUUUAUCAUUAUGGAUUAUUUGGCUGGAAAUAAGUUAUCUCAAAAUUAGCUAUUUCAGAAUUAAUUAUUUCAUCAUGUAUAUAGGAUAACUUAUUCCAUCACUAUGGUAUACAUUAUGAAAUAAAUAAGCCCGAAACUAACUAAUGUUUUGCAGAGAAAUUUUGACUUAUAUAGAAGAAUCGCCACUUAAUUUUGAAAAGGAAUUAAGAAACUUUUAUAAAAAUACUUUGAACGAUUCAAAACAGAAAAAUCAUUCAAGUUUUGAAGAUUUUGAGUAAGCGGUUCCUAUUAAUAUUUUAGGAAGAUGUUAGGCACCUAAAAUAUCCGCUAACUUGCGGUUAUCCAGACUAUUUGAAAAUCGUCUUUGAUUAACUUUGAAAAAAGUUGACAUUUGGAAAGAAAGCAAUUUUAAGAAUAUUUUCAUGUUUACGCAAAACCAGUUUUUUAGUGACUUGACUAAGGAUUUAACUAGGUCCAAAAAGCACAUAAGACAAGUAAACAAAAGGGAAAGAGGAAAGGGGAGAAAUAGUGAUUUAGGCUUUUAAGCCAAAACCGUCGACCCUGUCCUAAUCUUGUUGGAUUUUUUACCCAUUUUCACUUGUCCUAAUCUAGUUUUUGAGUCUCGCUCCACCUGUAUUAAAUUUACAACUUCGGCUUCGAGGCCCGCUUGAAUGAAUAAAUAGACAAAUAAAUAAAGGAACAAGUAAACACAACAAUGCGAAAUUUAACGAUCUUUCGCCAAUGGGUUUUGACCCAUCCUCUUCUUUUGUCUUCUUAUAUUCAUACGCCAUAAGAUCAACUUGGAAUUCAAUUUAUUGAGGCUGACUCAAGGCGAUGAUGGGCCUCAAUGGCCCAUGAAACAAAUGCAAGAACAAAUUGAGUUCCUCUUGGACUCGAAAUCGUCGAUACAUGUCAAGAAAAUGAUAAGGAUUAGAACCUACUGAUAUAUAAAGAAUAGAAAAUAGAUAUGCAAUCAAUAAAUUCCAUGGUAAGACCAAUGUCACGUAUAUAAAAGUAAGGAUUAUCAAAUAACGGACAACAAUAGUUACAUGGCUAAUAAUCAUGCAUAAUCAUGACUCUAACCAAUGUUACCCGGUGGACCAUCUAUCAAUUUUGUUACGCUAUAGUAAAGGUUGCUUAAAGUAUACAAAUCUACACAUCAAGUUUAUUAAAAUGAUUAAAGAGGGGCAUAAAGAAACCCUUGUACAGACUUAAGCAAACAAGAAGAAUAACGACACUCGAAUCUCAAAAAGGGCACACAUAUAACUCUCUUUUCGUACCUUUGAAUAGCCCAUGGAUCCAUUCUUUAAGCACAAACUCGAAGAAACAUAAGAGAUAGACACAAUUCACUUAGAAAAAUAGGAAUCCCAGGUAUUCCGAAGCUUUGGAAACACGGAUUGGGUGACGCAUAAUUGACAAAAUAUAAUAGUCCAAGAUUUCAUUUUUUAGUUGAUAUCCCGCACAAGAAUGUUAAGGCACUAUUUAAUAUCCCUUUUCCAAUAAUGCCCAUUUGGAAAUUAAAGACAUAAAUGCACAGGUUUGUGACCUUAAAGCCAAUACCUUGAGCUUAAAUUUAUUAAUGACUUAUAUUCUGAGCAGAGAACACACAAAGGAAAACAUUCAACCUCAUGAAAGAAAAAUAAAAUCAGAUUUCAGCUUACACACAUAUAACGUGAUAUUCACAUCCGAGAUCCAAAAUACCAAUUCAAAAUUAGAUCAACAAAUGAAGAGAGAGCCAGAAGUAUCACUCGAUCAUGAUAAAAGACUUCGUCUUUUGGAUUUCAAAACCAUCACUCAGUAAUUUGAAAAUACAUAACCAAAUAACUCAGGUCUCAUAUAAACAGAACAAACCAAGAACAUUAUUUUCAUUUUUUAAAUAAAGGAUGAAUCCCAAGUAGGCUUUGUGCAAAACUUAUUGAGGCACAAUAAUCUUUUUUUAAACACAAGUAAUAGAAAGGUUUUGAACUCAAUUGAACCAUCUUCAGAAUGCCUAUAGGUUAGUGGUACUAACAGUAGAAAGAAAGAGUAACUUAAACACAGGAAGAAUCCUUUCCCAAAUUACAACAGAUUACAGAUAGCAUAAGAAGUUCAGCGCAACAAGAACAUGGUAACAAACAGACCUGUGGCCUCCGAGGCCUCUACAAUGAACAAACACAGCAUCACUAUAAUUGUAAUCAUACAACCACCUCUACAACCAACUAUCCAAACCGACCUCACUUUCAUCGUUCAAACGAACAAUCAUUUACUACAAAGAAAAGGGAUGAAGAAGAAAUAUGCCGAUAAAAUUAAAUAAGGAGAGGGAUAUUUACCUAUUUUGGAGCAACAAAUGGGACUUCGAACUAGUGUCGGACUCGCAACCACCGAAAAAAUAUAUUCGCAGUCAACUCGAACCCCUAAUUUAUAUGACGAACUGAAUUUUUGAACCCCAAAAAUUUUCUACCCGUGUUUCUGCCUUUUCAAGAAUUUUUUCUCCUCCAGUAGAAACAAGAAAAUUUUUUCACUCUUUUGAGACUCCAAAUUUUGAACCUCUCAGUUUGGAUUUUCCAAACCUAAAUUUUUGAAUUCAAGAAUUUCCAACCCCUAAAGAACCCCAGGAUUUUUCCAAUCCCUAAAACUAUGACCCAACCGGUUCUUAUAUAGAAACAUAAUUGGGGUAUUUUUAGGAUUCAAAAUAAGGGAUCCCUAGGAUUUGAAAUUUAAAAAUCUCCUCCCAUAGCCCCAUUUCUCGUCCUCAAUCGUACCCAUUUUAGAUUUUCUCUGAGAAAUUUGUGAUGGGUGGACCAAUAGGGUUUGGGAAAAAUCAAUUCCCUUCAAGAACCAAUGAAAAAUGUCCUAAUAUAUAUGAAAUCGUACAAUCUCAUUCGUGAAUCGCGGGAUUGAACCAUUGAAGACGCCACCUAGCCUCAUUUUUAGAAGAUUCGAGGCCUCUCUUCAUCCAAACUCAUGUGAGAUCUAUGUGACGCAUAAAAGAGGGGAAAAAGGGUGGUUUGAGAUCGAUUUUAGGUAUGGAACGGGUUUGGGUCGAGUGACGGUUGCUGAAGCUUUACACGAUGUUGUUGUUAAAUGUUAUUGAUGCUGAUGUUAUUUGGAGAAGAAGAAUUGGUCCUGGCUCAGGCAAAGUUGUAGUGGGCUAUUGGUGUUUGGUUACUGAAAAGUAGUUGAUGAGUUUCAAUUGGAGUUGGGCCAUUGAAAUUGAAUAAAUCAAUGGGCCCAGGUCAGUAACUAGGUCGACUGAUUGUUGUGAUGGGCCUUUGGGAUGCUGACAUUUACAGAAAAAGAAAUGGGUUACUGUUAUGUUUAUUUUGGGCUGAUUAAAGUUGUGGUUUAUUGAGUGUGUUGGGUCAAAUAGGUUUGGGCUAUUUAUUUAAUAGCCUAUUGAUAGGAUUUGGCCAAUUGUGUUUAAAUUUUGACCUAAUUGAGGAUUGAUCGGCCAAUUGUGUCACCAUUGUUGCCAAGUCAACUUUAAUUAAAUCUAAUUUAAUAAUUUGACCAAUAUUGAAUCAAGAUUUGAAAUGAAUUUAGCAACUAGCUUAAUCCCGUGCUUCUUUGAUUCGAUAAAAUCAAGUAAACAUUUCUCCAAAUAAUCUAUUUUUAAAGUAGAUCAUUUUCAAAUCAAGAUUUUAAUUAUUACAUUUAUUUUUAAAAUAAUCCUUAAUUAAAUUUGAUAUUCCAUGAAAUAAAUAUUUAAGUAAUCAAAUUGUAUAAUAUCGUAUAACUGAACACAAUAAUAUAUAAUUGCUACUUAAAGUGACAAAAUCACGUAAAAAUAUACUUUCAAAACUCUUAUUCGGAUAAAAUAAAUAUUUCAAUUUUAUUAAAAAUCAAAGAAACUCAGGAUUAAAUUUAGCCGUGGAGGGCAAAAAUUAGGUGUCAAUAACUGCCCCCUCCCUUUGGGUAGGGUAGAUGCAAGUAACCCUGGGCAAAGGGAGGUUGAUGUUCCUAAUUUUUGUCCGACCACAAAUCCGUAUUUAAGAGAGGUUCGUUUUUUUGCACGAGUUUCAUGGAGUUAUGGACAAACCUCGGUAUCAGGUUUCCUACAUAUCUCAGGUUUCAUGUGGUUUUGUGCUACUUGUAGUCAUAGAGCUUGAUUUUAAGGACGAUUUUCAAGAAAAUUCACCAGCUAAUCUUAGUUUUGGAGUUUUUGGUUAAACCGAUAAGCUGGGGAAUAAAGGGAUUUGGGGGAGGUUGGAAUGCAGUCGAGUUUUCUACGUAGAUCCCAGCCUAAAUAUCCCCAAGAUUUCAGGAAAUCAGACUGCUUGUAGUUCGACUAGAUUGGUAGAAAAGAUAGUCUUUUAUUUCAGACGAUCUUUGGUUAUGAUGAGUGACAAGUUGAUUAAGUUUAGGAUAAGAGACUUGCAACCUCUUAACCAUGAAUGUGGCAUCUUUCACACCCAUAGAUAAGAACUUACCAGGACAUAGUUUCUAAACUCUGAGUAUGUUAUAACCCAACUUUGAAAGAAAAAGAAGGUUAUCCUCGAUAUGAGUUUAAAAAUAUCUCAAAGAUGAAGCGGAAACCAGAAUAUCCCGGAAGUACUCACAUGCCUUCUAAUAGGGGUGUGGUUUGAUGGUGGUGGUGAUCAUCCUUUAGCUCGCGUCCAGAGAGUUUGAUGUCCCUCUCUAGACUAUGUCUCAUUUUACUGCUAAGAAAGAGUUCCACGUUAUGCUGAGUCCUACCUGAAGUAGUUCGCACCUGUGGUUUUGAUUUGAGAUUUUCAUCCUCUCGAAUUUUCUCGACAAUGCUUCAAGAAAAGAGUGUUAGUGCUAAACAUGAUUCACGAAAGAGGUUGUAGUCUUUUACCUUAUCUCCACAUGAGUUAUGGCCUAAAAAGUGGAGUUAUCUCUUCAUGUACCUGUUUGGAAUGAAAUAACUGGCAAUAACAAACACAACAAACCUCUUGGUUGUUCUAUAAUUAUGACAUUUGUUGGUUGAAUAUGUCUUCAAAGUGGGGUGGCCCUUUUGGACACCGCGAUACUUUAUGCAGAACGGUCCCUACAACCGUGUAAUCUUGUGCUAGUGUGAAAACCCUUUUGAUUACCUAUAUCACUUGUUGUAUGUGGAAUGAUAACCUCUCCGGUUAUAGAUGAUGAUCGAUUUAUAAAUUUUUCUUAAAUUAUUAAUCUUUGGAUAAUCUUGCGCAUUAUUUGAUGUUGGAUAUGAGGCGACUUAUAGAUAUCCUUUAAAUUGCUAGCUUUUAGGUAAUCAUGCACAUCAUCUAACCUUGGAUAAGAUAUGUAUUAUAGAUAUCCCUCCAAUUGCUAGUUUUUAGGUAUUCCCGCACAUCAUCCAACCUUGGAUAUAAUAUGACUUAUAGAUAUCACUCAAAUUGCUAGUCCUUGGCUAAUCCUGCACAUAAUCGAUAUUGGAUAUGAUGCGGCUUAUAGAGAACCCUUGGAUGUAUCAAUUUGAUAAUCUUGCAUAUUCUCCGGUAAGGAUUUAGUUGUGACUUAUGGAUAACCUCAAAACUAUUGAUUUUUGGGCGAUCUUGCACACUAUCUGGUUAGGAUGUUGUUGUGGCUUAUAGAUGACCUACAGGCUAUCAAAUCAUAGGUGAUCUUGCACACUAUUCUAUUUCAAAUAAUAUGACUUAUAGAUGACCCUCAGAUUGUCAAUUUCUAGGAAAUCUUAUAUAUCAUUCAUCCUUAGAUAGCGAAUUAAAGGCGUCCCUUCAAAUCAUGCUCUUGAUGCAUUUAGAUGUUGAUUCAUAAAAUGAUGAGAUAUCCUCGACGCCAGCAUUUGUGUCUAGAUGUCAAUAGAUAUUUAAAAUGAUGAUGAUAUCCUCGAAGCCAGUGUUAAUGUCUUGUGUGUCAACAAAUAUUAAAUGGCCCUCUUGGCAAUAAUAUGCAAUGGCCCUUUCGGCGAUGAUAUGAAUGGCCCUCUUGGCAAUGAUAUACAAUAGCCUUUUUGGCAAUGAUAUGCAAUGACCCUCUUGGAAAUGAUAUGCAAUGGCCCUCUUGGCAAUGAUAUGCAAUGGUCCUCUUGGUAAAUUAAAAACAGUUUCACCUGAAUUCAUUUGUCAGGGUCUUACUUUCUGCAUGUACCUGUACUCAAGGUAGACGAUUAGUAGACAUAAUGUCGCUUUUGCUAGCGACUAUUUUUUAGAACAAUUCUAAAUACAAAUAUUUGUAAAGAAGACAAGACACUUUUGUUUGUCCUCCAUGAUCUCAAGAAAUGAGAUGGACAAUUCAUAAGGUCCUCAAUAAAUGGGUAUUAAACCCAUUUUUAGGGCUACCCAAAAAUACCAUUCUUGAGCAUUAGUGCUCUGGUGUGGCUCCUAAUUUGCUCGGGGAUUUUUGAAAGAGACUUUCAUUUUUGUGUAUUGGUCCCUGCAUCCACAGAAAAAUGAUUAUUUUGAGUGAAACUACUCCGUGUUGACCUUCUUUGAUUCUCCAUUUGCUCCACGCCAUCUUUUGGGUACUCCAUCAUGUUGGUACCCCCACCCAGGCUCUUUGCUUCCAUAGACGCCUAGGCAAUCACUAAGUAAAAGUUUUUGUAAAGAUUUUCCCAAGUAGUCUUAAUUUUUAGAAAAUAGUUUUGAAAGUAUCUGUAAAAGCUUUAGAAAAUUUCUGUCAGUCUUGUCAUAUGCUAGCUCAACGACCAUCUUUCUCUUGAUUCUGGCAAUGUCCGACGUUUGACGGAGGAUUGUUAGGGAUUCAGCAUUGUCGAGGCUCUCUACCAGAAGUUUUAUCAAAGACAAAGGUUCAGUCUUCCUAGAAUUAAUCAUAGGUGGUGAUUCUCAAAUCUCAACUUUGACCUCUAGUGCUGGGAAAUUUGAAAUUUAUUUCAAAAAUUUAGUGGAAAUUUUGAGGUCUUCCGCCAAAUUUCUACCCCUGUUUUAAGUUGUUUGAUAUAACGCCAACUUGAGAGGAUCCGAAGUCUUUGUUGGUCUUCGUUCUCCUAGUUGGAUGUCAAUCUUCUCUUGUGAAUUUUUGAGAUUCCUUCUAAAAAAUUCUGCCCCAGUUUUCAUUUUCCGGGGUUAUAUGACCGAGCCAUUGGGGCACCUACGUAUCCCGUUAAAAUAGGAAUCAGGUCAAACAUAGUUUAGGACUACGCUAAGGAUAUAUAGAAAAAUUUAAUGGGUUGACCGAAGCCGACAUCGGCCGCCUACGUCUCCCUUUUAUUGGGAAUUUAGGUCAUCACAUAGUUCAUACAUAAAGGGAAAGGAUAAAAUUUUCUAAGGGGUUGACCGAAGCCGACAUUGGCCGCCUACGUAUCCCUUUCUUGGGAAUUCAGGUCAAACGUAGUUUGUAGAUAAAAGGAAAGGGAUUCUAGGCAGUUAUGCAAUAGAAAACAACAUUACUACAAAGGCGAACGUCGUUCAAACAUAAUAUCUUUUUACUGCAUCAGAAUUGAUUGGUUUGGUCCACUCUUCACCAUCCAUCUCAAAUAAAAUCAGAGCCCCUCUAGAUAGUACCUUGCGAACUUGUAUGACCCUUGCCAAUUUGGAGCGAACUUGCCCUUGUACUCUUUUUGGUGAGAAGAUAUGCACUUGAGAAUCAAUUGCCCAACUUUGAAUGUUCGAGUUCUUACUUUCUUGUUCCAUCCUAUGCUGAUACAACUGACCAUGACAUACAACAACCAUUCUCUUUUCAUCAAUCAAUAUGAGUUGUUCAUAGCGAGCGCGAACCUAUUCUUCGUUGCUUAGUAUGGCAUCCAAAAUAAUCUUAGGGAAGGUAUUUCAACCUCAGCAGGUAUCACAGAUUCAUUCCCAUUAAACAAUAGAUAAGGAGUUACCCCGGUGGAGGUUCGAACUGUCGUGCGAUACCCCAGAAAAGCGUAAGGCAACAUCUCAUGCCAUGAUCUAUAAUUUUCUAUUAUCUUUCUCAAGAUCUUCUUGAUGUUUUUAUUUGCAGCUUCCACGGAUCCAUUCAUCUUUGGAUGAUAUACGGUCGAGUUGCACUUUACUAUUUUAAAUUGAUCACAAAUAUCAUUCAUCAAGUGACUGCUCAAGUUUGGCCCAUUAUCAGUAAUGAUCGAUUCUGGCAUUCCAAAUCGGCAGAUCAAGUUAUUCCUGAUGAAAUCUGCAACCACUUUCUUUGUGAUAGCUCUAUAAAAAGUAGUUUCGACCCACUUAGUAAAACAGUCAAUAGCAACCAAAAUAAAUCCAUGCCCAUUCGAUGUUGGCGGAUCUAUUGGCACGAUAACACCCAUGCCCCAAGCUAUGAAAGGCCAAGGUGAAUUCAUUGCAUGAAGAUCAUGUGGAGGCAUUCGAAUCAAAUCUCUGUGCAUCUGACAUUUUGGACACUUCUGCACAUACCUGCUACAACUAUUUUUCAUAGUUAUCCAGAAGUAAUCGAUUCUCAGGAUCUUUCUAGCAAGGGAGAACCCGUUCAUGUGGGGCCCGCAAACUCCACCGUGUACUUCUUUUAUCAAUUUAUUAGCUUCCGCAGUGUCGAGGCAUCUUAAGAAUCCCAAAUUUGGAGUCCUCCUAAAAGGGAUUUCCCCACUUGGAAAAUAGUUCUUCGCCAAACGCCGGAUUGUCUUCUUUUGGUUGUUACUAGCCUCUUCAGGAUAUAUUCCAGAUUCUAAAUACCUUUUGAUAUCAUAAUACCAUGGCUUUCGAUCGGGAUCCUCUUCAACGUGUGCACAAUGGGCGGGUUGCUCCUUCAAGCUUAUUCCCAAAGGAUCAAUGUAACUCUGAUUUGGGUGCUGAAUCAUGGAGGAUAUAGUGGCCAAAGCGUCAACAAACUCAUUUUGUAUCCUUGGGAUAUGUCUGAAAUCAACUUCUUUGAAUUUUCCACAUAAUUCCUGCACCAUCUCCACAUAAGGAGUAAUCUUGGAAUAUUUUACCGCCCAUUCUCCCCGUACCUGAUGAAUCAAUAAGUCUGAAUCCCCGAUGACUAGCAAUUCACGAACACCCAUAUCAAGUGUCAAUUUGAAACCUAAGAUGCAAGCUUCAUAUUUGGCAAUGUUAUUGGUGCACGAGAAAUGCAACUUAGCAGCUACAGGAUAGUGUUGACCCGUUUCAGACACCAAAACUUCUCCGAUUCCUGAACCUUUAAAGUUGACCGCCCUAUCAAAGAAUAGCCUCCAUCCGGGGUAAAUUUCUGUAAUGUCUUCUCCUACGAAUAAAAUUUCUUCAUCUGGGAAAUAAGUUUGAAGUGGCUCAUAUUCAUCAUCAACCGGAUUCUCUGCCAAAUGAUCUGCUAAAGCUUGCCCCUUGAUGGCCCUUUGAGUUACAUACACAAUGUCAAACUCACCCAACAAUAUUUUCCAUUUGGUUUGCUUUCCCGUGGGCAUGGCUUUCUGGAAUAUAUACUUCAAUGGAUCCAUCCUCGAGAUGAGGUACGUGGUAUAUGACGAUAGGUAAUGCCUCAACUUUUGUGCGGCCCAAGUCAAAGCGCAACAUAUCCUUUCUACGAGAAUGUAACGGGAUUCAUAUGGCGUAAACUUUUUACUCAAGUAGUAGAUGGAUUUCUAUUUCCUACCGGUCUCAUCAUGUUGCCCGAGGACACAUACGAAAGCAUUUUCUGAGACUGCUAGAUAAAGUGGCAAUGGAAUUCCUUCUCUGGGCGGAACCAAAAUCGGCGGUACAGAUAAAUAUUCCUUGAUUCGAUUGAAAGCUCUCUAAUAUUCUUCUGUCCACUCAUUCAAUGCAUGUUUAUUCAACAUCUUGAGAAUUGGCUUGCAUAUGACUGUUGACUGAGCAAUGAACCUGCUAAUAUAAUUCAAAUGACCCAUGAAAUUCAUAACCUCUUUCUUGGUCCUCGGGGGUGGAAAAUCCUGAAUUGUCUUGAUUUUGGAUGGAUCUAGCUCGAUGUCUCUCCUGCUGACUAUGAAUCCCAAUAACUUCCCUGAUGGCACACCAAAAUCACACUUAUCAGGAUUUAACUUCAAAUUGUAUUUUCUUAAUCUGUUGAAGAAUUUCUCCAGAUGGGUUAGAUAAUCCAAACUCUCGCAGGAUUUGAUAAUUACAUCAUCCACUUACACCUCAAUCUCUUUAUGAAUCAUAUCAUGAAAAAUUAUCGUCAUAGACCUCAUAUAUGUUGCACCCGCAUUCUUGAGACCAAAAGGCAUUACCCUGUAAUGAUAAACACCCCAGGACGUAAUAAAAGUCAUCUUUUUUGCAUCUUUAUCAUCCAUUAAUAUAUGAUGAUACCGGCAAAACAAUCAACGAAAGACUGCAUUUCAUGUUUUGCACAAUUAUCAAUGAGGAUGUGGAUGUUGGGCAGUGGAAAAUUAUCCUUAGGAUUGGCUCUAUUCAAGUCUCUAUAGUCAACACAAAGUUGAAUCUUGCCAUCCUUCUUCGGCACUGGGACAGUAUUGGCUAGCCAUGUCGGAUAUUUUGUAACCUCCACAACCUUAGACUGGAUUUGUUUUGUCACUUCUUCCUUGAUAUUUAGACUUAAAUCUGGCUUGAAUUUCCAUAUUUUUUGCUUGAUUGGAUCAAACUCAAGAUUUAUCGGCAACUUAUGCGACACAAUGCUUGUUCUCAAUCCCGGCAUAUCAUCAUAGGACCAAGCAAACACAUCAAUGUAUUCCUGCAACAAGUGAAUGAGCUCUCUUUUGUGCUUCCCCAGGUGGACACUGAUACUUGUUUCUUUGAUUUCAUUAUGAUCUCCCAGGUUGACUAUUUCAGUUUCGUCUAGUUCGGGCUUCUCCCGGUUCUCAAACUCCUUUAUAUCUUCAACUAAUUAUUUCUCAUCAACUUCCUUCCAAUCAUCAUUAUUCCCUUAUUUUGUUCGUCUAAGCUUUGACAUGACAUGACAUUGGCAGGUUUUGAGUUACUAUUACUGUAAUAAACAAACAAAUCAAGUUAGAUGAUGAUAAGAUAAUAAUAAAAUAUACGAAUAGUGGUGUUAAAAAUAAUUUUAAUUUUUUUUCAAAAUAAGGGAAGGCCUUUUCAUUGAAAUUUGAGAGAUAAUUACAAACUAUAGCUCAUGACUUGCAUAAACACAAGCCCAUGCCUUUUGAGAGCUGUAAAAAUAUGAAAAAGAAAUUUGAGAUGUAAAGGGUGGAUUGCGAGGCCUCCUCCGGAUCAUCACCGAUUUGAAAAACUAUUAGUAAUUGCCCUUUCAUAUACCACGGUGGGUGACAAGUUAUGAAUAGAGUGGAGGUCCAGUUUUACAAGGCCUUCCCUGGUACAAUCUUCUUCACCCCACUGGACUUUGGGAAAUAUUUCGGUACAACAUUCCAUCUGUCAAACAAAUUUCCUAUCCCAUCCCCAAGACCAUCAUCAUUCGACAUCUCACGUACGGGAAAUGACUGGUACAGGAGCAGUAAGGGCCUAAACAGACUCGCCUCUGACUUAUUCUCAAUCUCAUCCUCCUUGGUAGGCCGAUAUCCUAACCCAUACUUAAAGGCUUUCUCUGGGAUCAUAAUAGGCUCAAUAAUUUCAUGCAGAUUAUUACCCAAACCUCGACCAGGCUCGAACCCAUUUCUCAACAUCACAGUCGCAAUCAUUUUAUAGACAGAAGGCAUUGGAGCUUUGAGCAUCAGAUCCUUUUCCACAGCAUUUACAGUUUCCACUGUAUAAAAACUACUACCCUUCGGAAUAUCUUCAAUCACCGGCACAUAAUCAUUGGGAUGAUUCGCUCGGCUUCCUUCCCCUUAGAUGAUUAUUUCAUGAUCCUUCCAAAUGAAUUUCAAUAACUGAUGAAGAGGUGAUGAAAUUCCCUUUGCACCAUGUAUCCAUGGUCUUCCCAAGAGAAGGUUGUAACUAGGAUGAAUGUCCAUAACAUGAAACUUAGUCUUGAAUUCAGCAGGUCCCAUUUGGAUGUGUAAAUCAAUUUCACCUAUGGUAUCUCUCUGUUUUCCAUCAAAUGCUCUCACAUUUACGUGGCUUUAGCGAAUCUUCCCCAAGUCAUAGACCAUUUAAGCCAAUGUGGAGAGAGUACAAAUGUUCACACCAGAUCCGUCAUCUAUCAAUAAUUAAUUAAUCAGAUAGUCUCGAUAAAUGACAGUGAUGUGCAAGGUCUUGUUAUGCAUCGCUCCUUCAAAUGGAAAAUUUUCAUGGCUGAAUGAUAUGUGAUGAAUUCCCUCAACAUUUCCUAUCAUUGUAUCCAGGUUCUCAACAAUCAUCCUUGUGGGAACAUAUGCUUUCUCUAAGACCUUCGAUAAAGCCUGUUGGUGGUAUUGCAAACUCAUUAAUAAUGCCAAAACAAAAAUUUAAGCUGGAGUCUUCUCUAAAUGUUUGAAAAUUGAAUAGUCCUUUGGUUGUAUACGCCUCCAAAAUUCCUCAGCCUCCCUUUCAGUGAUUGACCUUUUCUGUGAAUCAUUUUUUUUGGUCAAUUCUUCAGGAAUGUGGCAUCGUCCCGAUCGCGUCAUUCCUUAGGAAGCAGCUGUCUGUACAAUAAAUUCCUUCCUUGGUAAGGGAGUGUACACUUGAGUCGGGGCCGUCAUCACUAUAAAUGGGGAUUUCUCAUAGACACUUAAGGCAGCCACAGAUCUCUCUAUCUUUUCUACCUCUUCCGCCCUUUUGCACUUUUCUAAAUUCACCUUAAUAAUAGUCUUGCCAGACACCCAUUCUCCUUAUAUUUCAAUCAUGUUAACUGUAGGUCCCCCAUGAUUAGGAAAUGAGUUACUAUUGAUAUUUGGUAUCGGUGACUGAAGCGUGAUGACCUUUGGAUCACUCAGAUCUUGUAUCUUAUGUUUCAAGAUAAUACAGUCCUCGGUACUGUGCCCUGCUGCUCCUGAAUGAUAGGCACAAUUUUGAUUAGGAUGAUAAAAUUGGGAGUUGGGAUUGACAGGCUUUGGCUGGAUCGGUUGCAAAUGACUGGCAUUCUUCAAUCUUUUAAAUAGUUGGGUGCAAAUUUCAGCCAGCGGUGUGAAGUUUUAGGGAGGUUUCUUUUUAAUGUUUGGACGUGGAGGGUUAUAAUGGUCCUGAUUUGCAGGAGGAGGCACUUGAAGAUAAUUUGGAGGUACUUGGAUGUUUCUUCGGUUGUUUGGAAAAGUGGAUUGGACAUGAGGUUGAUAAUUCGGCGGUGGACCUUGGUAUUAGGGAAAAAUAUUUGGCUGUAGAGGUUGGCAUUGGGAUUGGACACUUGGGAGUGGAGCUUGAUAUUGGUGUUGGAUAUUUGGGAGUGGAGUUUGGUAUUGGGGUUGGAUAUUUGGGAGUGGAGCUUGAUAUUGGGGUUGAGUAUAGAAUACAUGCCAAAAGUUUGGUGACGGUGGAGAAGAGAAAAUAUUCCUAAAGUUGAACCUCUUUUUUGUUUUUGCCACAAAAUCAGCAGAAACUAUGUCUACAUCCUCCAUUUUCUUCUUCGAGAACAUAGUAGUCCCAGGCGAUGUUGGGGUCUUGGCAAUUUUUCCUGUCCGAAUACCUUCUUCUAGCGAUUCUCCUAUUUUUACCAAAUCUACAAAAGUCACCCUGACAGCGGACACCAUCCUGGUAUAAUAUUCUUCUUCUUGAGCACGAGAGAACACAGAUACCAUUUCUUCCUCAGACAUGGGGGGUGCACUUUGGUAGCUUCUUUCCUUCAACGACAAGCAUAGUCUCGAAAACACUCAUCACUUAUCUGUUUGAUCCGAUCUAGUGAAUAUCUGUCGGGGACUAUUUCAAUGUUAAACGCGAACCUGUCAAGGAAACCUUUGGCCAAUGCUCUCCAACCAGUCCAUCUUUUCAGUUCCUGAGACAUGAACCAUUCUAAGGCUUCGCCACUUAAACUCUGGCUGAACAAAUGCAUCAAUAAUGCUUCAUUUUUCCCUACCCCCACUAUUUGAUCACAAUACCUUCUCAGAUGGGCCAUUGGAUUUUUGGUACCGUUGAAUACUUCAAACUUCGGGACCUUGUACCCUUCUGGUAGUUCUACUCCAGGGUGAACACAUAAGUCAUCGUACCCUAAACCGUCGUGGUCCCUUGCUCCAUGAGAUUCUUUGAUCCUCAUGAUCUCUUCAUUCAUAGCUAGAAACUUCAUUUCAUUCUCGGUCCUCCACUCUUUCUCCUUCUCUUCGUAAUGGUCUAUCUCAGGAUUAGGAAGGGGACUAUAGAUGUCUGGGGAUAUAAUGGCAUGAGGAGGAUUUGGAAAGGAGGAUUGAUUUUGCGGAUGAAAGGAAGUUGGUUGGUAGGUGGGGAGGACGUUUUGAAAUUUAGAAAGGUUUUGUGGAAUUUGCGAGUAGUUUGGUGGCAUCUGAGAAGGAUUUUGUGAAUUUGGAAACGAUUUUGAUGGAUUCGGGGAUAUAUUCGAUGAAAGUUUUGGGUAUUGAUUUUGUGGAUUUGAGAGUCCAUCUUGUGGAUUUGGGAAUGAAUUUUAUUGAUUUACAAAUGGGUUCUGGGGAUUUGGGAAUGGAUUUGGAGAUAGGUUUUGUGAGGUAGAGAUGGAUUUUGCGGAUGGUAGGCACCUGGGUUAUUUUCACGAUUGGUUUUUUGGAAAAAUAGGGGAACGGAGAUGGAUGAUACAUUAUUUGGUUGAUUCUCAAGAAUAGGUGUACUAAGGGGAGAAAUUUGAAGUGGAGUCCCGUGUCCUCCUGGAGCGAGGGCAUUGACGGUGAUGGCCAGGUUAGCCAAAUCUCGAGUGCGAUUUAUUUCCUCCUGAAGCAUUUCUAACUUCUUUGCAAGAUCUGCAAUCAUCUUAUUCUGCUCCGCUAUUACAUUGUCCCUGAUGGUCAAUGCAUUUUCUUCAUCAUUUCCAGUCAUUAUUGAAUGAUGGUUGGAGGAUGGGAUUUUGUGCACCUUUGACCGGGUGAGUAGGGAUGUUCUGCCAGCUUAUAUCAACAUGGAGUAGUUUCUAUAAUCUGUAAAGUAAAACAACUCAGAACCAAAUGUGUUAGCUUCCGUAUGUGAUAAGUAAUGCAAAAAUAUUUGACAAGAAAUAACCACGUAGAGUUGUUUGAGUCAUAGCCAAAUUCAUCUAUAGGAGCAUAGCGGAUAAACUUGACUUUGAUCCAAACAAACACACAUAAGCACAUAAGACAAUUAUAUAAAAUCAUAUUUCAUAACAAAAUAUCUUUCCUGAUGAAAAUAUAAUCGUCACUCGUUCGUCCCUAAACCAUGGGUCAUUAUUGAGACGACUUAGUGCUUCGUCACUAAAUAGCCUUGAAUUAACGACGAAAAUAUUUAUUGAUCCUGAAUGCGUAGCAUUUAUGACGAUCUUGUUCAUUACAGAAAUUAUAUUUUUUGUGGGUAAUAGUAUUUUUUUUGUCACUAAAGGAGUUAUAAUGCCGAUGAGAAUGAUAUGUCCCUAAUUGUUUAUUUGAAUUUGUGAUGAAUUAAUUUCUCUCUAAUCUUCUAUGUAUUUUAUCGCGGAACAAAAAUUAUUUCAUCACUAAAUACUAUCUUUUACAUACGCAUUCUAUUUGUCUCUAAAUGUAUAAAUUAGUGACAGCAUUACUUUCUUAUCAUUUUGUAGCUGAAAGCCUUUCACGUCAUCACUAAAAAUACUUUUUUUAUCUACAAAAUAAUUGUCACUAGAAUAUGUCAUAAUUAGUGAUGACAACAAUUGUCACAAAAUACGAAGUUAAUUUGUAGGUAUAAGUGGGCUAUUUAGGGACAAAAUUUACUCUUGUCACCAAAUGUUAUAAUUUGAUGGAGAAUAUAUAAUAGUUUUAGAAGGUAAAGUAAAGCUUUUACGGACCAAAUAUUUUAUCACUAAUCACAACCAUUUGUAGUUAGCUAGCUAGGUUUUCAUAAUUUGAAACUAAAAUUGUAAAUACAUAUCUUAAACUUCAUUAUAAAGAGCGUUAUACGAAUUGAAAAAAAAAAUACUAAAAGAAGUAAGAUAAUAGUAAAAAAAAUUAAAAAUUAAAAACAUUGAAAUAUAUUAAUUAAGAACAACCAAGAUGACAUUCAUGAGAUGAUAUCUCACUAGAUACGCUUAAAUAAAAAUCAAUACGACUAAAAUUCAUCCAACUUGAAAAUCUAACUGAGAUAUACUGAAUAUUAACAAAAAGAAGAUAAUAAAAUAGAGGUUUCUUCUCAAAAGAUUAUUGCAAAAACAUUUAAUGUAGCAACUAGUCUUGAUUUCUACCUUCCACAACCUAUGUAAAAAAAAAAAAAUUCAAGAUUAGAUUUCUUAUGUUAUGAUAUCAUGAUAUACUACAACAACAAUAAUAUUCUUAGCGUAAUUUGAUAGUUCAAAAAGAAUUUGAUGGCAGACCUUACCUCUUUCAUUGCAAGGCUAGGAAGAAUGUUUCCAACAGACUCUUGACUAAAAAUAAAUGUAAAAAAUACAGGAAUGCAUAUGCUUUAUUCAACACAACUUCAUUAUCCAUAUUUUCCAUCAUGAGAACAAGCUAAUAGUAAAUAUCAAAUUAAUAGUUAAACAUCAAACUAACAGUAAACAAUAAAUUUCUAGUUCAGAAACAAGAACAAGAUAACAUGAAAAUAAAGUAAACAAAUCCUUGCUAAAGGUGAAGAAAAGUUUAGAAAAGCAGAGUGUUUUUUAACCAAAACUAGUUUAGGUGUACGCUCCUCGCGCAUGUACGUCACUUUAUUGAGUUAAAAUAUUACACUAAAUAGGAUAUUUGUCUAAAUAACAAACAUAAAUACAAUAAUUAAAUUCAACAUCUUUUAAAAAAUUUAUUUAAUUAAACCUAAUAUUUAUCAAAAAAAAUUAUCAAAAUCGAUUGACAUUCAUCUACUACAUGUAAACUGUAACAAAACAAUAUGAUGAUAGAGACAUCAAAACAAUAUAAUUACACAAAAAAUUUCUCAAAGCCGUCUGACAUUCAUGUACUAUCUGUAAACUAUAAUAAAAUAAUAUGAUAAUAGAGAUAUCAAAAUAAUACAACUGAAAUUAACCUUUACACACACAAAAAAAUCUCAAAACAAAGAUAUAAAAACAAUACUAUUAAACCUAACCUUUGCCUAAAAAAAUCCUCAAAGCUGACUGACAUUCAUCUACCACCUGUAAAUUCAUCUACGACCUGUACACUAUAAUAAAAUAAUACAAUAAUGACACAAUGCUUGAAUUUUGAUGAAAAUAAUUCUUGUGUGAGAGAAAAUUUUGAUCCUAAAGAAUGACUUGAAUGUAAACGAAGAAGAUAUGUAUAUAUAUACACACACGUUGAAUUUUAUUAUGCUGACAAAAACCGUGUAGAAGUUGAUGGUUAGAAAAUUAAGCAUCCACCAAUCUACACAUGCAACCUAAUUAAGUUAGAUGAACAUCAAUCAUAUUUUCUCAAUAAGUAAAUUGAUUUCUUCAGUAGUUUAAUGUGCAUCUGAAUAUUUGAAGUAUUUCCUUAAUAGAGUCCUAUUUUAGGAGCAUUUUUCUAUCUUAUUUUAGGAGUAUUUUUUUAAUUGAUCAGUACAAGAAAAAAUAUUAAUUGAUUCUCCUUCCAUAUAUUCUAGGAGUUCCACAUAUUUUAGGAGUCUAGUUAAUAUAAUAAAAAUAACUAAAUAAUAAUUAAAGAAAAUAGUGAAAAGACAGUUUUGUCUAAAUAAAGGUCUUUUAACGAAGGACAAAAAGUUCAAUUCACUUUUUUAAGAGUCUUCACACUUUUAACAUAUUAUAGAUAAGGAAAAAAAACCUAUCAAUAUUAGUUUUCAAUAUAUUUUAGGACUCAUUAAUUUUUAAAAAUUACAGUCGAUAUUAUAAAAUAUAAAGGUAUAAUAAUUUGAUGAAAUAAGUGAAAAAGACGAUUUUAUCUAUUGUAGAGUCUUUUAAUGUAGGAAAAAAAAUUUAAAUCACGUUUUUAAGAGUUUUCACACUUUAAAUAUAGUAUAAAUUAUAAAUAUAACUACAAAUUUCAUAUCUCUCUCUCUAUAUAUAUAUAUAUAUGUGUGUGUGUGUCUCUGUGUGUGUGUGUGCGCGCGCGUAUGUAUAUAUAUAAUAUAUUGAAAGUGUGAAAACCUUUGAAAAAGUGAUUUGAGCUUUUUACCCUUCAUUAAAAGACUCCGUACUAGACAAAAUUAUCAUUUACGAUUUUACUAAAUUAUUAUUUAAUUAGUUAUAAUAUUUUAGGUGUUCCAUUAAAAUUUAGUUAUUUAUCUUUCCUUAUUAAAACAUAAUUGAAAAUACUAUUAAUUUUCAAUUAUUAAUGCAUAUUUGAGGAACUAAUGAUAAAUUAAUCUUUUAUGCAAAGACGUAAUCAAAUAAAUAUGAACUUUAAUACUAAUAAAAUAUUACUUUAGUAGUUAUUUGUUGGUCGAAUUUGUGAGUCCCUUUUGAGAAAUAAUUUUAACAAAAAUAGGUAGGUUAUUUUGGCAAAAAUUUUACUUAAAAUAGAAAACAAAUUAAGUAAACUCUCUUUUUUAAUGUAGGCAUUCAAGUAAUUGUACAAAUCUCUUUCUCUUUACUUUUUUAUGCAAUUUGUAGUUAUAUCUUCUUUGCACUUUGAAUUUUUUUAUUUAAAUGUUGGUCUAAUUAUAUGAUUUUUUACGUGUGCUUUGUGGUAUUUUGAGAUUCUAUUCUUAAUUUUUAAGAUUCUAUCAUAAUUUAUGUUUGAUAAAUUUUGAUCUUGUCUGGAAGAAUGUUGUAAGGAUGAAAAUUUUAAUUCAAAUUUUAACCUUCAAAAGAGUAUGGAUAAUUGAGGUAUAACUUGUGUCAAUUUAAUUAACAUAUGAUUUAUUAUUUUCGAAAGUUAGAUAAUUUAUCUACAUAUAUUAUUUAGGAGGAAAUUAUUCUGGCAAUAAUUUUUUUAAUCGAUCAUAUGUGCUUCAAUUGAUUAGUUACAAAGAAAUUGAGGUUAAUAUUUUUAAUAUUCAUCAUGAUGUUGUCAUAGAUGUAUCAUUAAAUAUUUACAUCUAAUUAUGUACGUUCUUUUAUUAAAGAUAUAUACAAUAUUGAUUUUGAGUAAUUGAAGAAAGUAAAAAAUGUAUUCAUGUACGAUCAUUAGUGUAGCAAGGUAAAGGAGUGAUGUUUUUUACUCCUUUUCUGUUAUAUUUUAUAUUAUGAAUAUUAGUCUCAACUCUAAAUUGGAUAGUAGAAUACUAAUAAUAUUUAUAUUUUAAUUUAAUAUGACGUAUAUGUACAAUAAAUGCUUCAUUGCGGCUUAAUUUCCUCUACAUCUUUUUCUUUGAUGAGCAAAAAAUUUUGAUUCAUUAAAUUUUUCAUUUUAUAUAGAGUUUUGUUGAUUAAGAUGAAAUACUUAUAGUGCCAAAUUAUAUAUUUUAAAUAGAUACAACAUUUAUUUCAACUCAAUUUAUUUUUUAAUAAUUAUAUUUCUUUAUAUAUAAUUAUAUUUAUCAGCACGAGACACACGUACAAAGCACGUACACUUGACUAGUAUAUAUAUAUACUAGCAUAGCGUACGUGCUUUGCACGUAUGUCUCCCUCGAUCAAUGAAAAUAUAUUCAUAAGAAUGUUUAAUAUAAAUAAAUAAAUAUUGUAUCAAAUAUUUAAUAUUGUCUGUUGUAUCUCAACUAAUAUUUUUCACACCGAAAAAGAAUAAAGUUAAUUAGAAAUUAAAAAAUUUAAUUAUACCACAUAAAUUAAGACAAAAAAAAUCAUUUGUAAAAUUAUAAAUCUCUAUAAAUUAGCUUCAACUUAUAGAAGUAUACACUUGAAAUAUGGCACGGUGUUUGAAAUAUCUCAUUGAAUGUUUAUAUACUUUUAGACUUUCAUUCAAAGAACCCCAUGUUGUUUGAAACAUCAGGGCAUAAAAUUGUUAACAAAAUUCAGAAAAUAAUAAAAUUAAUUACAUCAAACUAAUGCACAAUAACAAAAUAUAAGGUAAAGUUGCAUUUUGUCGUUAAUCUGCGUAACCAAAUUCAACAUUUAACUAUAAAUUUAUAUGUUGAAUUCAACAAAAUAAGUUUAAUUAAAGAUUCAAUUAUAAUACUAAGAUAUAGUAUACCAAAAUUUAAUUAAAUAAUAUAAUCAAGACUAAGUCACAAUUAAACAAAAAAGAAAAGAGAUAAACCUUUGAUUUUCUUGUCUAUUUUAUUCAGUGACAAUGUGCUUGGUUUGUGUAUUUUUCCAUCAAAAUUUUCACCUGAAAGUGAAACAUACGGGAAAAUUCAUUGUAAUACAUUGUUAAUUAUGUAUAAUUCAUAUAUAAUCUUUAAGAUCAUUAAUUAAAAAAAUUAAGAAAGAUAGAAGUAGAAGAAGAUGCAUGUUUCUUGUUAAUUUUUAUCCAAAAUAUUACUUAAAUAGAAUUGUAUAGAUUACUUUUUAUGUACAGUAAAAUUCUAAUUGAUUUAGAAGUGUUAAUUCAUAUAUAAUCUUUGUGGCCAUCCAUUUAAAAAAUUAAGAAAGAUGAAAGUAGAAGAAGAUGCAUGUUUCUUGUUAAUAUUUAUUCAAACUAUUACUUAAAUAAAAUUGUAGAAAUUACUUUUUUUAUAUAAUGUAAAAUUCUAAUUGAUAUAGAAGUGUUAAAUACUAUAAUUUAGAUCAAUUGAGUUUAAAAGUGCUAAAUAUAUUGUGUAUAAUUUAAUUAGGAAAGAAUUCAAUAAGUACAAUUUUUUUAAUAUAAAUAUUAAAAAAUCAAGAAAAAUAGAAGUAGAAGAAGAUGCAUGUUUCUUGUUAAUUUUUAUUCAAAAUAUUACUUAAACAUAAUUAAAUACAUAACAAACAAAAUAGAUGCAUCAUUGCAUCUUUUAAUCAUAUCCAACAAUUAUUAAUGAUUAAUAACAAACACUCAUUGUGUAAGAAAUUCAACUUCUCGAACCAAAGCUUCUUUCAACUAAUUAUAUAUUUCUCUUAAAACAAAAGGGCCUUAGAAGUCACACAAUUAAUCCUAAUCGGCUAUUUAUGUGAAUAUUAAAUAGAGAACAAACUAAAAAGAAUAAUAUUACAAAAAUCAAACAAGGAAGAUAAUUAAGGACCUCUAACUCAAUUAACACAUAAAUACACCCGCAUAAAGGCACAGUGGAUUAUUAUAGAAAUAGAUAAUUAAUAAUAAUAAACACCUACAUUCAAAAAAAAUUAUUUGAACAAAGAAAUAAAAAGUAUAGAGAUAAAUAUUUAAUUUUUUCGACAACAUCCUUGUUACGUUGAGUUUUUUAAUCUGAAAUUUUCAACUGCAUGAAAAACACGAGAAAAAUCAUAAGGGAAGAUUCAUUAUCACUUGUUAAUUAUGUAUAAUGCAUAUAUAAUCAAUCUUUAAAACUAUUAGAAAAACAAAAGGCAAAAGAAUGAACAUAGUGAAUGAAAGAAGACAACUUGAAUCAAAUAAGAAAAAAUAUAAGUAGAAGAAGUUAUGUUUCUUGUAAGUUUGAUUCAAAAUAUUCUUAUGUUAUAAAACAAGAAAGAAUAAAUAAGAAGAGUAGAGAGAAUAGAGAGAAUGAUUCUUAUUUCUUCUCUUGAGGGAUGAGAGACCAUAAGAUUGUAAAUACAAUGAACAAAACUCCUUUAUUUAUAGGAGAAAAUUACUUCUAGUCUGAGUAAAAAAUAGAUACUUCAAAUUCUAAUAGAUAUCAAAAUAGAUCUUGAUAGACAUUCACUAUAAUAUAAUUACAUUUAUAACACUCCCCCUUGAAUGUCUAAUUGGUAGAUAAUGUGCUUCGUCAAAACCUUACUAGAAAAAAUCCGGUAGAAAAAAAAUCUAGUGAAGAAAAAAGAGUACACAUCUCUAAUAAUACGCAUUUCGGUUGCCUCAUUAAAAACCUUACAAGGAAAAUCCAGUGGGACAAAACCUUAUAACAGAAAAAGAGUACAGCGUGUAUUAACUCCCCUAAAUGAGAACAUCCUUGAACCUUUGCAUCCCGAUCUUGUACACCAUCUUCUUAAAAGUUGUAAUUGGAGAAUACUUGGUGAAUAAAUAAGUCACAUUGUCAGUUGAACGAAUAUGUUGCACGUUAAUAUCAUCAUUCUUUUGUAGCUCAUGUAUGUAGAAAAGCUUUGGCAAAAUGUGCUUCGUUCUAUCUCCAUUUAUGAAUCCUCCCUUACGAUAAGCUAUGUAUGCUGAAUUAUCUCUGUAUAAAAUUGUGGGUAGAUUGUCAUAUUUCACACCAUAUUUUUCUCAAAUGAGAUGUAUCAUGGACCUCAACCAUACACGUUCUCGGCUUACUUCAUGAAUAGCUAUUAUCUCAGCAUGAUUCGAUGAAGUGGCUACGAUAGACUNNNNNNNNNNNNNNNNNNNNNNNNNNNNNNNNNNNNNNNNNNNNNNNNNNNNNNNNNNNNNNNNNNNNNNNNNNNNNNNNNNNNNNNNNNNNNNNNNNNNNNNNNNNNNNNNNNNNNNNNNNNNNNNNNNNNNNNNNNNNNNNNNNNNNNNNNNNNNNNNNNNNNNNNNNNNNNNNNNNNNNNNNNNNNNNNNNNNNNNNNNNNNNNNNNNNNNNNNNNNNNNNNNNNNNNNNNNNNNNNNNNNNNNNNNNNNNNNNNNNNNNNNNNNNNNNNNNNNNNNNNNNNNNNNNNNNNNNNNNNNNNNNNNNNNNNNNNNNNNNNNNNNNNNNNNNNNNNNNNNNNNNNNNNNNNNNNNNNNNNNNNNNNNNNNNNNNNNNNNNNNNNNNNNNNNNNNNNNNNNNNNNNNNNNNNNNNNNNNNNNNNNNNNNNNNNNNNNNNNNNNNNNNNNNNNNNNNNNNNNNNNNNNNNNNNNNNNNNNNNNNNNNNNNNNNNNNNNNNNNNNNNNNNNNNNNNNNNNNNNNNNNNNNNNNNNNNNNNNNNNNNNNNNNNNNNNNNNNNNNNNNNNNNNNNNNNNNNNNNNNNNNNNNNNNNNNNNNNNNNNNNNNNNNNNNNNNNNNNNNNNNNNNNNNNNNNNNNNNNNNNNNNNNNNNNNNNNNNNNNNNNNNNNNNNNNNNNNNNNNNNNNNNNNNNNNNNNNNNNNNNNNNNNNNNNNNNNNNNNNNNNNNNNNNNNNNNNNNNNNNNNNNNNNNNNNNNNNNNNNNNNNNNNNNNNNNNNNNNNNNNNNNNNNNNNNNNNNNNNNNNNNNNNNNNNNNNNNNNNNNNNNNNNNNNNNNNNNNNNNNNNNNNNNNNNNNNNNNNNNNNNNNNNNNNNNNNNNNNNNNNNNNNNNNNNNNNNNNNNNNNNNNNNNNNNNNAAUUAUCUUUUGGAUGAGGAUCUGGUGAUAAUUCCUAACAUAUUUAUAGCGCUUAUAAUCUCCCCCUUGUGUUAGGAAAACUAACAUACAUCCUCUACUUCUUUGAGGAAUCCAUCUUUGUGCAUUAUGGUAUAUUCAUUAAUCGUAUACCGCACAUCAAAAUUAUUAGAUGGAAUAAUCGAUUUCUGACCUUGAACCAAUUGAGAGGGGAGAAAUGAUCAUAAUUUAUUGUUCUAAUGCAUACAAGUAUUAUUGUAUUCAAAAUAUCAUAUUUCAAACCAACACAUGAAGCUUUGUUCUCAUUAGCGAUGGUUUAGCUAUUUAUCGAAGGCAUUCAAUGCUAAAACAUCAUCAUCAAGAUAACUUUCUCGAUUGCACAAUUUGAAAGUUAUGUUCUUAACUCAAUUUUAUUGAGCAAGCAACUUUAUGAAUUUCAAACUGCAAGUUGACUAUGAAUAUACAUGUGAUCAUCUUAUUGAUGCAUCUUUUCAACAUAUCACAUGAUAGGUGAACAGGCCCUUAUUUACCUUUCAUAAUUUUCAGGUUUGAAGGGAUCCAAUCCCAAUAUUAGUUGGUCCAACCAACUUAUCAUGAGAGCAAACGACAUAAAUAAUUCUUGAAGAAUCUUUUAGUUCUUCAAUACAUGCACAUCUUCGAGAUGUCACAAGCGUUCAUAUCAAUUUAUGAACUUUUAUUAUAGUAAACUCCAAGUUUACCAUGACAUGUACUUUUUUUUUUAGUAAAUGUCAGAUUUACUAUUACAUGAAUAAAUUUCAGAUUUACUACUUUAGAAGUAGAUUUCAAAAUUAUUCAACCUCUUUCGAAGGUGAUUUGUGAUACGAUCACAAUCAAGUGCACGUUUGCAUUAAUAAAUUUCUCAUUUCCCAGGAAUGAAAUAUAAUCGUCCCUUAAGCCUAUCAAAUUAUGAUAUCUUAUAACCUCUUUCAAGAUUUUGCUACUUCAAAAGCAAAUCGAGGCAUACAUAUGAUGUAGAGAAUUUUUCUCUAGUAUAUCUUAUAAUCAUAUAAGCGUGUGAAAAUAUCAUCACUUUUGAUGAUCAUUAUCAUAUUGUCUCUCCUCACGUAUAUUCGUGCAUUCAAUCACUUGUCUUCUUUCAGACAUAUUAUGCACUGCCAUCACAUACACCUCAAGAAUGAAGUAAGUUGUCAUAUUUCAGACUUAUCAUAUAUUGCUACCACAUUCACUUCAUGGAACGAAGCAUAUUCAAUGGGUCGAAUUUCAUGGCUUUUCAUCAAACACUCAUUAUUUUGCCUUAGCCAUCACAAUAUCAUCAAUAUGGUGUAUUGAGAUUCAAACUCAAUAUUUGAUCCAUAUAAAUGCGUCUUAGGCAUGAAUCGAUGGGACUUGAACCCAACAUAUUAUCAUCCUUUUUGAUAAUAUUGUUUUUGGGAAUAAAUUUAAAAUAUAAAUGGUUCCAAACCAAUUAUUUUUUCUCAAAUUCAAUAAUAAUUAUAUUAGUAGUAGCAAAAGAAAGAUAACAUAAAGAAUUACUAACCUUGAAAUCCUUCAGAUUUAUAAUUUCACCUUGUUUUGCAGAGUCUCGUGUGAACAGAUCUCAAUUGGUAAGAGAUUUCGUACAGAUCUCAAUUGGUAAGAGACUUCGUGCUGAUAACGUGUUAUAAAUUAAUAAAGAAUAAAGAAGAAGAGUAGAGAGAAUAGGGAGAGUGAUUCUUAUUUUUUCUCUUGAGGGAAGAGAGAUCAUAAGAUUGUAAAUACAAUGAACAAAACACCUCUAUUUAUAUGAGAAAAUUACUCCUAGUCUGAGUAAAAGACAGAUGCUUCAAAUACUAAUAGAUAUCAAAAUAGAUCUUAGAUAUUCACUGUAAUGUAAAUACAUUUAUAACAACUUACAUAAAAUUAUAGAUUUUUUUUUUUUACAUAAGGUAUAAUUUAAAAGUGUUAAAUAUAAUGAACGUUUACCUAUUAAGGAUUUGAAUUAAUUUCAAAAUCAAUUAAAUAAUAAUUAUUUUAUAACAAAAGUUACUUAAAAAAUAAUUUAUACGUUUUAAGGCAUAUGUAAUACAGAGUUGUUUGCUUAAUUAGAAUCCUAAUUUUGGUAUGCUUUUCGUUUUUUGGUAAUACUAAUCGUGGUAUGCUACUAAAGAAGAAAAAAAGAGAUUUUGUGUUUUCUUGUCUUGAAAUUUAAUCCCGUUUGUUUUCAUAUUUUUUUUUUUCCUUAAAACCAGUUUACUAUUGGUAGAAGGAAAUCUAAGUAAGUAAAAAUAUUAAUUAACUAUAACUGACACCUAACAAAAUUUUCCAUAAAAUUAGGAGUGUUCCCAUAUAUUUGAGUUUUUAAAUUUAUUUUUUAUAUAUAUUUAUUAAAGUCAAUAUUUAAUUUUAAUAAUAAUUAUUUGAGGAAAAAAAUAAAAAGACGAUUUUAUUUAUUGCAAAGUCUUUUAAUGAAGGGCAAAAAGUUCAAAUCACUUUUCUAAGGGUCUUCACACUUUUAAUAUAUUAUAUAAUAUAUAUAUAUAUAAUUAUUUGAUUCUCCUAAUUUUUUUUCUUAUUAUAUAUUUCAGGACUCAUUAAUUUUAAAAAUGAUUAAUUAAAAGUUUUUGAUAUAAAAUCUUGAUUAUUAAAAUUUUUGAUGUUUAGAAAGUGUACUUAAGUCCUAAUAUUUAGAGGUUCCAUAAAUAGAUAAUAACAAAAUAUGAGAGGGUGUUUCUUAGUUUCAUAAUUUGAUCGUAAUCCACCAAUUAUGGAUUACUAAGGAAUCCACCAGUUAUGGAUUAUUAUUGGCUCGACCACAAUUACCUUGAUUGUAAUUACUACCUACUAUCCAUUAGUUUGUAUCUGAAUUUAAUGGUAUUUUGCUACCAUUGUUAAGUACUUAAGUUGAUUUGACUAAUUAAGUGAUCAAUUAAUUCUUUCCAUAUAUUUUUUUGAAUCUAUAUAUUUUAGAAUUCAUAUAUUUUAGGUAGACAUUUUUUUUUUUUUUUUAUAUAUGUAUGUUAUUAGGAUCCCAAAUAUUUUAGGAGACUUUAAUUUAAUAAAUAAUAAUUAAAAAAUAUACGAAAAGAUGAUUUUGUCUAUUACGACUUCUUUUAAUGAAGGAAAAAAAGUUCAAAUCACUUUUCUAAUGGUUUUCACACUUUUAAUAUAUUAUAAAUAAUUGUUUACCUUGAGAUUUAAACAGUAGUGUAAUAUUAGACUUUGUUUGUGAAUAGGUCUAUGGUGACUAUUUAAUGCGGAUUUACUAUCAAGAAGGAAAAAGAAUAAUCUAAAAUUAAGAAAUUUGUUAUAUAUGGGAAAUCUUAAUACUAUUCACGAAUUGUGAGAUCAUUGGGACACCACCGAUUAUUUAAAAGAGGAAAAAGACCUUUAACUUCCUAUAAAUUAGAUUUCUUCCACAAAUUUUAGGUUGAAAAGUUGUUAUCUAUUCACGUGUACAAAUUCUAUGAAUUUAGAUUUUUUCCAUGUAUUAAUAUAUCUUUAAUAAAAGUCCUAACACCUAACAAAUUUGAAAAAACAGAAAAGACCGUGUAUUUGUAUAUCAAAAAGAAAUCUUCAUCAAAACUUUCGUUUUUUUACCUCCUAUUAUAUUGUAUAUUUCAGGAAUCCCUUUUUAGGUAGAACAUAAUCCUAUUAUAUAUUUUUUUUCUUAUCAUACAUGUUAGGGCUUUUUUAAUUCUCAGAAGUUAUAACUAAUAAUAUAAAAAUAAUUAAAUAAUAAUUUUAAAAAAAAUAAAAAAAUGAUUUUAUCUAAAGAGGAGUCUUGUAAACAGGAGCAUAAAAUUCAAAUCACUUUUUUAAGGAUUUCACACUUUUGAUAUAUUAUAGAUUAUAGAUAGAUAUAGAUUAUAGAUUAUAGAUAAAGAUAAUAAAUGACUAUUAAAUUAUUUAGCUGGCAUUUGUGUCUUUAUUUUUAUAUAUCUUACAAAUAAUUACUGCUAAUUAUAUUAAACUAAAAUCAUAUGAGAAAAAUAGCAAAGAAACGAUUUUAUCUAUUGUGUACAAUUAGUUGUAGUGACUUUAUGUUAGGAUACAGAUGACCGACAUAGUUUUUUAACUAUGAAAUGUUGCAAUACAAAAAAAUUAACAUGAAAGACAUUUUAAUUGGGAAGAAAAUUUUGCAACUAAUUUUAUUUUCUUUAUAUUAGGACACGGAUGCCCAACACAAUAUUUUUAGUUAUGGAAUGUUUCAAAAAAUAUUAGCUAACCACAAAGUACUUAUCAAUUAACAUUAGUAAUUAAAUUAAAAUUAUAUGAGUAAAAUAGUAAAAUUGACUAGGAUGUUGUUAUACUUGGUGUGUUCAAGAAAUCUAUAAUCUAUAUCUAUCUCUACAGCUUAUAAUCUAUAAUAUAUUAAAAGUGUGAAGGGCGUUAGAAAUAUUUUUUGAAAUUUUUAUCCUUCAUUAAAAGUCUUUGCUUUAGACAAAAUCAUCUUUUUCAUAUUUUUUAUAAUAUUUAAGUGUUAAAAAUUAAUUAAAUAUAUUUAUGGUAAAAACUUUUCUUUUUAGAAGUCAUCAGAAUUAAUAAUUUUUUUAAUAUUUAAGUGUAGAAAAUUAAUUAAAUAUAUUUUGGUAAAAUAUUUUCUUAUUAUAAGUCAUCAGAUUUAAUGACACGAAAAACUUUUUUCAUUAGUUUAACAAUCCUAAAUCAACUAAAUUUGAUUUUAAGAAGAUUUGAAAAUCUAGAAAUAAAUAUAAAAGUGUUAAAAUAAGAAAAAUUUAAGAAGUACCAAAUUUUAAAAAUUUGAAGUACGUAAUAAAAAUGCAAUCAAUAAUUUGAUAAAUGGUAAAUAUUUGACUUUAAAAACAAGAAAAAAAUUUAAAUAUAGGAAAAAAUAACCGUGCCACAAAUAUGGUUCAAAUUGAUGCAUCUCUCUUUAGCCUCUAGCAGCAAGGGAAGAGGUACUGCAUGACAAACGCAAAAGUGAUGGUCGAUCAAUCACUUGAAACUUUUGAUGUUAAAAUAUAUAUAUGUGCUUAUACUAAAAUGCAUGUUUAUAUUUACAUUACUAUAUUAAAAUGUGAAGUAUCUUCAAAAAAUAAGUUGAAAUUUUAAAUGUCACUAAAAGUAUUUGCAAUAAAUAAAAUCAUUUAGUUUUAAAUAAUCAAAUAUUAUACGUCCGAGGCACGUGCGGUUAAACUAGUAUCCCGAAAUAUGUAUAAUAUGUGUAUACUAAUUGUAUAGAUCUGUAUAAUAAGUGAGAAUUUAUACAUUUAUUAUAUUGUUAUAAUAAUACAUUUCUUAUAUACAUAGAGAUACAUAUUUUAUACAAUAACGAUACAGUUUCAUUAUGUACGAUACAUUUUUCAGAUAUAUACAUAUUGAUACAAUUUCUUUACUAUGAUAAGAAUAGUUGUAUUCAUUAGUGAUACAAAAAUGAUACAAUUUUUUCUGCACAUAAUACAUUUUUCGUGGACAUAUAGUAGUGAUACAUUUUUUAUAUAGUAAUGACAUUAUUUUAUACGGAACAAAACUAUGUUAAAGAGGCAAAAAAAAAAUUUCUAAGCUUCUUGAGCCAUCUGAUAUUCAUCAUUUCUAUUCUUGUCGGCUUGUCCACAUAAUACCAUUCUCUACUUGUAAUCAUUAACAAUAGAAGCCAAAGAAAAUUUUGUAUUUUGCUAUGAAUUGUUUUCGUCGCAAAUAGUUGAAUUAUUCAACUACAAAUUUUAAAGUUGUCACUAUUUAUACCUUGAAAAUUUUGUGACAAAUUUUUAUUGUCACUAAAUCAAUAGAUUGAUUAGAGACAAUAAAAUGAUCGUCACUUAUUAUAUACUAUAAUAUUAGUGACCAAAACUAAUGUCGCAAUUAAAUAUAAAAUUUAUGGUUAAAGCUUACAACAUUUAACUACAAAAUAUAAUUUAUCACUAUUGUAACAACAUAUUUUUUAUCACUAUUAAUUUUGUGUUAAAAAAUUAAUUAAGUUUAAGACAAAAAGUUGAUUUGUCACAAACUAGAUAAGCAAUUAGUGACCAAAUAAUGUGUCACUGAUAAUACAUAAUUCGUGACUAAUGUUGCUUAAUAAAAUGGUGCCAACUCAUUUUUUGACGGGAAACUUUAGAGAACAACAUUGUGCUACGAAAAUUUAUAUUUUAUCUCUAAAAAUAUGUGACAUGUAUUUAACGACGAAAAAUAACUUUUGUCAUUAAAAGCGAACAAUUAGUGACAAAUUAUAUAUCGUAGCUAAGAAAUUUUAGCUAAAUAUCACAUUUGUUGUAGUGCGCCUCCUCCACCUAUUUAUUGCAAACAAUGAAAGAGAGUAGCGAACUAAAACUUCUUUUCAAUUUGAUAAAAAAGAAAAAAUCUGUGUGAAGGUACGUACGGUUGCUUCUUUACUAGAGAGCUUAACACACUUAAACACAUGAUUUAAGUCCAAAAGGGCUCCAACGCCCAUAUUACAUAGAUUAGCGUGACACUGUUCACGCUUUUAUUUCAUAAAUAGACGCUCAAGCAUAUUACAGAGAUUAGCAUGACACUGUUCAUGCUUUUAUUUUUCAUAGAGACACAGUGAAUAGGCAAUAUUUGGAUCACAAUUCCUAGGGCAAGCUUUUGGGUUGUUGGGGUCAGACUCUCCUUCACAAAUGAAAGUCCCGUCAGCGCUGUAAUAGUUGCAACCCUUACGGCCUGCACAGCAAUUGGUGCAUAGGCGAUUUUCUGCGUUUCCUUCGGAACGUGGACAUUUUGAAUAGGCAAUUCUUGUAUCACAAUUCCGAGGGCAAGCUUUUGGGUUGUUGGGGUCAGACUCUCCUUCACAAAUGAAAGUCCCGUCAGCGCUGUAAUAGUUGCAACCCUUACGGCCUGCACAGCAAUUGGUGCAUAUGCGAUUUUCUGCGUUUCCUUCGGAACGUGGACAUUUUGAAUAGGCAAUUCUUGUAUCACAAUACCGAGGGCAAGCUUUUGGGUUGUUGGGGUCAGACUCUCCUUCACAAAUGAAAGUCCCAUCAGCACUGUAAUAGUUGCAACCCUUACGGCCUGCACAGCAAUUGGUGCAUAUGCGAUUUUCUGCGUUUUCUUCUGAACAAGCCUUGGCAUCAACAUGUAGAAGCAAUAUUUCUACAAUAAAUAUAUAAGCUAUAUAUAAAUAUUAAGAAAAAACAUAUCACCACCUUUGUGUAUCACUACUACAAAAUCAAUAUUUUCCUACUAAAAUUUGCCGCAGAAAAAUGUACUUAAUAUUUAAAAUUAGGAAGCUUUCUAGUGUUUCAAUAUGAAACUGUUUCUCACCAUACGUUUUCCAGUAAUCAGUAAGGUGAGAAACGGAUGGAAAAAUCAUGUUUUCCUCUAUCUCUAACAGUGUAUAUACUAAUGAAGAAAUUAAAUAGAAAAAGGAGAAAGGAAAAUCUUACCAAGAACAAGUAGGAAAGCAAGGAAACUAACUUCUUUGUGAACAGCCAUAUUAUGAAUCGGUGGUGAUUAUUUACCUUGUUUUUGUUAUGGAUGAGGAAGUCUAACCAUCACCACCUAUUUAUAGCAAACAAAUAAAAGAUACUUGGCUAACUAAAAAUUUUAUUUCACAUUAAUAUAAAAUUGAAAAUUAGGUACUUCUGCUUGAUUCAUUAUUAGAAAUCUUAUUUUUUUCCUAGUUGUUAUAUUCUGUACUGACCCCAACUUGUUUGUUUUUGAAAUAUUUGUCGUCUUGCAAUAAUUUUCUUCUGCACGUGAUAAGUUGCAUAAAUAUCACUCUAAUUUUUGUGGACAAAAUUAUUUUGGCAAUAGAUAUUAUGUGAAUCAAACAAAUGGCUCACUCAGAAAUUUGCAGCCUGAAUUGGACCACCCGAAAAGAAGAGGAUUGAGAGUGACCCAAAGUAAAAAAUAAAAGAAAAUCUCUUUCAUAACAUUAAAUUUAUUACACUUAAAGAGUAAUAAAUAGAUAUGCAUUGUGUAAACACAAAACAUGGUUGGUCGCGGAUAAAUGAUAGACAAGUAACCCUCCAGAUUUAUGCUAAGGCGUUCUGAUAAAUGGUUAAUGUGUCUGAAUACACGGCUCAAGCUCGGUGAAUCUGAGGUUAGUCGCUUGUAUCCGUAUGUAUUUUAGUUAUCCAAUUUUUAAAAUCAAGAGUAUUUUUUCAUAUAUUUUUCAUUUUACCCUUGAUAGGAAUAUUAAAUACAUUCGCAAAUUUUAAAAUUAUUGAAUGGUGCAUAAAUAAUCUCAAUUCUCAAUAUUAAAUAAUUAUUAAUGAAAAAGUGUAUAUAUACCCCUAACCUUUGAUAAAUGGUACAAAUAUACCCGCCGUCAUACUUUAAGAACAAAUAUAUCCUUACCGUUACUGAAAAGGUAUAUAUAUAACUUUGAACUUCUAUAAAUGGUACAAAUAUACCCCGGCCAUACUUUAGGUACAAAUAUACUCUUUUUGUUAAUGAAAAGGUACAUAUAUACCUCCUCAUAACGGUAGAACAUGUGUCGCAAUCUUGUUCAUUUGCCCUUUUUAAUUUAAUUUAUUCCCACCCUACCCGAAUUAAUUCUAAUUUAACCCACAAGCUGAUCUAAAUAAUAAUUCAAACUCGACCCGGUCUAACAGAAACUUCAAGAUGCAUCUCUAUUCACGCAUAUUCAUUUUCUCUUUCUCUUUCUAUUAGAUAGGGUUGGGUUUGAGUUAUUAGUUGGAUUGAGUUAUGAGUUAAAUUAGAAUUGUUUUGGGUGAGGUUAGGAUAAAUUAAAUUUAAAAAAGGCCAAAUGAACAGGAUUGUAACACGUGUCCUACCUUUAGUGAGAAGGGUAUAUAUGUAUCUUUUCAUUAAUGCAAAAGGGUAUAUUUGUAUCUAAAUUAUGUCGGAAGAUAUAUCUGUACCAUUUAUCAAAGUUCAGGGCUAUAUAUGUACCUUUUCAAUGAUGGCACGGGUAUAUUUGUACUUAAAGUAUGACGGAGGAUAUAUACAUACCAUUUAUCAAAGUUCAUGAGCUUAUUCGUAUCUUUUUUCGAUAAUAUAAUAAAAAAGACAACACCUCAGCAGAGAUUGAUCCCAUGGUCCUGAGAAAUUCAUUCCAUGUCAUUAAGCCAACAUUCUUUGUGUUUAUGAUUUCCCAUCUAUAGUAUUUUAUGGACUUAUUCUAUUUUUAAAUAUAUUUACCAAAUCUAUCGAUAGCGGGUGGGAAUUCCUGGGAACCCCAUCAACACUGUAGAUCUGCCCCUGAUUCUGCUAUAUUAAUAGAUUAUUAACAUGAAGUGUAUAUAAACGUCAUAACCAAUAACCUAUACCCUUUAUUAUGGUACUUGGAAGACUACAUAACAAAGUACGAAUGAUUCAGAAAAUUGCAAAGGAAUUUCUGAACAACACUGCAUACAAGAUAUUAGGAUAACAACUAAGGAAUCGAUAGUAGCCUUAAGAUAGAUAAAAAGAGAAGAAUUUUGUCUUUUCUAUACAAUUACCGCAACGGUUAGGUUUGAUUAUAGGUACCAUCUAUUUUGAACCUUGCCAAAACCUUCAUCCAACAUGUAUAGGCCGUAUCAAGACCUGAUAUAAGGGUAAGCCAAUAGCAAAUGACCUUUUCGUCCGUGCAUCCUCAACCUAUAUUUUACAUUACCGUUAUCUAUAUAAACAAAAUCGACCAAUUAAGUCGCCCUUACACUUGCAGAUAGUUGAACAAAGUGAUAGUAUGAUUACGGAUGAGAAAGAGAUUAUAUUAGUAACACAUGCAGAAAUUAAGUUAAAUGUAUUUGUUCACACAACAAAUACAAUCUGUAACAACUUUAAAAAUUCGGACGUGAAGUUACAAAAUUUUGUCCAAACAAAAGACAAAUUCUACAUUUUAUCAUGAUUUUUCUGUAAUCAAUCGAUCUGUUUUUCGAUUCCCUUCAAUAUAUUGCAAGUUGUGAACCACUAAUACAAAAAGAACAUGCAUAUUUAUAUGACCGCAUCAUGUUUUGACGUGUGUAUCAAUUAAAUAGAAGGACAACUAGAUGCACAAAAUAUUUCGCGUUAAGAUUGCACUUUUUGAGAGCAUUGAUUUUUCACCUUUUCAAAUCCAAAACAGCUCAAGUACUAUUACCCACCCAACCGAAUGACUCUCUUCUGCAAAGCAACAGUUAAUGCAAACUUGAGUAACCUUGGCCUAUUCAGAAGACAGAUAAGUCAUGUAAGCAACUCUAGGGUCACAUUCUUGAGUACAAACCCGGGCAAAGUUGUCAAAUGCCCAUUUUCAAAACUUUCUUUAUCAUAUUUAGAAACAAGUCUUGAAAAAUUGGCCAAAUGACACCAUUUAUGAUGUCAUCAUAUAUUUUUUCAAACUUAACAAAUCUAACAUACAAGUUUUUACUAAUACACUUUGACCCCUUCUUCUCAUCCCUAAUUAUGUUCAAAAUAUCAUUUCAAAAUAUUUUAAAAAAAAUUCAAAAGCUUAAAAAAGAAGCUCCCAAUUUCCCUUUAAAAUUCUCUAUUUCAGGCACGAUUUCAGAGAUUUUUUUCGACGAUCAGCUCAAAAUCCGUCCACAAAUGUCAUAAUCUUGUUCAUUGCAUCAAUUGUUACCCCAUUUGUUUAUUAUUUUCUCAAACACACUUUCCACUAUUGUUAUAAAGCUUCCAAAUCAUUCACAUUAUGCAAAACCUCUUUAGAAUGUACAUUACAGUAGCUCAGGUGACUCUAACUUCAUUUCUCUAGUCCAUAAAACCUACGAUUGUUCAAUAGAAGUAUUUUUUGCACUUUCAAUGCUUUGUACGGAUAUCUUCCCAAUCAACGACCAUUCAUAAAACAGACAUAUACCACUAGCAGAAUCAAGGAUUAGCUCCAGUAUACUUUUAGGAUGUCAGUUAUGAUUCGGACAAAGUAAGAAAACCACAAGUAAAAGAAAACAAGAACAACACACAGAUUUAUGUGGAAACCUUUGCUAGAAAAACCACAGGCAGAGGAAAAUAAGGUUUCACUAUAAUAGAGAGAGAGUACAAUAUGGAGAAGGCUGAAUUUUUUGAAUACCCAAAAUAACCCACUAAAUGCACUUAUAUAAUAUGUGCAUACAAAUAAGUCCUAGGCCCUAAAACAUAAAGGUCCAUAUCGGGCCGCUACGCUACCAUCACAGACCCCAUUGAAAAUCACCAACAUGGGUAUCACGGCAAAACUUUCUGGGCCAGAUCAAUAAAAUUUGGGUCACAACUCUAACAAUAUCCACUUUGACAUGAAUUCUAAUUCAGAACUCAAAUCCAAUUCAAGACAAACUCUCCACUUCUUCCAUAAAAGCUCCUAAGGGCACAUAUUAACAGCUAACACUACCAAGUUCAAGCAAUGCUCAAACUUGGCGCUUGGUAGUAUCUUGGUCAUUAUAUCAGCAGGAUUAUCAUGAGUACAAAUCUUUCUCACCACAAUAUCACCACGAGCAAUAAUUUCAUGCACAAAAUGAAACUGAACAUUGAUGUGCUUUGUCCUUUCGUGAAACAUCUGAUCUUUUGAGAAAGAUAGCACUCUGACUGUCGCAAAAAAUUAUAGUAAUCUUUAAGUCUUUGCUAAGUUCACCGAACAUAUCCUUCAACUAAAUAACUUCCUUGAAAGCUUCUGUAAUAGCCAUAUACUCUACCUCAGUAGUUGAAAAAGUAACUGUAGUCUGCAAGGUAGCUUUCCAACUAAUAGCACAACUACCAGUGGUGAAAACAUAGCCUAUAAGGGACCUCUUUUUAUCAUGAUCUCCUGAAAAAUCAGCAUCAACAUACCCGAUUACUCCAUCUAUAUUUCGCCAAACUGCAAACAAACAUCAGUAGAUCCAUGAGAGUAUCUGAAAAAAUCCACUGAAUUGUUUUCCAAUGUUCUUUGUCAGGAUUUUCCAUGUAUCUACUAACUGCAUAAGAUAAAUCUGAUCGGGAACACACCAUCUCAUACAUAAGAGACUCGACGACACUAGAGUAUGGAACUCGAGACAUAUAGUCACGCCCAUCAUCUGUCUUUUGAGAUAAAGUGACUGAAAGUUUGAAGUGAGCUGCCAAUGGAGUACUUACAGGUUUGAAGUGAACCUGUGAAGCACUUUCUCAAUAUACCUUUUCUGACUCAAGUAUAACUUACGCUUCUCUUUAUUCCUCAUAAUUUCCAUGCCCAAAAUCUUCUUUGCUGCUCCUAGAUCCUUUAUCUCAAAAUCCUUGCUGAGCUGGGCUUUGACUUUUUUUUAUCUCUUUCAUAUCCUUUACAACAAUCAACAUACAAGAGAAGAUACAUGAACAAACCAUCACUCACCUUCUUAAAGUAGACACAACUAUCAAUACUACUCCUUCAAAAUAUAUGAGAGGUCAUAAAAGAGUCAAACCUCUUAUACCACUACCCGGAAGACUGUUUAAAUCCAUAAAGAGACUUUUUUAGUAAGCAUACAUAGUCCUCCUUUCCCGAGACUACAAAACCCUCUGGUUGCUGCAUAUAGAUAUCUUCCUUAAUUUCUCCAUAUAAGAAUGCAGUUUUGACAUCCAACUGCUCAAGCUAAAUAUCAUGCAUGUUCACAAUACUAAGCAAGGCUCAAAUCGAACUAUGCUUUACAACUGGAGAAAACACAUUGUGAAGUCAACACUUGGAACUUGACUGUAACCUUUAGCAACUAGUGUUGCUUUGUACUUAGCAUCUUCAACUCCGAAUGUUCCUUCUUUCUUUUUGAAUACCCACUAGCAAUGGACAACUUUUUUAUCUUUAGGCAAUCUUACCAGAUCCCAUGUGUCAUUCUUAUGAAGUGAUUCUAUCUCCUUUUGCAUAGCAAUCAUCCAUCGAUAGAAAUCAUCACAACUAACUGCCUCUGAGUAAGAAGAAGGAUCUUCACGGAAUUAAUACCUUCUUCUACACUUAAUGCAUAAGCAACCAAAUUAGCCUCAGCAUACUUCUGAGAAGGCCUAAUAUCUCUUCUAGGGUUGUUUUCAGCAAUCGAAUAUUGUGGCACCACUGGUGAUGAAGAAGAAAUAGUAUCACUUUGUAUCUCCGAGCUAGACUGAGAAGUAGGCACUGGUGUAGACUUUGCUCCAAUGUGCAAUUCAACAUAGGUGCUUGACUUUGGCUGAUUCAUGUCACUAAGAUCAUCUGGAGGUGAAGCACUAGAUUCGGAGGGAGCCCGAAGCAUGGCAGAUUCAUCAAACGCAACAUUCUUGCUAAUUAUAACCUUUCUGCUUUCUAGACACCAAAGAUUGUAACCUUUAACACCAGGCUUAUAACAUAUAAAUAAACACUUAACAGAUAUAGGCUCUGAAUUUUCAUUAUCAACAUGAGCAUACACAAGACAUCCAAAUAUCCUCAAAUCAGAAUAACUAGCAGGAGUACCAGUCUAUACCUCUUGUGGAGUCUUUUUAUCAAUCACUAUUGAGGAAGAACGGUUAAUAAGAAGACAAGUUGUGGAAGUAGCUUCAGCCCAAAAAGACUUGGGUAAACAAGCAUUAGAGAACAUACAACACACCUUCUUCAUUAUAGUCCUAUUCAUUCGUUCAGCCACACCAUUCUGCUGCAGAGUAUGACGAACUGUCAAGUGCCUCACAAUUUCUUCUGACUUGCACAGAGCAUUAAAUUCAUUAGAACAGAACUCUAAACCAUUAUCAAUCUAAAAGCAUUUUACCUGCUUCCUUAUUUGCUUUUCAAUCAUAAUCUUUCACUCCUUAAAAGUAGGCAACACAUCAUUAUUUUUCUUUCAGGAAGAACACCUAAACAUUUCUUGAAUAGUCAUCAAUAAUAGUCAACAAAUAAUGUGCACCUCCUCUAGAAGGUACUCUAGAAGGACCCCAGAGAUCAAAAUGGAUGUAAUCAAGUGUGUCUUUAGCUGAGUGGAUGCCUUUAGUAAAUCUGACUCUCUUUUUCUUCCCAAAAAUACAAUGCCCACAAAACUCUAGUUUGGUAAUACUCUGCCCAUUAAGAAGUCCUCUCCUGCUUAGUUCAGCCAUCCUAUUUUCACUCAUAUUCCCCAGACGCAUAUGCCAAAGUUUAGCAACAUCACUUUCUGAUAGAGAGGAGGUAGAAACAGUUGCAUCACCUGUAAACAUAGAGCCUUGCAAGACAUACAAAUUUUCAGACUUUCUCUAUCCCUUUAUCACAAUAAGAGCACCUUGAGCAACCUUCAGAACUCCACCUUCACCAGUGUACUUAUAUCCGUUUGAAUCAAGAUUACUCAAGGAAAUAAAAUUUCUCUUCAGGUCUGGGAUAUACCGCAUAUCACCAAGUAUCAUCACAACCCCAUCAAUCAUCUUAAUUCUGAUUGUUCCAAUAUCGGCUAUCUUUCAAGGUGUAUUAUUUCCCAUCAAUACAACACCUUUUAGAGACUGCUUUAUAUGUUAUAAACCAAUCCCGAUUAUGACACAUAUGAAACGUGCAUGCUGAAUCAAGAAUCCAAUCCUCACAGGGUUUAGAGUUACCAUAAAAAACUGCCAAGAGUUCCCAUUACUACCGUCAUCAUCAACAAAACUGGCUUUACCGAACUUUUUUGGUUGGUUUUUCUUUUAUUUUUGGAGCUUCUUUUUUAUCUCUAUUCUAUAACUUCCAACACUCGAAUUUGAUAUGACCCUUUUUAUUGCAGUUUUCACAGGUUUUGUUUUUGUUACUAAAUUUUGAUCCGUUUCUAUCAUCACCCCAGAGUUUCUCUCAUGAUUCCUUCCUCGAAAAAUGAGACCAUUUGCUUGAGUCUUUGAACCAUUCACAAGAUGCUUCUCUCCUUAGAAAACAACGCAUCAUAGACUUUAUCUAUGGUCUGGGUAUCACGACUAUAUAAAAUCGUAUCCCUAAAGGUCGAGUAUGAUGCAGGCAGCGAACACAACAGAAUCAACCCUAGAUCUUCCUCAUCGUACUUAACCUCCAGAGUUCUAAACCAGAGAUGAUUUCCUUAAAGAUAGAUAGGUGAUCCUUCAUGGACGCACCCUCAGACAUACGAUGGGAAUAAAGUCAUUGUUUGAGAUGCAACUUACUAGUUAGGCUAUUCAUCAUGCAAAAAGAUUGCAGUUUCAACCACAAGCAGGAUAGUGGUCUCCUUCAAAACAUCCUAUAGAAUCUGAUUGGAUAAAUGAAGGUGGAUCUGAGAAAGAGCCUUUCGAUCCUUACGUCGUUUGUCAUCAGCUGUUCAUGAUGAGGGCAUAUGAUCAAACCCUAAUAGAGUAUCGUCUAAAUCAAUUUGCACGAGCACAACCCACAUCUUAACCUGCCAUAACAAAAAUAUGCCGUUGCAAUCCAACAAUGAAAUAUCAUACUUCAUGGUUGUCAUCCCCGAGAGAACAAUCGAAACAGGCUCUGAUACCAGUUUGUUAGGAUUCAAACAGAGUAAGCAAACCACAAGUAAAAGAAAAUAAGAACACCAUACAGAUUUAUGCGGAAACCCUUGCAGGAAAAACCACAGGCAGCGGCAAAGGAGGUUUCACUAUAAUAGAGAGAGAGUACAAUGUGGAGAGGCUGAAUUUUCUAAAUACCCAAAAUAACCCACUAAAUGAACUUAUAUAAUAUGUGCAUACAAAUAAGUCCUAAGCCCCAAAACAUAAAGAUUCAUAUCGAGCCUUUCGGCCCGAUCCCUAUGCUACCACCACAGACCCCAUUGAAAUCACCAACAUGGUCGCACUGCGAAGCUUUCUGGGCCGGAUCAACAAAAUUCGGGUCAUAACUCUGACAAUGUCUAUUGUAGAGGUUCUUGUUUCUGGUAAUUUCAUGGGAGAAUGGGUGGAGACUCCCAAACGUUGGAAUUGGAAAUCUUUUACUAAGGUGACAUUGUCCAUUGCGGUUCGCCGCAAUAGUUGAUACGACGACUAGGUUGCAAGUGUAAUGAAGACCGUGGAUUUAGAUUGCGAGCCAAGCGAUAUGGUGAUUAGUUAUCUAAUGAACUCAAGAAAAAAUGUGCAUCGUACGAUCUUAAAUAAUGGCAGACAUGUGUCUUUGUUCAUGUUGGAUGUUAGUGCUGAUGGCUUUAGGCCUAUUUUAAAAAUAAAUGUAGUUGGGAGGUCUCCUUUACACUCUCUCCUUUACGAACUUGCCGUCUUUAUCAAAAUAGUAGCAACCUUUGUAGCCCGUGCAACAGUUGGUGCAUCCAGUGGGAUAAAUUAUCAUCUCUCCUUAUACAAAGCAUGUUGCGUUAAGAAUAUACCUUUGAGAGAUUACACAUGCAUUUACGAAGGAUUAUCCUUUUUUUAUGAAUUACAGUAGACCUAGAGUCACUCAUGAUAGAGCCUAGAGGUCACAUUUUGUACGAGUACGAGUUAUUCGUCUUGUUUCAUAUUGCUAAAGAUAAAUAUUUACCUUAUAAUAACAGUGUUUAAUUUGAAGCUGAAAUGAACAGUUGAACUACUGUCAAACCCCAACUAAUUCCUGUUCUUUCACUUCUUCCGUUGAGGCAAGAUUUAUCCCAAAGAACUUGUAAACAACAAGUUACAUCGUUAAAUUUAUUUUGAUGUCCAAAAAAAAAUAAUGUUCUUUGUAAAUUAUCCAACUUUAUAUUCAUUAGCAAAAUAUAAUAGAAGUUGAGAGAAAAGAAAAAAGAGGAAGAAAAAAAAAUAAAGAUCGAGAAAAAAAAGGAAAAAAAGUAAAAUUUAAGAAUAAAAAUGAUGAGCUCUACAAAAUAAAAACGAAUUACUCAUACUUUGUGAGCUGUAUAAAAUAAAAAUGGACAACGCUCAUAUUUAAUUAGCCUUAUAUUUUUUUUUAAAGUUAGGGACGUUGCCAACCAUUCCAUUAAAAAAAGAAGCGCUAAAGCUCACAAAAUAUGUGAGCUUAAUGUGAACGGAGCCUAUUUUGAUAUCAUUUUAUAUACCGGCAAUUGGAUACUUAUGCUUGAUACUUUAUUAGAAAGCUUAGUUUUCCCUAGUUGUCACAUUCUUUCUCUUAUUAAUUAAGCCGUACUGAUUCCGACUUUCUUAUUUCAAUUUGUCAUCUAGCAAUAAUUUUUUCUCCACGUGAUGAAUUGGAAGUCAGUAACAGAUGGCUCAUACUUGCAGCCUAAAUUGGACCACCCGAAAUGAAAAGGAUUGAGAGUGAUCCAAAGUAAGAAAUAAAAGAACAUCUCUUUCGUAGGGAAUAUUGUAUCUAGUUGAAGGAUGGAUAAAUGUUUCUGACGCAACGAUUUAUGGUGAUUAAUUGUUGCUCCCUCUAGUUUUUAGGUACCAUCAUUGCACGUAAUCCCUAUUUAAUUCAGCUGAUAUAUUAGAUAAUAAUAGAUACUAUAUUAUAUAGUUUUCUAAUCCUGUCUUGAUGUGUUGUACACAGUGUAACAGAGUAUUACCACGUAUAAUUUGUCUUUAAUAUUAGUUCUAUCAACUCUAAAGUCAGUUGGAAUACGGUUGUGAGACUCUUUUGUAGAGAUUUGAGUCUCUGUAAUCUCAUCAAAAGCUUUGAAAUAUGCAGUUGCCUUAUACUGUUGAUAUAUAACUCAUAGGUUCCCCAGUAGUAAAUAGUGAAGAACCAAAAUGACUAGAGAGUGUGUAAUCAUCUCCUGCGAUUCAACAGUUAACACAAAUUUGAUUAAACUUGGCCAAUCAAUCUCUCUCUCUAUAUAUAAAGGAGAAUGUUAGCUCAUGUGGUAUGAUUUAGAGGCCUCCAAUGUUAUUUAUUUUUUUUGUGAUUUUUUUGAGUUCUUAUUGUCUAAAUAUUUUUGUUAAUUCUUUUUCCUUUCCUAUAAUUAAUGUGAUUAAUUUGUUUUAAAAUUUAAUAGAAAAAACAAUGAACCAUUUAUCUUCUUCAUUGUGUUGUGAUUGUUGUAGGAAUGAAUACCAUCCACACUAAUCACCAUAUAUCAUUAAUCUGCCGUUCAUAUUUCUUAUAUUAUUAAUCCUGUUUUUCAUAUUCCCUAAUUGUAACAACUCUUUAAAUCAAUCUUUGCAUUGCAACUCCUUCUCUUUUAAUUGAAACCUGAUUUGAAGAGAAAAAAAAUCAUUUCUUCUUUUUUAUUUUUAAGUUAAAUUAAAGAAAUCUCAUGACCUAAAAUUGUUCUUUCAGUUCUAUUACUUUUUUCUCUUAAUCCCUAUUUAAUAUUUAUCUACUGAAAUUUCAAGAAUUCAGUUUUUCGAGAAUGCUCGAAUAAAUUAGUAUCAUGAAACAAAAGAAGAAACGUAACAAAGUGCAUAGGAAAGCUUAAAUUUUUUGUAGCACUAUACUCCUGUUUCUUAUACCUUAAAAAUAGUACUGAUAGUGUUUUUUUUUUUUUGCAUCUGAAUGUUUGCAUCUAUAUGUUCUUUUCUAUUAGAUUCGAUCAAUUCUAUUAGUAAAUUAGCCACGUAAAAUAUGUACCCAUCAAUCUCAAUCUAUUCUAUAAAGGGGUUCAAAAUUAUGUAAGUGCAGACUAAUUAACUUCUUAACCGUUCUAUUAUUCGUCAAUUAAAUUAUAUUGAUUCUGUUGAAAAAAUUACUACAAUAUUGAUAUGAAACUGGAAUUAAUAAUAGUAAGAGAAUAGUCACAAAACACUGUGUCGUGGCAAGUCACUGCCUUGAAAGCGAUUUCGGCCUGACUCCGGUGCCAAUCCUUCUAGACGGUCGCUUCCCAAGGUUCCACAACUACUUCCAAACAUGUGCACUCGUGGCUGAAAGUUUGGAGUUGCAAAAAUUAUUACCUAGAAAUUCACAAGGAAUAGAAUACCAAUGAUGAGAAAGCAAUAAAGAGAGAAAACCAAGCAUAGGCAAAUGGUAUUUGUUUCUUUGGAUGUGUUUAUUCAUCAAGUGAAGACACAAUUAUAUAGGUUUGGAAAUAAAUAUUUUUGGUGAAGAAAUAAAUGAGAUCAGUUAUUAUCUCAUUUAAGAAAAUUGUUAUAUUUCAUCUCAUUAAACAAUGUAUAUCUUAUUACUUUGCAUUUUAAUUUGCAUAAUUAAUUAGAGAUAAAUGAAUGCAAUGAAUUCAUUGUCAUUCAUAAACGAAAAAUCUCACAUUCCCCCAUAAAAUGCAAAAAAAAAAUAAAAAAAAUAAAAAAAUAAUAUGAAUAGUUUUUGGGCAAAAGAAAGGAACACGUACUUAAGUAUCAAUAUCUUUCAACUUGAAUUGAUACAUAGUGAAAUGAGGCAACAACAAAUAUCCACAAAGUGAAGUACGCUUGGAAAAAAUAAAUAUAAGCUGAAACCCCCACAACACAUACCAUAUUCUUGAUUUUAUGCAAACUCCGCGAUACUCAUAAAGUGCUUUUAUGAUCAUGCACACAAACCUUAGGUCUCAUGAGUGCUCUAGAAAUACAACCCAAGUCUUUUAUAAAAAGGUGACCAACUUUUUAAACUCACAUAGGUGAUCCAUUAAGUCUAUCUCUUAGACCACCUUAAGGCUGUAGAUCAUUAAGAGAAAAAAUAACCUCAACCUUAUAAUACACUACCUCAAGCCAUAGGGAUAGGAUAUGUUGUGUUUAUUGAUGUCCUAUAUGGCUUCGUUUGACCACAAAUGGGUAUCCACCAUAUUACCUUAAUCCAUGGGCUUUAGCCCCAUCCCCUCGACGAUUUAAUGACCAUUUUCCUUGUCAAACCCUUGGUCAUAGGAUCCACCAAAUUUCUUUCGGAUCUUACAUAUUCCAAGAAAAUAACACCAUGUUUCAAUAAUUGUUUAACUGCACCAUAUCUGAAAGAAAUAUGUCUCUUUUUAACAUUGUAUACACUAUUUUUAGCAAUCCCAAUAGCCGCCUGUGAGUCACAAUGUAAAGAGACUGGUGAUAUUUGUCUUUCCCAUAAAGGCACAUCUAUCAAAAGAUUUUUCAUCCACUCAACUUCUUAUCCUGCCAACUCGAGAGCAAUGAAUUCAGAUUGCAUGGUAGAACGUGCUAUACAAGUCUACUUUGAGGACUUCCACGAAAUAGCACCUGCACCUAAAGUAAGCACAUAGCCACUGGUCGAGCUAAAUUUAUCAUUGUCAGUAAUCCAGUUUGCAUCACAAAAAUCUUCUAAAACAGCAGGAAAUUUAUUUAAAUGCAAACACCAAUUCAUAGUACCUCUCAAGUACCUUCAAAAGCGAUGAAGAGCAUGCCAAUGUUCACUACUGGGAUUAUGAGUAUACCUACUCAAUCUACUAACAGUAUAAGUUAUAUCAGGACGAGUAUAGUUCAUGAGAAACAUUACACUCUCAAGUAUUUUAGAAUAUUUAGUUUGAGAAACACUGGAAUCUUUAUUCUUUUUCCAAGUGUAUUCUAGGACUAUAAGGAGUUCUCACUGAAACUACAUCAAAAUAAUCAAACUGUUUCAACAUUUUUGACUGACACAAAGAGAAACCAUUAACAGUUCUUUUAAUUUUUAUUCCUAAAAUCACAUCAGCUUCUCCAAAGUCUUUUAUUUCAAAUUUAGAAAAUAAAAAUUUCUUAGUCUCGUUUACAACAUUCACAUUAGGGCCAAAGAUUAAUAUGUCAUCCACAUAUAAACAUAUAAUCACAAAGUUUGAUCCUAUCAUUUUAGAAUAAACACAGGUAUCAGAUGAAUUAACAACAAAGUCAUUGUGAAAUUAAAUUUUUCAUACCACUGCUUAGGUGUCUGCUUAAGUCUAUAUAAGGACUUUCUCAAUUUGCAUACUUUAUCCUCUUGUCUUGGGACCACAAAAUACUCAGGUUGAGUCAUAUAGAUCUCUUCCUCUAAAUCACCAUUUAAAAAUGCAGUUUUGACAUCCAUUUGGUAUACCACUAAAUUAUGAAUAGAGGCUAGAGCAAUAAGAGUCCUAAUAUUCACUAUUUUAGUCACAGGAGAAUAAGUAUCAAAAUAAUCAACACCUUUCUUUUGGUUAAAGCCCCUAAUGACAAGUCUAGCCUUAUAUUUAUCAAUUGUACCAUCAAGCCUCAAUUUCUUCUUGAAUAUCCACUUGCUACUUAUGGGUUUACAACCUUUAGGCAAAUCAUACAAGACCCAUGUGUGGUUAGAAAUUAUAGAGUCUAAUUCACUUUUAAUAGCCUCUUUCCAAAAUAUUGCAUCUAUUACACUCAUUGCUUCAUCAUAUGUCUUAGGGUUUUCUUCUUUUAAGUAGAUAGACACUAAUUCAUCAUUUAAAGUGUCGAUAUUAAAAUCCUCAUUUAAGAAGGUGGAGAUAAAUUCAGGAUCAAAUCUAGUCUAAGUUCUACGUUUUUUACUGCUUCUCAGUUCAUUUUCAUGCUUAUUAGCAAUAACAUCAGAUACAGGCAUAACAUGAGAGUUAACAGACAUAAAUAUAGAAGUAUUAUUUUGCACAUUACUAGGCACAUCAUUUUUCAAAGGAAAAACAUGCUCAAAAAAUUCUGCAUCUCUAGAUUCACAAAUAGAAUAAUUAUUUAAUGAAAUAAAUCUAUAUGCAACUCUUUUUUAAGAAUAACCAAUAAAGACAGCAUCAAAAGUCUUAGAACCUACAUUACUCAUUUAAAAUCAGGUAGACCUAACUUAGCCAAACACCCACACACUUUCAGAAAUUUAAAGUUAGGGGCAAAUCCUUUCCAUAACUCAUAUGAGGUUUUGUAUAACUUUUUAUAAGAGACUCUAUUAAGAAUAUAGCAUGCAGACAAGACAACUUCUCCCCAUAUAUAGUCAGGUAGACCUGAUCUUAAAAGCAUAGAAUUCAUCAUAUUCUUAAGAGUUCUAUUCCUUCGUUCAGCUACACCAUUUUAUUAGGGAGUAUAAGGAGCACUAAACUCAUGGAUAAUACCAUUUUUCUCACAAAAAUCUUCUAGAGAUUUAGUAUUAUUCACCGCCCCUGUCAGAUCUACAUCUCUUGAUUUUCCUGUCUAAUUGAUUUUCUACUUCUGCUUUGAAUUUUAAAAACAUGCUUUCAACCUCAUCUUUAGACUUAAGGAGGUAUAACUUAGUGUACCUAGAAAAGUCAUCAAUAAAAGUAAUGUAAUACUUAUUUCCACCUUUACUAAUAGUGUUCUUAAAAUCUGCUAAGUCUGAAUGUACUAGUUCAAGCUAUUCGGCCUUUCUACUAGUAACAUAUUUAAAAGGUUUCUUAGCAUGUGUCACGACCCGAACCAGGGCCUGGCCGUGAUGAGAAUUUUGAAUCAUGGAGGCCCAAAACAUCCUUAUCUAUCUGGUAAUCAUGCACCUAAUUCAUAUGAUCAAAGUAAUGCGGAAGAAACACAAUAAUUCAGAAACAUGGUCAUAGAUAUGAAAAGAACCAAUAGCGGGGAAAUAAAGUUCCCCCGAAAUCAAUCAACCUCUAAACAUCUGUCUGCGAAAAUCUCCAACAAAUGACUGAGUCAAGUAACUGUAUAUAAAUUGGAACAAGGCCCCCAGUAGACCACAAAACUAAAUAUAAAAUAAAAGGACUGCGGGACAUAAAGACCUUUCGAAACAUAGAAGGCUCACCACUUGUCUCUGCUACUCUGUCUGAAUGAUCUACUAAUUCUCUUGACCCCUAGACUGGGCCUCUGAACCUGAGAGGUUGGAGAGGAGAGGGGGUCAGUACAAAAGUACUGGCAUGCAGAGAUAUCAAAAUAAAACAUAAUAUUUUUACAAAAUAUAGUUGAGAGUCAUUAUAAGCAAUUUCAUAUCAAAUCAUUUGAAAACACCUGGGCAUAAUGCAAUAGUUUUCAAUACAAAUGUAAUUCAAUUGAGUUAGGUGGAAUACCCUACAAUUGUAAUUCCACGGAUAUGUGGAAUUCGCCUCUGGUGCUUGGCGGCCAAGCCUCCAAUCCAAGUAGCCGCCAGGAGUUGGAGCUGGUAUACCCUCCAUGUGAGUAUAUCGCAGGGAAUCCCCCAUGUGAGAUGUCCCAAUUGUUUUAUUAUCCUCUCAUGUAGGAUACAAUAUCAUAUGACCCGCAUCGGUAACUACGGUUUCCAGCGAUGAGCCAUUUCACUCAAACGCCUUCUUCGGGCAUCCACCUUUCUCAUAAAAUCAAUGCAUUUCAAACUUUGGUCAAAUCAAUCUUAUGUCAUACUCUGUAGGGUAUUGUCAUACCCGACUUGCAAGUCAUCAGUAUCAUAUCAUUCUCUUCAUUCAAUCAACAUAUGCAAUAUAUUUCAACAUGAACAAAACAACCCUCUCUUUGAAAGUCAAAAUCAUAUCCAAAUCAUGACUUUUUUUAAGACAUUUCAUGACAUGCAUUUCAAGAUGAUUUCAAACAUUUCACAUCAUAUGAGGAUUUAAUACAAAAUCAUAUCAAGAGAGGGGUUCCAUCUAAAUCAUUCUCUCAAUUUAUCAUCAUUAUGAAACACAUACAUAUACAUAUAUAAUACAUCAAAUCAUUUCGGGGAAAGGCCUAAAAGACCACAACAAUAUCAUUAAAACAUUUAAAACAUAAUUAUAUUCUAAAUUUCAAAACCCCCAUUUUUGAAAACAUAAAUUUUAAAGCCCAUGAGAUUUUUUUGAGAUAACCCCACGUACCUCUAUUUCCAAAGAUAAUAGAUGUUUCUUGAAGCUUGUGGAUUGGUGAUUCCAAAUAUGUAAUUAUCUUCGAAAACCUACGAUUGAACCUUGAACUAUUUGGGUUUUUACUUUGAAACCCUAGGAAGAAACCUUGAGCACUUUUAAUGAAUGAGGGUGUAUUUUGGGGUCCUUGGAACUGAAUUUUGUGUUUUAGGGCUAAGUAAGGGUGGAAAAGGACCAUUUUGUCCCCAAAAUGGAGUGUUUAAGUCACUUAAAUUCUUUACAUAGGCGCCGUCCAUCUCAUUGCUUAUGUUUACAUAGGCGCCGCCUAGGCUAUCGCCUAUGUUUACAUAGGCGCCGCCUAGGCUAUAGCCUAUGCUUUCCAGUGGCCAUGGGCGAUUGGUUAGGCGACACAUAUCACUUUGAAAGGCCAUAACUUCUUGCUCGGGUGUCGAAUUUUAGCAAAAUUGGUAUCGUUGGAAAUCUAACUCGAAGACCUAUCAUUUGACACGUAGUAGGAUCCCUAACUCAAAAUAUACGGAGAAUUAUGAUCGAUGGAAGCUGACACACUUUACCAUGUCCACUAAAACUUAGUCAAUCUAAAUAGUUUCAACUCGUCCUUAAGUUGAAGGACCUCUAUGGUCUAAAUUCAGGCUUGAAUGGAUUCACAUGCUACACAAUUAAUUAACACGCCGCAUUGGCAUAGGAUUUUAUGGCUUUGAAAUUAUCAACGCAUCAAAAUCAUGGUCUAUAUUGUAGCCCGAAAUGCGGAACGUUACAAGAAUAAUUCAGUUCGGAUCUAAAUACGUUGGAACGACGGUCUAAACUCUAGCCCAAAAAUACGGGGUGUUACAAUAUGCUUUGCUUCUACACACAAAGGACAUUUAGAAAUAUCAUAAAUAUUUAUUGUAGGAAUUAAUCUUAUUUUUAAAGUCUUUUAAUAGAAGUAAUAUUAACAUGACCUAUCCUACCAUGUCAUAAAUUAAUAGACUCAGUAAUAUAAGUAGAAUUAGGAAUAUUUACAUUAUUGACUCAUCAUUUAAAAAUGCAGUUUUGACAUCCAUUUGGUGUACCACUAAAUUAUGAAUAGCGGCUAGAGUAAUAAGAGUCCUAAUGGUCACUAUUUUAGUCACAGGAGAAUAAGUAUCAAAAUAAUCAACACCUUUUUUUUGGUUAAAGCCCCUAAUGACAAGUCUAGCCUUAUAUUUAUCAAUUGUACCAUUGGGCCUCAAUUUCUUUUUGAAUAUCCACUUGCUACUUAUGGAUUUACAACCUUUAGAAAAAUUAUACAAGUCCCAUGUAUGAUUAGAAACUAUAGAGUCUAAUUCACUUUUAAUAGCCUCCUUCCAAAAUAUCGAAUCUAUUAAACUUAUUGCUUCAUCAUAUGUCUUAGGGUUUUCUUCUUUUAAGUAGAUAGACACUAAUUCAUCAUUUAAAGUAUCGAUAUUAAAAUCCUCAUUUAAGAAGGUGGUGAUAAAUUCAGGACCAAAUUUAGUCUCAGUUCUACGUUUUUUACUGCUUCUCAAUUCAUUUUCAUGCUCAUUAGCAAUAACAUCAGAUACAGGCAUAACAUGAGAGUUAACAGACAUAGAUAUAGAAGUAGUAUUUUACACAUUACUGGGUACAUCAUUUUUUAAAGGAAAAACAUGCUCAAAAAAUUCUGCAUCUCUAGAUUCACAAAUAGAAUAAUUAUUUAAUGACAUAAAUCUAUAUUCAACACUGUUUUAAGAAUAACCAAUAAAUAUAGUAUCAAAGGUCUUAGAACCUACAUUACUUGUUUAAAAUCAGGUUGACCAAAUUUAGCCAAAUACCCAUACACUUUCAGAAAUUUAAAGUUAGGGGCAAAUCCUUUCCAUAACUCAUAUGAGGUCUUGUAUAACUUUUUAUAAAAGACUCUAUUAAGAAUAUAGCAUGCAGACAAGACAGUUUCCUCCCACAUAUAGUCAGGUAUACCUGAGCUUAAAAGCAUAGAAUUCAUCAUAUUCUUAAGAGUUCUAUUUCUUCGUUCAGCUACACUAUUUUGGUGGGAAGUAUAAGGAGCACUAAACUCAUGGAUAAUACCAUUUUUCUCACAAAAAUCUUAUAGAGUUUUAGUAUUAUUCACCGCCCCUGUCAGAUCUAAAUCUCUUGAUUUUCCUGUCUAAUUGAUUUUCUACUUCUGCUUUGAAUUUUAAAAAUAGGCUCUCAGCCUCAUAUUUAGACUUAAGGAGGUAUACCUUAGUGUACCUAGAAAAGUCAUCAAUAAAAGUAAUAUAAUACUUCUCUCCACCUUUACUAAUAAUGUUCUUAAAAUUUGCUAAGUCUGAAUGUACUAGUUCAAGCUAUUCAGCCUUUCUACUAGUAACAUAUUUAAAAGGUUUCUUAGCAUGCUUUGCUUCUACGCACAGAGGACAUUUAGAAAUAUCAUCAAUAUUUACUGUAGGAAUUAAUAUUAUUUUUUUAAGUCUUUUAAUAGAAGUAAUAUUAACAUGACCUAGCCUACCAUGCCAUAAAUUAAUAGACUCAGUAAUAUAAGCAGAAUUAGGAAUAUUUACAUUAUUGACAAUCUCUUGAUCAAUGCUCAAUAUAAGCCCCCACUAAGGUAUCCCUUCCCAACAAAGUUUCCUCUACGAGAAAUAAUUAUUUUAUCAGCUUCAAAAACAAGUUUAAGGCCUACUUUGUUGAGAAGUGCUCCAGAAAUUAAGUUUCUACGGAGCGAGAGAACAUACAAAAUAUUGUUCAAGGUAAUAUUUUUUCAGAAGUUAAUUUAAGUAAAAAUUUUCCUUUACCCAUAACUCUAGCAGUAGUGGAGUUACCCAUGUGGACACACUCGCCAUCGGUGGAUUCCUCAAAGUCAUGGAAUAAUUCUUUGUUAGCACAGAAAUGUCUUGAAGCGCCUAUGUCCAACACCCAAUCAGUCUUGUUAGCUACCAGAUUUGCCUCGAUGAUUACUGUAGCAAUCAUUUCAUCACCCUCUGUAAGAUGAGUUUAUGCAUCACCUUGUCCUCCCUAUUUUGACUUUUGUCCUUAUCUUAGAUAACACUGGACAACCCUAUGGCCAAGUUUUCCGCAGAUAAAAUAGGGCCCCUUUGAUUUUUUAAUUUGACUCUCUGACUUGUUGAAAUUAUUUUUCUUUUUCACUUGUUCCUUAUUCUAAACAUUCUUUUAUUUUUCUUCGUACCUGUCUUUUGUAAUAGUACCAGAAGAUUCCAUAAAGUUAGCUUUAGAAGAACUAAGAGAAAGAGCUUCCAUCUUAUCUUUGAGACGGUUUGCCUCCUCUGUUCUCAUGUAACUGAUAAUUUCUUGGAGAGUUAUUUUUUUUUCUUAUGUUUCAAUUGAUUUCUGUAAUCACUCCAGGAUGGUGGAAAUUUUUCAAGCUAAACAUUAGCCUAAAGAAUCUCACACAUCUUCAUGCCCUCAUUAAGAACAUCAACAGUUAAAUUUUCAUAUUCGUGGACUUGUUUCAUGAUUGAUUUAUUGUCAACCAUUUGAAAUUUAAUCCAUUGUCCAACAACAUAUUUUUUCUUUCCUGCGUCAUCGGCACAAUAUUUCUUUUCUAAAUUGUCCCAUAUUUCUAAAUUAGUCAUAUAGUUCAACAAAUGUCCUCUAAUUGUUUUGUUAUCCUUUUUGAAUUUCUUUUUAGCAAUAUCAUCAACCACAACAGUGUUAGAUCCAUCAGUAAAAGGUUCAUUAAACAAAACAUAAUCAACUUCUAAUUGUUCGAAGCAAAUCAAAAUUUUUUGUGACCAACGUUUAAAAUUAUUUCCAUCCAAUGGCUCAAGUUUUGACAAAUUAGAAAAAAUUUUGUUCAAAAAAAUAGUCAUUUUUCAAUAUUAUAUGUAUGAAAAUCUCUUUCAAAUUGUUGCAAAAAUUACGACAAUAUUGAUAUGAAACCAGAAUUAAUAAUAGUAAGAGAAUAGUCACAAAAUACUGUGUCGUGGCAAGUCAUUGCCUUGAAAGCGAUUUCAGCCUGACUCUAGUGCAAAUACUUCUAGCCGGUCGCUUACCAAGGUUCCACUUCUACUUCCAAACAUAUGCACUCGUGGCUGGAAGUUUGGAGUUGCAUAAAUUAUUGCCCAGAAAUUCACAAGGAAUAGAAUACCAAUGAUGAGAAAGCAAUUAAGAGAGAAAGCCAAGAAUAGGCAAAUGGUAUUUCUUUCUAUGGAUGUGUUCAUUCAUCAAGUGAAGACACAAUUAUAUAGGUUUGAAAAUGAACAUUUUUGGUGAAGAAAUAAAUGAGAUUAGUUAUUAUCUCAUUUAAGAAAAGUGUUUCAUUUCAUCUCAUUAAACAAUAUAUGUCUUUUUAUGUUGCAUUUUAAUCUGCAUAAUUAAUUAGAAAUGAAUGCAAUGAAUUCAUUGUCAUUCUUGAAAGGAAAAUCUCAUAGAUCCUUUUUGUGCACAUUUACAUGAGGAAUUCUAUGACAUUAUCACUUGUGAUGAUUAUUACUUUGACAUAGCAUAUAAAUUCAGAGAACACAUUAUAAUACCAUAUGUACCUUAAUAAGGUCACAAACAUCAAUAAAAUUGAAAUGUGUAUAGACAUUACUAGAAAUAAAUUAAAGUUUUUUCCACUACGAAUUAAUAGAAAAUUUGUGUUAUAAAUAUAAUUUUCCCAUUUCAUUUUCACCGAUCUAGCAUGCUCACCAAAAAUACGCAUUUUGGGAAAUAAAUUUUUGUUAGAAUAGUAGGAAACUUUCUAACUUUUUAGUGUGAAAAUACUAAUUUUUUCCCACUUAAUGAAUCAAAACAUCUAUUGAAAUAUCCACUAACCAUUGAAAUUAUAUCUUUUUUUUUUUUUUGCUUUUUCCAAAUAAUUUAAAUUACUACACUAUUUGUUCACUUUUAUUUACUGAUAAACUGUGAAUAGAUGCCGACUUUUAUUUUCAAGUUUAGAAAAUUAAGAGAUAAUUUAUAAUUUAGUUUUUAAUUUACCUUUAUUGUUGAUUGUAAUUAUGUUUAAAAUACUAAAUUCACUGUAUUCAAAAAACAAUAUAAUGAAAUUAUCAUUUGAUUUAUUGCUCUUUAGAAAGUGUGCAAAGUCAAUAUUGGACAAACAAAAAUAGAUGGAGACGAUAUUCUUUAAAUUUGACUUGCAAAAGAAAAAAAACAUUUGAUAUUGUCGUCUUCACCCCAUAUAAGGUAUCUAAUUUUUUAUUUUUUUUUAUAAUUUGAAUAUUCUAUGUUUUGAUUUGUUAAUUUGUGAUUUAGGAGCAAGAGAAUUUGGGCUUUGGGUUGCUAAAAUUGGGUUAGCCAGGAGAAAAAAAGGAUAGGAAGCAAAAUGAAUCAAUUUAAUUAAUUUAUGAGUGAAGUAAGUCAAUUAACUGCAUUUUUUUCAGAUUAAGAUUUUAGAAAUAUUUAAAAAAAUCUUGUGAUAAGUUAGAAUUAUUUUACGUAUAUAAUAAUGAUAUUUAUAAUCGCACAAAACGCGAAUCAUUUCACUGAAUCAAUAGACGGACAAGUCAUGUAAGCAACUCUUGAAUCACAUUCUUCAGCACAAACCAAUCUUCUUACAUACAAACUUACCCUCUUUACCAAAAUAGAAGCAACCCUUGUAGCCCGUGCAAUGUGGUGCAUCCAGUGGGCUAAUUUAUUGUAUCUCCUUAUUUUACAUCUAAUCAUCUAUUUUUCUUUCAAAUGUAAUCAAAUUCAACGACAGUUUCUCACGAAAUGUAUCUGGUAUGUUUUCACGAAAUUGUUACUUGAAAAAAAUCAAUGAAGGUCAUGAAGAAGAGUAAUGUGUCGUGGGUGAGGCGACGAUAUUCCUCAUAGUUAAUUCUUGAAUAAAGGAAGCGUGAGAUAUUGAGAGUAAUGGGGGAUAUACAGAAAAGGACCCAGAUGAGUAGUAGAAAAGUAGUUGAAGAAGAAGAAGAAAAAUACACAUAAAAGGUAAUUAAUGAAAAUCUUUUGCGGUAUAAUUAAAAUUUAAUCAAUGAAAAUGGUAAUUAAUUAAAGACUUUCCUUCAUUAAUGGGCAGAAUUUAGAAAAAAAUGAAAGAAAUGUAUUAGAGUAAAAUUGAUGGGGACCCAUAUAUUGAAAAUAUUGCUAUUGUUGUUGAGGUCAGUAAUUUUUUUAAACUGUUGUUAUGUAUCACAAUUAAGGACUUAUGUUUCUUAUGUCAUGUGUAUUUUCCUUAAAUUUAUUAGUCAAAUACAAAUAAUUUCUCAUCAAAAACACUUUUAAAAGAAGUAUUAUACAAAAUAAACUGAUUUUAAAAACUUGGGCAAACAAGUUAUUAAGUAAUUACUGUUUGAAUUUAUUUUUGUUUGGCUAUAAUGACUUGGGCAAGUUUGUCAGAAGGACAACAUGGAAAUUUUUUUUGUCAAAGUUCCAAACUUGAUGAAUAAUUUGCCAAAAAGACACUUAAUUCCACAUCAUCAUUAAUUUUUUCAACUUAACAACUUCACCCACAAAUUUUAUAAUAAUUCACUUUAACCCAAUACUUCCAACUUAAUAAAUUCAUCAACUAGUUUUAAAUAAUACAUUUCAACUCACUCCAUCAUCCACCAUUAUAUAUAUAUAAAAAUAUUUAGGUUUCCAAAAAUAUUAAAUAAAAAAAAUCCAAAAGCUUAAAAUAGAAAGAGGUUGUUUUCCCUCCAAAAAGCUCUGAUUCCAACCACUUUUCCGGCAUUAUUUUCAGCGAUCAGCUUUAAAUCAGUCCAAAAACAUCAUAAGCUUGUCCAUUGCACCCAUUGUUACCCCAUUUGUUUGGUAUCUUCUCAAACACAUCACUUUCCACCAUUGUUAAAAAGCUUGAAACCAUUCACAUUACUCAAAACCACUUUAGAAAGUACAUUACAGCAGCUCAGGCGACUCCAAGUUCAUUUCUUUAUUCCAUAAACCCAAGGAUUGUAGAUUAGAAGCAAUAUUUGCAAUUUCAAGAUUUUCGUAUGGAUAGCUGCUCAGUCAUCGACCACUGAUCGUCAUUCAUCGACCGUGAAUAUAACCCGAUAUAGACCAUAAGCAUAAUCUACCGUAGACCAAAGCCUAAUUUAACGAUGUCUAUUGAAAAUUUAUUCUGGUUUCUGGUGAUUUCAUGGGAGAAUGGUUGGAGAUUCCUAAAUGCUGAAAAUGGAGAUCUUUUACGAAGGUGACAAUCCCCGUUGAUGUUCGCCGCAAUAGUUCGUACGACGAAUUAGUUGCAAGCGUAAUACAGAGCGGGAAUCUAGAUUGUGCGCUGAGCGACGUGGUGAUUAGUUAUCUAAUGAAUUCGAGGGAAAAGGUGAAUCCUACGAUCAUAAAUAGUGAUGUACGUGUGCUGAUGUAUAUGAUGGAUGUCGAUGCAGAUGGCUUUAGGCCUAUUUUGAGGAUAAAUGUAGCUGAGAGGUCCAUCGAAGGACUGGUAAAUUCAUUAGAACCUCCACCUCUACACCAGGUAGUCGACGAUGAUUUCAGUGAUUACGAGAAUGAUGACAAUCAACCUAUUAAUAUGGAAGAUGAUCAUAUGCAUAUGGAAGAGGUUUCAUCGAACUCGCAAGAUGACGAAGAAAAUCGUGGAACGGGAUCACAACCAGGACAUUCCUUCAACGACGAAGAAAAUUUCCAUCUCGAUCAAAUAUUUGCCGAAAAGAAAGAGCUCAAAAUGCUAUUAGAUGCAGCAGCGGUGAGGUAGUAUUUUGAUUAUUUUUUAGAGAAGAACUGCUCCGAAUUCUUGAAGGCAAAAUAUUUAUCUCAUGGUUGCGGAUGGUUGUUGAGGGCAAUGAAGUAUGAAACCUCGUGCAGAUUUCGCAUAUACAAGUAUGUCGGGUUGCACACGUGCGGUGUUGAACACACCACCCGUAGACAUAAGAGAUUGUCCUCCGAAUUGAUUGCUUCACUAUGCGUAAAUCAUUUUCGGGAUGGUAAGGGUCCAAGCAUUAGCGAAAUACAAAGGGUUGUGUUCAAGGAGUUGCAUUACCACGCAAGCUAUUAGAUGUGUUGGAAAGGAAGUUUAAUUGAGAAGAACAUCAUUUGCGGGACACCGGAGCACGGAUAUGCUUGCUUGCCAGCUUUUUCCCACAUGGUGGAGUUGUUGAAUCCAGGGUCUUCCUACUCUAUCAUGGUAAACUAAAUUAAUGGAGCAUUCGUUUACUACUUCUUAGCAUUCGGAGCUUACAUACGGGGAUAUGCCCACAUGACAAAGGUAACUACCAUCGAUGGCAUACAUUUAUAUGAAAAGUACAGGGGUGUGUUGCUGAGUGCAAUUGCACAGGACACAGAAAAUCAGAUCUUUCCAAUUGCCUUUUGUGUCGUCGAUAAAGAGAACGAUGCUUCUUGAACCUUCUUCUUCCAGAAGUUGAAGUCUAUCAUAGAAGAUAAACCAGAUCUAUGUGUCAUCUCCGACAGGCAUAUCAGCAUUGCUAAUGCCUUCUCUCGUGUUUAUAGUCGUGCACACUGUGGACUUUGUAUGAGGAACCUCGCUAAAAAUCUGUGCGUAAAUCAGCACUGUGGAGAACAUCUUUAUUUGUUCUACGCUGCGGAAAAGGCGUAUACUGUUGAUGGAUUUAGUGAGCAUUUUGCUGAAUUGAAGAAUAAUAGUCCCGAGGCAGCACAUGUCCUUGAACAUGUGCCUGAUUUUGAGAAAUGGUGUAGAGCACACUUCCCGGGCAAUAGGUACGAUGUGAUGACCACAAACAUCGCCAAGUCUCUCAACUUGGUGUUGAUGGAUGAACGGGAGUACCCCGUGUCAUACAUAUUCAAUUCAAUUACUAGAAAAUUUGGUGAAAAGUUUAGGGAGCGGCAUGCCUUUGUCGAUGGUCAAAACAACAUAUUGUGCCUUGUGCGGAAAUGAUUCUAAGGGAUAACAAGAGUGCGAGCUAUUUCUUGUAUGUGACUAAUGCAAAUGGGGGUCUCGACAAAUUUAUGGUGUUUGGCAGCGGCGUUAUUGCCAAGGUCAAUCUAUUAGAGAGGAGUUAUUCUUUUCGGAAAUUUGACUUGGUGAAAAUGCCGUGCGAACAUGCAAUGACAGCUUUGCGAGCAAAGUAUGGCGAUGACGUAGGUUCUGGCAACUCCAUCUACGAGUACUCUUCGCUAAUUUAUAAAGCUGAAACUUACAUCCUCGCGUACUCAAAAGCUAUUAGCGUUGUCCCUCUAGAGGCCGAAUGGACUGUGCCACAGGAAGUGCAAGACAGUAAGAUUUCUCACCCCUACGAUCGCAAACUCGGAAGGAAGAAAGUCAAAUGCACUAAGGGCAUCGGUGAGACAUUCAAUUCCAAAAAGAGGAAUUGGUGUUCGAUAUCCAAGAAAUCUGAGCACAAAAGAACCACAUGUAGAAUGGCCAACAAAUCAUAGACAACCUUUUUUUUUUGCUUCAGUUAUAAAGCUACUAUUUUAGGGGAUAAAUAUUCAUUUCUGUAGAAUUUAACCUUCAGUUGUAAUCGACUUAACGCAUUAACUAUGAUAGACUAUGUAAAUUCUAUGGUAUAUCGUUUCUCCAAUUUAUCAAAUAUUAUGUAUUGGUUAUAUGAUUGCUUAUCAGACAUGUUAUGUUGGUCUUUUUACCGCCUUAACUCUCCAAUCGAUGCAAUGAAUCAUUGUUUCCCAUUCCCAUUUAAUGAAAAGCUGCAGAAAUAUCUGUUCACAAAAAAAUCACUGGUAUACUCAAAUCAAGCAUUUUCUCUUCUGCUUCUUCUUCUUCUUCUUCUUCUUCUUCUUCUUCUUCUUCUUCUUCACCCAAAUAAAAAAAUAUGUCUCCAACAAGGAUAACCCUGCGCCCUGUCAGACCUAUUCCCCCAAGGAACUACGACCUCCUUCUUCUAAGAAAUGAUUUCGAUCGCCUGUUCUAUGGCCUGGGUCAAGACCGCCUCUACCUAGAGCGGAAACUCCGUAGAAUUGCUCGUUUUCUAAGGGCAAUUCUGGAAAGGCUCGGAAUGGAUGGCCCUGACUAUAUCACCCCCCAGCAUCCCCGUGAAAUCUGUUGUUUAGUUUUUUAUUUUCUUUUAUGUUUAUUAGUUUUUAUUUUGUGUUCAUUGCAGAAGAAGUUUUCUUAUAGGAUUGUUUUUAGAAGAAAACUUCUUCUUAUUUUACUUAUUUUGCUUGUUCUGGCCGAUGUGCCAAUGCUUUGAAUGUAAAAAUCCUAUGAUUAUGCAAUGAACAAAGAAUUUCUGUUUUCAAAUUGAAUUUUUCUCUUUUUUGUUAUUGUUAUUUUUUGUCUUAGCAUCUGUAGUGAAUGCAUUUGUAAAAAAAAAAUCACAUAAACAGUUUCUCAUCGAUCACAUAAAGAGUCUAUCCUCGAUCACAUACUUCGUCUAUCAUCGACUCGAUAUAGUAGUGGAUCAUCGAUCAUGUGAAUCGAUGGAGCAGCAGUUAAAUUAAAAUAGAUAAUACUAACAAGUUUUGGGGGCUGGUGAAGUAAAAUAAUUAAAUUAAAAAUAAUUUAAACUGAUAAUAACAUGUUUUGGGCUGGUGGAAUAAAAUAAUUAAAUUAAAAAUAAUUUAAACUGAUAAUAACAUGUUUUGGGUUGUUGGAAUAAAAUAAUUAAAUUAAAAAUAAUUUAAACUGAUAAUAACAGGUUUUGGACAGUUGGAAUAAAAUAAUUAAAUUAAAAAUGAUUUAAACUGGUAAUAACAUGUGUUGGGGCUGAUGGAAUAAAAUAAUAAAAUAAUAAAAUAAAAAAUAAUUUAAAUAGACAAUCUUGAACUAUUGGUCAUUUAAAUUAAAAAUUAUAUAAACAGUGAAAGUUAAUAAACCGUCGCAGAUCAUGACCAACGUCAUCCAUCAACUAGAUACUAAAAUAUACCAUAGGCUGGUAUGGUCUAUCGUAGACCUACACCUGUACGAGUGCAUCGACAGAUCUCUUAAUUAGGCGUAGACCACUGUGAUCUACGUAUACCGAUAUAGACCAACAAUUGAAUGUUGUUUAAAAGAGAAUAAAUAAAUUAAAAAUAAAUGUAGGGUGGGUUUCUAUACAUGUGAGGGAGCGUAAACAAGUCACACAAUCAUAUUAGAGGUUAUACAAAUUAGGGGUGGUGUACUAAGGAGUGUGUGGAUGGGUAGUGGUUGAAUGUUCAAUAGCCUAAGGGUAAUAUUUUUCAAAGCACAAGUAUGUUUUGUGGAUGUAUUUUGUAUUUGAUGACUACACAUUCCACAUACUCCUUGAAUGACCAUCCCCAAAUCAAAAGAUUAAGUGGAAUGGAUAGUGGUUUGACAAAAUAUAUCCACAAAACAUAUUUAUGCUUUGAGAAACAUUACUCUUAGGAGACUGAACAUUCAACCACUACCCAUCCACACACUCCUUAAUACACUACCCUUAAUUUGUACAACCUCUAAUAUGAUUGUGUGACUUAUUUACACUCCCUCACAUGUGUAGAAACCCACCCUACAUUUCUUUUUAAUCUAUUUAUUCUCUUUUAAACAACAUCCAAGUGUUGGUCUAUAUUAGUCUACGUAGAUCACAACGGUCUACGCUUAAUUAAGAUAUCCAUCGAUGCACUCAUACAAUUGUAGGUCUACGAUAGACCAUACCAGUCUACGGUAUAUUUUAGUAUCUAGUUGAUGGAUGACGUUGGUCAUGAUUUACGACGGUCUAUUAACUUUCACCCCCAGUUCCAAAAAAUAAAAUUAAUGUUCCAACGGUAACAAAUGACUAAUUUUGCACUUAACACAUCUUUUUUUACUUCAUAUAUAAAGUCGUCACUCCCUCAUUAUUUUAUUUCAUUAACUUUGUUUUUAUUUAAAACUUCUACAAUGUCUCAAGCAUCUCAAACAUCCAAUUCUAAAAAGACUCUAAUUUGUCAUUGUGGGAAUACGGUUGUCUUGAGGAUGUCACGCACGGACUCGAAUCCAGGUCGUAAAUUUUAUAACUAUGCAAUUGCGAAGGUGAGUCGUGUAUGUUAUUUUCAAAAUGUUAAGUUAAUAGUUAUGUAAUUAUAAUUUAUUUUCUAGGAUAAUGGCGCAUGCUCAUUUUUUAAAUGGCUUGAUGAGCUAUCACCUCCAAGCAGUCCAUCAACGUUGAGUCCGGGACGUGACACAUCAAAUUUUUAUGGAUCCGCAAAAUUUAAUCUACUACAAAGGCUUCAAGAAUGCGAAGAAAAUAGAGAUUUUCUUAUGAAUUUGUUCAAAGAAGCCGAAGGAUAAAGGGAUCACCUUAAAGUAUUGCUACAUGACACCCAAAUACAGAAGGAUCAACUAAAAUAAAAAUUGAUUUUGGCCGAAGAAAGAGAGAAUGGCCUAAAAAUGAUGUUGUGUUCUAUAAUGCUAGUAUUCGUUCUUUGAAAAAGUGUAACAUGGAUGUAGUGAUAUUGAAUAAAUAAUAAUACUUCUAUUUUUCUACAAUGUUAACACUGUUUUUGAUAGAAUCAUAGUCGAUCAAUCAACACAUCAACUUAAAAUGGAGCAGCAUGGUAAUGAUAGACUAUGAAAGAAGUAUACGAAAGAUUAGCUAAACAUUCUAUGAAAUAAAAGAGAGUUUCAAAUAUCCUACCAAACAGAUCAUUCAACACAUUAAAAAUAAAAUAAUUCAAAUAUAUUUUUCAAAAAAUUUCCUCCUCAUCAGCAUAGGUGUUGUUGAUUCAUCAACGAUAUCCAUGAACCCAUCUUAUUUUUCUUCCUCACCUUCUUUUUUCCUUCACCUUCAACAGCUUCUUCUUUUUGACCUUUCUUUUCUUCCUCAGCUUCUUUUUUUUUUCUUCCCCUUUAGCAGCUUCUUCUUCUUUUUCACCAGCUGCAGCUUUAUUAGCUUCUUCUUUGUUAGCUUGUUCUUCUUCUUCUUCUUCUUCUUCAUCAGCUGCUGCUCCUAUUUUUUCAGCUUCUUCUUUUUCCUUAGCUUCUUUAACUACAUCUCCUCCCUUUUCCUUGCCUUCUUCUUCAACUGCUGCUAUUUUUUUUCAACUUUUUCUUCUUCAGCUGCAGCUGCUUCUUUUACACUUUCUUCUUGGAUCUUGUCUUCUUUCAUUUAUUCUUCUUCAUUAUUCUUUUCAUCUUUUUUUUCUCUUCCGCCACAACAGAGGCUAACUCAUCCAUUUUGCUCCUUUUUUCUUCUUCUUCAUAUCUCUCCGAUUCACGAAGGUCCACAUUUACUGUAUCAUCAUAUUACAAAGUGUUACUAAUAUUUAAACCUGAAAAUUCAUUAACAACAUCAAUUAUUGAAUGAAGUUACCUCGCUCGUAUUGUCGCUUAUCCUGUUUUUUUUUCUUUAGUCUUUUCUCUCUGAUAUAGGCAGCAAUAUCCAACACUACUUCCUCGAGUGCAGCAAUAUGCUUAUAAAGAUCCUCAGGGGAUGAGGUGACCGCUGCAUCUUUGGAGGUGCUUAGAGUAUCAUCAUCACCAACGUGUACUUCAAUGGGGUUACCACCCAAACUCCCAUCAUCAUCACUGUCCUCAUUUGAAAUAAGGACAGUCACCCCUUCUAACUCUUUCUUUAAUCUACCGAGGACAUUAUUCUUCACCUCAUCCGUAUAUGGCUCAAAGGUAAUCAUGUAAUCCAUCUUCGUCUCAGGAACAGUAGGGAUGAUGUACGGGUGCACGUUCUACGAAAUAUCAAUUAACAAUUAUAUAAUAUUCGAUGCAACAGUAGUAUUAUUAUUGCAUAAUAAAAAAUAAGUUCAUACCUCGGUAACUUUUCCUUUGUACUUGAAUGGAUCACCUUCAAUUAUCUAGUCAAUUUUGGUAGUGUGCCAUCUGAGGAUGCGGGGAAUGGAAAAGGGCUCACCCAAUGAUUUUUCAGUAAAUUUUCCAAGAUGAGAAAAGGCCUCGUACAUCUAAACCUGUAAUCAUUACAACAGAGAAAAAAGAACUUAGAGUCUAUGACAGAGUAUAAAUAAAACAAGAAUCUAUGAUAAACUAACUAAAGGAUUUAUGGUAGAUACGAUGAAUGCUCAGGGAAAUCCGAAUGGAGCAUAGGAUGCCUUCUGCUUCUCAUGAAAUACUUCCAUCUGCUUCUUCAGGUCACUUUUCUUCUUCAGAUAGUCUAGGGUCAGUUGAAAUGUCUCUUUCCCCCACGAAUAAUUCUCGAAGAAACUCAAAAAAUUAACUAUUCAAAUCAGUUUUGUGUUGACAACCUUCGUCGAAUCUUUUGGAAGCAACAUGGUGUGCAAGAACCACAGUAAACAACACUUAAACUUGUGGUCCUCGUUCAGCUUAUUCCCUAUGAUCAAGUGUAACAAGUUGACCGUAAUAUUUUUGUUUUUCAUCACCUUAAAGCAAAAAUGCUCCCCCUUGUCUAACACCUUCUUCAUUUUUGAUUCACUAGGGUAUGAUGAGUAGUUCAGCCCCAUGAGCAAACAAAAUUCUUUCAAGCCAAAACAGACAGGCUUGUUGUUAACGCAGAACCAUAUCUCAUGAUGCAUCUUAUCCCUCUUGACACGUUGCAACAGCAAAUAAUGGACCAACUGCCCAUUGAACUUGAGAUAUUCUGACAGGUUUCUCAGAUGUCCGAAACAGGACCGCUUGAAUCUUUUCUUCAACUCCUAGUCGACAAGAACUUGCUUAAAUUCUCGAUAAGCAGCCAUUCUUGAUCUGACCAAUAUCUUCGCCGAGAAAGAUCCGACCUCGUCCAUUAUCGUUCGAAGAUCAUACCAUUCCACGGAAAUGAACCUUGACAAACUUGGCACGGAAAAAGGAUCAUUGUCUUCUCCCACUUCCCUUACUCUCUUCACUGUCACCACUAGCACUGCGCUCGGGAAGGACAUCUUCACUAGACUCGGCGUAGUCUCUUAUCUCUUUUAAAUUUGGAUCAGAUUCGGACACUUCCUCAUUAAUUUUAUUUCUUUUUGAGACAUUUUUUGCUGCCUCGGCUUUUGUUUUUCUACUACUACCGGCUUUGCCUUUAGGAUAGAUGGUUUUUUUUUUACCCAUUUUCAAUAUAAUCUACACCUGCAGAACAAAUCUUCCAUUUUCAGUUCAUAUACCACAAGUCUAUCAAUAGAAAUAAGUCAAUGCUCAAAUGAAUCCCCCCCCAAAAAAAAUAAAAAAAAAUAAAUAAAUAAAUACUUCACCAAAAUCCAACAUGAAGUAUCAAAAUCAAACUAGUGCACCUAAUCAAACUAAUUAGCUAUUAAUCUUUCAAUUUUUACUAUUUCAGCCAUCAUAUUUUAAAAGAAUUUCAUAUGUCUAAAAAUUUAUUUCAAUCUAGGGUAUUCUGAUUUCAUAGACUACGGGUCGAUUUCAUAGACCACUGGUCUACGGAUAGAAACAGGCGACUGUUGGAAUCAAACUGCCAAAAUAACUCUUCAAAUAAUGAUUAUCUCACCAUUCCACCAUCAAACAGUUCACUCCAAACAUCAAUAACUGUGAACCAAAAUCCCACAUGCAAUAUCCAAACACGACAAUUGAUAAAAAUCAAACCACUGCACCUAAUCGAAUUAAUUAGCUAUUAAUAUUUCAAUUUCCACUAUUUAGGCAACCAUUUUUUAAAAGAAUUUCAUACGUCUAAAAAUUUAUUUCAAUCUAGGGCAUUCUAAUUUCAUAGACCACAGGUCGAUUUCAUAGACCACGGGUCUAUGGACAGAAACAACUUACUGUUCGAAUCAAACUACCAAAAUAACUCUUCAAAUAACGAUUAUUCCACCAUUCAACACUUCUUUGCUAAAAAAAGAAACUAAACCAAAACUCCUUAAUCAACCAAAUUCGAAAGAAAAAAAAUUCCUACAUCACUGCGAAUCGAUUAGCAAAGAAACCUGUCUAAAUGGAUCUACAAAUGAUCGAAACAUGAUUUUAACUAACCUUAUGAAGCAAAAAUGACCUCUUAGCAGCUGCAGAAGAAGGAAAAAUGAAAAUGGUGUUUGGGGAGAACUGUUCUUCAAGUUGGAGUUGGAGAAAAGUUAAUAGGAGAGAGAAGAUUUUUUUUUUUUGAUAUUGGAAGAAGUUGAUGUGUGUUAGUGUAUUAUGUUAAAUAUGUAGAUGGGUGUUAGUGUAUUAUGUUAAAUUUGUAAAGUUAGAAAAAUGAUAUAAUGGUCCCUUGGCCCACAUGUGGGCCAACUUUUUUUACACUUUUUAUACCCUAACCCUAAAAAAUAAUUCAAAAAGAAAUUUAGUGUCCCUUUGGCUAAAUAAUUUUGAGAAUGGUAGCUUUUGCCAAUUUUUUCUUAAUGACUUUGUACGUGAAUUACCUAAUCCUUCAACUUGAGUUUAUUGAUUAAAGAAAAUAAGUAGGUUUGGUAAAGAGUUUGUUGUUAUUGGAUGAUCAUUUAAUUAAUUAACUCGGUAACAUUGAGAUCUACUUAUAACGUAUUAAGCUUAAUAAUAGAGAUAUGUAGAUAUAUAUGGACGGCUGACCACGUACGAUAUAAAUAAUAUACUUUCACCGUUUCAUUUUAUGCAGCAUCCUUUCCUUUUUAGUUCGUCUAAAAAAUGCUAUCAUCUUACAUUAUACCCAUAAUGAAAUAAAUUUACAGCCACACAAAUAUUUAAUGCUUGUUUUAGUUCACAAGUUUCAAGAUUUUUUUUUCUUAAAACCGUGCUAAGUCAAAGAUGCUACGUAAAAUGGGACGGCAUGAGUACCAUUCAUGUUUAAAACAUGUUAGCAAGGAAUAUGAGAGUGAUCACUCUAUUAUAAAUAGAAGGCUUCAUUGGUGAAGGAGUCAGAACUCACAACUCACAAGCAAAGCAAUACACAAAUCAGUAGUUAGCAUAAACAUGACAAAGUGCUUAUUUUUCUUGUGUUUCUGUUUGCUUCCCUUUGUGGUAUUUUCAUCAACUUUCACUAGCCAAAAUCCCAUUGAACUACCCACUGCUGCUACUUUUUUUGAGUUAGUACUAAACCGGAGCGGUGAACCAGUACUAGACCGGAGCGGUGAACCAGUUGAUGCUGGUUCAAGUUAUCGUAUGGUUUCCACUCUAAGGGGUGCUGGUGAUGUGUACCUAGGUGCCUUAGUCCCCAAAUUCAAUUGCGCCUUGUAAAGAUGGCGUAUUUCGUCACAACUCUGGUCUACCUAGAGGUACACCCGUCAAAUUCAUUAAGUCUGAUCUUACCAGAGGUAUCAAUGAAUACGAAAACAUCAAUAUCCAAUUCGACAUUGCAACUGUGAAACUAUGUGUUAGCUAUACAGUUUGGAGGGAAAAAUUGGCGAGACUACCCACUUCCAAAACUAUUUUGUCAUUUACCCACUAAAAUUAUUUUUGAUUUAAUUUUUAGGGUUAGAAUAUAAAAACUUGAAAAAAGCUUAAAAGUGGGGCCCACAGGUGGAUCAAGGGACAAUUUCAUCAUUUUUAGAACUUUGCAAAUUUAAUAUACUACACUAACACCCUACACUUAUUCCAAUAUCGGAAAAAAAAAACUCUCUCUCUCCUCUUCAAUUCUCUCAACUCCCGCUUAAGAAACCUUCAUCCCAAAAUUGCCAUUUUCAUUUCUUCUUCUUCUCCAGCAGAUAAGGGGUCGUUAUUGCAUCGUAAGGUUAGUUAAAAUCAAGUUGCGAUCAUUUCUAGAUCCAUUUAAACGGGUUUCUUUGCUAAUCGAUUCGUAGUGAUGUAGGAAAUUUAAAUUUUUUUCGAAUUUGGUUGAUUAAGGAGUUUUGGUUUAGUUCCGGUUUUGUUUAGCAAAAAAGUGUUGAAUAGUGGGAUAAUCGUUAUUUGAAGAGUUAUUUUGGCAUUUUGAUUCGAACAGCGAUCUGUUUCUGUUCGUAGACCCAUGGUCUAUGAAAUCGACCCGUAGUCUAUGAAAUUAGAAUGCCUUAGAUUGAAAUCAAUUUUUAGGCAUAUGAAAUUCUUUUAAAACAUGGUUGCUGAAAUAGUAGAAAUUGAAAGAUUAAUAGCUAAUUAGUUUGAUUAGGUGCACUAGUAUGAUUUUUAGAAAUUGUUGUGUUUUGAUACUGCAUGAUGGAUUUUGGUUCAGUUAUUGAAGUGUGUAGUGAACUGUUUGAUGGUGGAAGAGUUAUUUUGGCAUUUUGAUUCGAACAGUGACCUGUUUCUGUCCGUAGAUCCGUGGUCUAUGAAAUGAGAAUGCCCUAGAUUGAAAUCAAUUUUUUGACGUAUGAAAUUCAUUUAAAAUAUGAUGGCUGAAAUAGUGAAAAUUAAAAGAUUAAUAGCUAAUUAAUUUGAUUAGGUGCACUAGUUUGAUUUUGAUAUUGCAUAUUGGAUUUUGGUGGGGUAUUUCUUAAUUUUUUUGAGGGGAGGCGGGGGUUUCAUUUGAGCAUUGAGUUAUUUCUGUUGAUAGACUUGUGGUCUAUGAACUGAAAAUGGGAUAUUUAUUCUGCAGGUGUAGAUUGUGUUGAAAAUGGGUAAAAAAAUUACAUCCUUUCUAAACGCAAAGCCAGUACCAUUUCCGAUACUGCUGGUAGCAAUAGAAAAAGAAAAGUUGAGGCAGUUGGAAAUGUCUUAAAAAGAAAGAAAAAUAAAGAGUCGGUGUCCGAAUCAGAUUCGGAAUUAAAGGAGAUAAGCGACUACGUCGAUUCCAGUGAAGACGUUGUCAAGCACAAUGCUAGUGGUGACAGUGAAGAGAGCGAAGAUAGUGGAAGAAACAAUGUUGAUGGGGAUAAUGAUCCCUUGUCCAUGCCAUCUCUUUCAAGAUUCAUUUCCGUUGAGUGGUAUGACCUUCGAACGAUAAUGGACGAGGUCGGAUCUUUCCCGGAAAAGAUAUUGGUCAGAUCAAGAAUGACUGCUUAUCGAGAUUUCUAGUAAGUUUUUGUCGACCAAGAGUUGAAGAAAAGAUUCAAGCGGUCCUGUUUUGGACACCUGAGAAACCUGCCAGAACAUCUCAAGUUCAAUGGGCAGUUGGUCCAUUAGUUGUUAUUGCGACGCGUCAAGAACGAUAAGAUGCAUCACGAGAUGUGGUUCCGCGUUAACAACAAGCCUACAUGUUUUGGCUUGAAAGAUUUUUGUUUGAUCACUGGUUUGAACUGCUCAUCAUACCCCAGUGAAUAAAAAAUAAAGAGGGCGUUAGCAAAAGGGGAGAAUUUUUUCUUUAAGGUGACGAAAAACAAAAAUAUUAUGGCGGCCAACUUGCUACACCUGAUUAGAGGGAAUAAGCUGAACGAGGACCAAAAGUGUAAGUGUUGUUUACUAUGGUUCUUGCACACCAUGUUUCUUGCAAAAGAUUCGACGAAGGUUGUGGACACGAAACAGAUUCGAAUGGUCGAUUCUUUGAGUUUCUUCGAGAAUAAUCCAUGGGGGAAAGAGACAUUCAACUGACCCUGCACUAUCUAGAGAAGAAAAAUGAACUGAAGAAGCAGAGGUAAGUAUUUGAUAAGAAACAGAAGGCAUCCUAUGUUCUAUUCGGAUUUUCCUGGGCAUUCAUGGUAUCUACCAUAAACCCUUUAGUGAGUUUAUCGUAGAUUCUUGUUUUAUUUAUACUAUGUCAUAGACUCUGAGUUUUUUUCACUGAUGUACUGCUUAGAGGUUUGGAUCUACGAGGCCUUUCCUCAUCUUGGAAAAUUUGCUAGAAAAUCAACGAAUGAGCCCUUUCCCAUUCCCCGCAUCUUUAGAUGGCACACUACAAAAAGUGACCAGAUAAUCGAAGGCGACCCAUUCAAGUACAAAGAAAAAAUUACCGAGGUAUGAACUUAUUUUUUAUUAUGCAAUAAUAAUACUACUGUUAUAUCGAAUGUUAUGUAAUUGUUAAUUGAUAUUUUGUAGAACGUGCACCCGUACAUCAUCCCUACUCUUCGUGAGACGAAGAUGCAUUACAUAAUUUCCUUUGAGCCAUAUACAGAUGAGGUGAAGAAUCAUCCUCGAUGGCUUAAAGAAAGAGUUAGAAGGGGUGACUGUACUUAUUUCAAAUGAGGACAGUGAUGAUGAUGGGGAUUUGGACGAUAACCCCAUUGAAGUAUGAGUUGGUGAUGAUGAUACUCCGAGCACCUCCAAAGAUGCAGCGAGCACCUCAUUCCCCGAGGAUCUUCAUAAGCGUGUUGCUGAACUCGAGGAAGCGAUCUUGGAUAUUGCUGCCUAUAUUAGAGAGAAAAGACUGAAGAAAAAGGAACAAGAUGAGUAACAACACGAGCAAGGUAACUUCAUUCAAUCAAUAAUUGAUGUUGUUAAUGAAUUUUCAGCUUUAAAUAUAAACAACUCUUUGUAAUAUGAUGAUACAAUGAAUGUGGACCUUCGUGAAUUGGAGAGGAAUAAAAAAGGAGAAAAAAGGAGCAAAAUGGAUGAGUUGGCCUUUGCUGUGGUGUGAGAGAAAAAAAAAGAAGAAAAGAAAGAUGAAAAAGAAGAUAUGUGCUAAGAAAAAAGUCCAAAAGAAGCAGCUGCAUCAGAAGCAGAAGAAGAAGCUGAAAAAGAAGCAGCGGUAGAUGUUGAUAAAAAGGGAGAAGAAGGUGAAGAAGUACCAGCUGAAGAAAGUCCAAAGAAGCAGUUGCAGAAGCAGAAGAAGAACCUAAAAAAGAAACAGUAGUAGAUGUUGAGAAAAAAGGAGAAGAAGCACCAGCUGAAGAGGUACCAGCUGCUGCAGAUGAUGAAAUAGACGGAGAAGAAGGCGAGCAUGAAGAAGCAACCGAAGCUGCUGAGAAAAAAGGAGCUGAAGCUGACCAAAAAGAUUUGGUCAUGGAUAUCGUAGGUGAAAUCAAUAGUUACAUUUGUGUUGAUGAUGAAGACAGGUAAAAAUACAUUUGAAUGCUAAUAUUGUUAAUGUGUUGUUGAAUGAUCGGUAGUUAGGAUCGGACAAAUAUUUUUUUAUUAGAAACAUUAUUUUAUUUUAUGGUAGUGGUUAUGAUUUGCACUGAAUAUGUCUCUAUCAAACUGAUUAGUGGCAUUGCCAUUUGAAUAUGCAGGGUGUUUUCAUAGUUGGUGCAGUGUAUGGUUGAUAUCAUAGAAUGCAUACAUAAUCUUUCGUAUAUUGCUUGCAUGGUCUAUCAUUACCAUGCUGGUCGGUUUUAAGUCGACGUGUUGUUUGAUCGACAUGAUUCUAUCAAAAAUAGUUUAACAUUAUAGAAAAAUAGAAAUAUUAUUAUUUAUUCAAUAUCACUACAUCCAUGUUACACCUUUCCAAAGAACGAAUACUAGCAUUAUAGCACAUAACAUCAUUUUUAGGCCAUUCUCCCUUUCUUCGGUCAAAAUUAAUUUUUGUUUUAGUUGAUCCCUCUCUAUUUUGGUGUCAUGUAGCAACACUUUAAAGUGAUCCCUCUGUUCUUCGGAUUCUUUGAACAAAUUCAUGAGAAAAUCUUUAUUUUCUUCGCAUUGUUGGAGUCUUUGUAGUAGAUUAAAUUUUGCCAAGCCUUGAAAAUUUGAUGUCUCGGGUCCCGGACUCAACGUUGAUGGACUGGUUGGAGGUGAUAUCUCAUCAAGCCAUUUUAAAAAUGAGCAUGCGCCAUUAUCCUAGAAAAAAUAAUAAUUACAUAAUACUAACUUAACUUCAUAAAAAGACACACACCGCUUACCUUAGCAAUUGCACAAUUAUAAAAUUUGCGACCUGGAUUUGAGUCCGUGCGUGAUGUCCUCAAGGCAGCCGCAUUCCCACAAUGAAAAAUUAGAGUAUUUUUAGAAUUGGAUGUUUGAGAGGCUUGACACAUUGUAGAAUUUUUAAAAACAAAACAAAGCGAAUGAAAUAAAAUAAUGAGGGAUGACCGACCUUAUAUAUGAAGUAAAAAUAAAGUGUUGACACUGAUGGAUUAUAAAGGUAGCCGUUUAUUACCGUUGGAGCAGUAAUUUUAUUUUUAGAACUGGUGGUGACACUUAAUAGACCGUCGUAGAUCAUGACUUAUGUCAGCCAUUGAUUAGACUGGUCAACCGUAGACUUACACCUUUAGAUAUGCAUCGAUUAAUAUCCUAAGUAUGCGUAGACCACAUUGAUCGAUGUGCACUGCCAUAGACCGUCACUUGGAUGUAGUUAAAAAUAUAUAAAUAAAUUUAAAAUAAAUAUAGUGUUGAUUUCUACACAUGUGAGUGAGUGUAAACAAGACAAACAAUCAUAUUAGAGCUUGUACAAUGUGAAUUAAGGAGUGUGUGGAUUGGUAGUGGUUGAAUGUUCAAUAUGCUAAGAGUAGUGUUUGUCAAAGCACAAGUAUGUAUUAAGGAUAUAUAUUGUAUUGAUUGUACAAUGUGAAUUAAGGAGUGUGUGGAUUGGUAGUGGUUGAAUGUUCAAUAUGCUAAGAGUAGUGUUUGUCAAAGCACAAGUAUGUAUUAAGGAUAUAUAUUGUAUUGAGGAGGAGGAUUGUUCAACCACUAUUCAUUUCACACACUAUUUUGAUUUAGUGGUGGUGAUGGAAGGAGUAUGUGGAAUGUGUAGUCAUCAAAUACAAUAUAUAUCCUUAAUACAUACUUGUGCUUUGAGAAAUAUUACUCUUAGCACAUUGAACAUUCAAUCACUACCCAUCCACACACUCCUUAAUUCACUUUGUACAAGCUCUAAUAUGAUUGUGUGUCUUGUUUACACUCACUCACAUGUGUAGAAAUCAACACUACAUUUAUUUUUAAUUUAUUUAUUUAUUUUUUUAACUACAUACAAGUGAUAGUCUAUGGCAGUGCACAUUGAUCAACGUGGUCUACGCAUACUUAGGAUAUCAAACGAUGCAUAUCUAAAGGUGUAAGUCUAUGGUCGACCAGUCUAAUCGAUGACUGACAUAAGACAUGAUCUACUAUGAUCUAUUAAGUGUCACCACCAGUCUAUAGAACAGACUAAUCGAUGGACCCUCAAGAUUAUCUAUUUAUUUUAAUUAUUUUAUUCCACCGGCCCUAAAAUAUGUUAUUAUCUGUUUAAAUCAUUUUUAAUUUAAUUAUUUUGUUCCACCAGUCCCAAAAUAUGUAAUUGUCUGUUUAAAUCAUUUUUAUUUUAAUUAUUCUGUUCCAUCAGUCCCAAAAUAUGUUAUUGUCUGUUUAAAUCACUUUUAAUUUAAUUAUUUUGUUCCACCAGUCCCAAAAUAUGUUAUUUUCUGUUUAAAUCUUUUUUAAUUUAAUUAUUUAGUUCCACCUGUCCCAAAAUAUGUUAUUGUUCGUUUUAAUUUAACCAGUGACGCAUCGACUCACAUUAUCUACGAUCGACUACCAUACAAAGUCGAUGAAUGACGAAGUAUAUGAUUCAUGAUAGACUAUAUAUCACUUUUUACAGAAACUUGAAAUUAAUAAAGUCAAACUACAGUACUAUUAAUUGAACGAGACAUACAUAUUUGAAAUUCAUUUUUGUACAGAAGAAUAACCGCCACAAUAAAGAAAAAUGAAUGAUAACAAAUGUGGUAAACAUAAUGUUCAAACUGAAAUUGUUCAUUAAAGUGAACUGAAACUUACAUUAAACUUGUUCAUUGCAUUACUUGAUAAAAUUUACAGCAAAAGGGGGAAAAUAGAAGAAGCUUUCUUCUAACAAAGUCCUACUGAGAAAGUUUCUUUAGCAAUGAACAAACCAACAAAAACUUAACAACAUAAACAAAAAAAAUAGUAAACUAAAUUAUGGGGAUGAUGGGGGGUGAUGUAGUCGUUGCCGUCCAUUUCAAGACGCUCCAGAAUUGCUCGGAGGAAAUGAGCAAUUCGUCGGAGCUCAUGCUCCAAGUAACGACGGUCUUCUCCCAGGACGUAGAAUGGCCGGUCAAAAUUAUUUCGAAGUAGAAGCAAAUCGUAGUGACGAGGGGGAAUAGGUCUGAUUGGGCGAAGGGCAAUUCUAUGACUAGGCAUGAUUUCUAAUGUUUCGGAGAAGAAGAAAAGGGUUUCUAAUGUUUUGGGUUUAGGGACAAGUGAAGGGCUACGUAGAAAUAGGGCCUAUACUUAUAGACCUAUAGAUGGCGUCCUUUUAUAUAUCCAACCAAUGGUCAGUCGACACGUAUAGGAAUAGAAAACGUUUGCUUUGUGUAUACUAGUGGUUUUUCUUGAGAACAGACGUGUUUGCAGCUUUUAAUUAAUUAGGAACAGGAAAUAAUGAUUCAAUGUAUCUAUUAGACAGAUAUGGUGGUAUAAAUACCUACAUAGCGUGUUUGAUGAUUAAUCAUAUAACAAAUAUAUAUUAUUUAAUAGACCGAGUUAAAGAUAUACCAUAGAAUGUAUGUAGUCUAUUGUUGAAAAAGCUUUAAGUCGAUAACAACUGAACGUUAAAUUCUACUGAAAUGCAUAUUUAUACCCCAAAACAGUAGCUUUACAACUGAAGCAAAAUAAAACCUAUCUAUGAUUUGUUGGCCAUGCUACAUGUGGUUCUUUUGUGCCCAGAUUUCUUGCAUAUUGAAUACUUAUUUCUCCUUUUGUACUUGAACGUCUCACUGACGCCUGUCACAUCCCUUUUUCCACUCAAAGGAUCGAUUCGAAGGCUUUUUCCAAUCAAAGUGACGAUUUUGAAUAGGGAUUAGUUUAUUAACAGAGUCGCCACUUAGAAUUGAGUUAUGGUGUUUCAAGUCACCUUUUUGAAUCCCUAAUCAAAAGAAAAUGACUAUUUGUUGGUCUGCGAAAAUAGAAGACUGGGUAAGGAACUAUGUUGACCGAGGGGAAGGUGUGAGGCACCCCUCAAGUCAUGUGGUUCUAGCAUGGUCUCUUUUAUUGACUUAUCUUGACUUAAACUAUUUUGGAUAAAUUGUGUUAAGGCCUAUAUUUGCUCAUUUUAAUAUAUAUUAAAACUAUUUAAAACUCUUGUAUUAAAUUUGUGAAAAAUUAAGUUUAGAAAAAUAUUUACCAAAGUGCAUUUUUGCAUCCUUGAAUUUUAAAAUAUCUCGAAAAGAUGCGUACGCCGUAUUCUUUAUUAAGACGAAUAUUAAAUAUCUAAAAUUUGUCUAGCGUUAAAAAACAUUCGUUCUUUAAUUAUAAACUCAUAACAAUUUUUAUCUAUUAUAAAAGUUAUUCAACUUUAACAAUAAGAUUAAGCGAAAUCCAUUUAAAAAAAUAAAUAAUUUAUUAAAUAAUUAAUAAACUUUAUUAAUAACAUUUAAUAAAAAUAAUAAUAAAAUAUAGUAAAAAUAAAAAUAAAUAAAAUAAAUAAAUAAAUAAAUAAAUAGAUCAAUUAUCUAUAUUAUGCUAAUUUAUUAUGAUUCUUAUAUUUAUUUUCUUUAAAAUAAUUGCAAAUCCAAAAAUCACUUAAAAAAAUAAUUUUUCUUUAAUAUAUUUAUAUAUAUAAAAAAAUUGAUUUUUAAACAAACAAAAGAUUGAACAGUUGUUAAAUAUCAUACAAAGUAAACAACAGUAAACUAAAAAAGAAAAAAAAACGACAACUGAUCUGAUUUUCUUUGGAAUCUGGCAUUUAUGAUGACUGUGAGUAUCACCGACUGGAGAGGGAGGGAAGGAAUAUCAUUUUAUUUUUAGUUGAUGUCAGCGCCGGUGAUGAUGUUUUUUCAGCGGAAUUAGUCGAAAAAGAUCGGUUUUGCGAUUUUUCGACGAGAUUUGGUCGGAUCUAGGAGGAGAUCGGCGGAUCUGGUUCGUGGUCGCCGGUUUCGGUUCUAGUGAAAGGUUCCAGCGAGGGGCGAUUCUGGGCGAUUGAUUAGUUUUUCGGUGACAAGAAAAUAAGUCCGGUGGUUUUUCGCCAUUUUCCGAUGAAGAUGGUCAUUGGAAUAGCGAUGGGGUAGACUGGUUGGAUGCGUUUUGCCGGCCAAUGAUGGUUGGCAAUGGCUGGACAGUUGAUUUUCAAUGAAAUUCAACUGGCGACGGUGAUGGAAAAAAAUGGGGACGGAAAGUGGAAAAAUUCUUUAGGUGUGUACCGCGUUGGUGGUUGCCGGCGGCGUUUUUUCCGUUAAUGGUGUUGACAAUGGUAGUUGGUGUAUUCCGGUAAUAUGUCACCAAAAAAAUUAUUCCACCAUACAUUUUCUCUCCCCCACUGAUAUACUUUUAUUCUACUAUUUUUUACUUAAUUUUUACACUCUGUUGUGUGUGUACAGCGACUGCUUGUGAGUAUGAAUAGCUCUACAUAUGAAUUAUAACAGUAUAGAAUCUGAUGGUCUGAUGAUUUUUUUUCUACCUCUGUUUGAAUAGUGUAAAUAUCCUUAAAUAGAGGGAUUUGAAAAAAGGGGGGAACAAUUAUCUUUUCAAAGGGGAGUAGUUUUAACAACAGAUAAGGGGAGAGUUAUUUAAAAUUUAAAAUUUUUAUUUUUUAUUUAUUUUAAUAAAAUAUAAUAUUAAUAAUAAAUCAAUGAAUAAAUAAUAUAAUAAAAGUAAUAAUUAAUUAAUUUUAUAGUUAACAGAAGCAUAAUAAUAAUUUAUAAAUCGACAUAAUAAAUAUAAUAAAAUAAUAUUAAAACUAUUAAUUUAUUUAUUAAAAUUUAUAAAAGAAAACAUAUAUUUUUAAUUUUUAUAUUAUUUUUUAAAAUUAGAAUAAAAAUAACAUAUGAUUAAAUAUAAAUAUAAAUAUUUAAUAUUGAUAGACAAGUUAAAAUUUAGGGAUUGUCAAAAAUCACGUAUCUACAUUUUUGCCCCUCUUUGUGUGAAAUCUCGAAGAGUUUUCAUACAAAGAAGUAGACGAGAUAUUUGACCCUUCAAUUAUUUAGAAGGUAAGAAUAAAAGGAAAAAUGUGACCGAGUCCUGGUUUUUGGACAUCCUACCUAUCCCGGGUUAUAAGGGAUUCAGGUCACGCGUAGUUCAAAAGUAAUCUGGUGAGAGAAAAAGUUAAAGCCGAGUGAGAUUCUGUCGAGUUUUCGAUUAACGACUUCUGCUUUUACAUUCAACUGACUAAAUAAAAAUCAAAAAAUGAAAAAUACAAGUAAAAAUUACAAUCUCUAGAAUCUUGAUUCAAGCCUUCGCGACUUGAAUUUGAAAAUUUGCCCUAUUCUUCAGGCGGGCACCUGGACUUGCAACUUCUUCACCUUGUUCUUCAGGCGAGCUCCUGCAAUUACUUUUUUUUUCACUUUCACCCUGUUCUUCAGGGGGGCUCCUGGACUUACAAUUUCUUCACCUUGUUCUUCAGGCGGGCUCUUGGACUUUCUUUUUCUUCACCUUAUUCUUCAGGCGGGCUCCUGGACUUCUAAUUUCUUCACCCUAUUCUUCAGGAGGGUUCCUGGACUUACAAUUUCUUCACCCUGUUCUUCAGGUAGGCUUCUGAACUUACAAUUUCUUCACCCUGUUCUUCAGACGGGCUCCUGGACUUUCAAUUUCUUCACCCUGUUCUUCAGGCGGGCUCCUAGACUCUCUUUUUCUUCAGUCUGUUCUUCAAGUGGGUUCCUGGACUCAAAGAAAAUAGUGAAACAGAAAAAUAACAUCCCAUUCUUCAGGAGGGUCCUGGAUAAAUAAAUUCUCAUUCUUCAGGAGGGUCCUGAGCAAAAAUAAAUUUUUAUUCUUUAGGAGGGUCCUGUGCAAAAGAAUAAAUUUCAUACAACACACAUAAAAUUUUGCCCCAGUUUGUACUGAAAAAAUUUGUGCGUCACCGGAUCUUAAUACAUCUCACAAAGAAUAAAGUUUACCAUAACUGAGAUCCAUCAUCAGAUACUGUAACCAUGCUUCUUGCGUUGACAGAAAUGUGGAAUUAAAUCCUUUAUUUGAAAACUUUUAGUGUAAAAAAAAAAAUAUCCUAUCUCUGUUUCAAACAAAGAAAAAUUGUGAGUUUUAAAAUAUGUGGUGGUUGGUUUGUGGCAUUUGUCUUUUGAAGUGGCCACUCUCGCACGUGCCAUGCUCAACUCUUUUCCAAUCCAUUAUAAUAUUCAUUGUAUUGUCGUACUUCUGACUCAGAAUUUUGACUACUGAGAUCCUCAACUCAAAUCAUGUUUCUGUGUAUGUUGCUUCUGAGUUUAGCUUCCAAUACAUCCCUUAGAUUUUCACAAGUUUAAAAUGGUCAAAUGACCAUCAUCUUGAGUACCUUACUUUUACUUUGAAAUGUUGUCUCUAUGCAUCGAUCCUUUGUCUUGCUUUGUACCCUUAAAGGAGUUGGUAGCGAGUUUGGAGUCCUUUCUCACUCGACCUAACGUGAAUUUGGCUCAAAAGACAACAAAAAUUUUCAUUUGAUGACAAGGACACAAAAAAUUGAAAAUUAAAAUAAAACAACAAGAAAAAGACAAUAGGCAUCUCUUUCUCAAAACAAAGAGAAAACUUAUUUGAAAGUAGAAACCAAUUCUGGUGAUUAUGACACGCAUUUUGAAUCAAACAGCCAGAUCUACCCACACCAAUCAUUACAAAUUUUGUCCACUUAUUGAGCUUGAAAUUAAGUCAAUCUUGAACUUGUUUAUUCUUGAUAACAACCUUUGUUCGGCUAGUGGCACCUCAAUGGGUUUUUGCCAACGAGUCUAUCUCCUUUUCAUUUUUGUCUCAGCUCAUAGUUGUCUUAUGAUGCCCGAAAGGGUUUUCACCAAUAAGACUCUCUCAUUUUCAUUUUUUUAUUUUUUUUAGUAGAUAAACACCCAAAAUAUGAAAUAUCAUGCACUCAUAACAUGUUUAGCCUUAACGUUAUCAAAGAUUGAUCCUAAGGUCUUUCUUUGGUUGUAAAUUGGCUUUUGGAUAGGGUUAGAAAGAAACAUCGGCAUGAGGCUCAAAAAUUUAUAUAACAUUGAGUGAAACAUACAACUUUUGGAAUCGAUUCUUUUAAGAAAAUAAAUUUUUUCCCAGUUUCAUUUCAUUCUGGGUAAUUUGAAUUUUCUUCUGGUUAGACCGAAUCCCAGAGUAGGGCUGCCUACAUAUCUUGUCAUAGCAAGAAUCAGGUCAAACGUAGUUCAGGAAAUAUCAUUCCUUUGUUUGAUUUUGAAUUUUUGAUUGAUUUCUUCUUCUUCUUGUUCUUUUUCUUCAACUUUUUUUUUUAUAAUUUUUUUUCAACUUUUUUUUUAUAAUUUUUCUGACUUUAAUUUGAUUUCAAAAGAGGGGUACGAAGAAAAAAGAAAAGCUCAAAGGGGUAAGCAAAGGUUGAUAUAUUAUUCGGAUAGUAGAACAAAAUGCCUUCAUCAUUUCAAAUCUUUCAAAAUGUAAGUACAAAACAUACAUAACAUAAUUGUACAUGAAUAUCAUACAUAAUAUCUUUUAACUGCAUCAGCAUUGACCAUCAUUCCUUUCAUUUUUCCUUCUACAUCAGUUAGAUAUAACGCACCAUUAGGUAACACUUUCUUCACCAUGAAUGGCCCAUUCCAAUUAGGAGAAAAUUUGCCUUUGGCUUCAAUCUGAUGGGGUAGGAUGCGUCUUAGUACUAACUGACCAACUUCAAAAUGUCUGUGAUGCACCUUUUUGUUAUAUGCUCGUGACAUUCUCUUCUGAUAUAGUUGUCCAUGACAUACUGAUGUUAAUCUUUUCUCAUCAAUCAAGAUUAAUUGCUCCAAAUGAGUCUUGACCCAUUGGUCAUCAUCAAUUUCAGCUUCCACAACUACUCAAAGAGAUGGAAUCUUAAUCUCUGCAGGUAUAACUGCUUCAUUUCUAUACACUAAAAAGUAAGGAGUUGCACCAAUUGAAGUUCUAACUUUAGUACGAUAACCCAACAAAGCAAAUGGUAACUUUAUAUGUCAUUGUCGGGAACCUUGCACCAUCUUUCAGAGUAUUUUCUUUAAGUUCUUGUAGGCAGCUUCGACAGCUCCAUUUGCCUUUGGGCGAUAAGGAGUUAAAUUUCGAUCCAUAAUAUUAAAUUGUUGACACACUUCUUGCAUCAAAUGACUAUUGAGGUUUGCAGCAUUAUCCGUGACAAUUAUCUUUGAAAUGCCGAACCAAUAAAUGAUGUUGGAGUGAAUAAAAUCAACCACCACUUUCUUAGACACUGACUUGAAAGUCACUGCUUCAACCCACUUCGUGAAAUAAUCAGUGGCUACCAAGAUGAACCUAUGUCCAUUCGAGCCCUUUAGUUCAAUUGGUCCAAUUACGUUCAUUCCCCAAGCUACAAAAAGCCGUGGAGCAGUCAUUGUAUGCAACUCAGAUGGAGGGGAAUGUAUCAAGUCUUCGUGUACCUGGCAUUCAUGACAUUUACGAACGAAAUUGAUGGAAUCUCAAUCCAUGGUGAGCCAAUAAUAACCUGCUCGGAGUAUUUUCUUUGCCAAAAUAUACCCACUCAUGUGUGGUCCACAAAUUCUAGAAUGCACUUCAGUCAUAAUUUUUGAACCUUCUUUAGCAUCUACACACCUCAGAAGUCCUAAAUCAGGAGUUCUCUUAUACAAGAUUCCUCUACUUAGGAAAAAUCCACUAGACAAACGUCGAAUGGGUCUCUUUUGGUUACCCAUCAGCAUGUAUAGGAUAUUUUCCAGUAUGAAUAUAUUCUUUGAUAUCUUGGAACCACGGCUCCCCAUCAAGUUCUUUUUCAACCAUAUUACAAUAUGCAUGUUGAUCAUGAAUCUGUAUAUGCAAAGGAUUAAUAUAAUUUUUGUUGGGAUGUUGAAGCAUUAAAGAUAUGGUCGCCAAAGCAUCAACAAUCUCAUUAUGAGCUCUGGGAAUGUGUUUGAACUUUAUUGAUACAAAUCGUUGAUAGAGAUCUUGCAAACAAACUCUAUAUGGUAGGAGUUUCGAAUCACGAGUCUCCCAAUCUCCUUGGAUUUGGUGGACUAAUAAAUCUAAAUCUCCUAAUACCAACAGUUCUUGGAUCCCCAUGUCAAUGGCUAAUCUCAAUCCCAAAAUGCAAGCUUCAUAUUCUGCCAUAUUAUUGGUACAGUAGAAUCGAAGUUGGGCUGUUAUAGGAUAAUAUUGUCCUUAUUCAGAAAUAAGAACUGCUCCUAUCCCCACUCCUUUUACAUUAGCAGCUCCAUCAAAGAACAACUUCCAUCCUGAAUAACAAUCAUCAGAAAUAACUUCAUCAACAUACAUUACCUCUUCAUCUGGAAAAUAAGUCUUCAAUGGCUCAUACUUCUCAUCAAUAGGAUUUUCAGCCAAAUGAUCCACCAAGGCUUGAGCUUUCAUUGCAGUUCGUGUCACAUAAACAAUAUCAAACUCUGUAAGAAACAUCUACCAUUUCGCGAGUCUGCCUGUGGACAUAAGCUUCUAAAAAAUAUAAUUUAAAGGAUUCAUACAAGAGAUGAGGUAAGUAGUAUAAGAUUACAAGUAAUGUUUCAUCUUUUGGGCUACCCAAGUUAAGGCGCAGCACGUCUUCUCAAGAAGAGUGUACUUAGCCUCAUAAGUGGUAAACUUUUUGUUGAGGUAGUAGAUGGCUUGUUUUUUUCUGCCCGUGACAUUAUGUUGACCCAAUACACAGCCAAAAGAAUUUUCUAAAAUAGAUAUAUACAAUAUCAAGGGUCUGCCUGGCUCUGGAGGAACCAAAAUAGGCGGAUUCGACAAGUGUCUCUUAAUUCUGUCAAAUGCCUCUUGACAUUCUUCAGUCCAUUCAACUUUAACAUUUUUGUUCAACAACUUGAAUAUUGGCUCACAGGUUGUCGUAAGCUGAGCAAUGAAUCUACUGAUAUAAUUCAACCUUCCAAGUAAACUCAUCACCUCUAUUUUAUUUUUUGGUGGAGGUAAAUCUUGGAUAGCUUUUAUUUUUGAAGGAUCUAACUCAAUACCAUGUUUUCUGACUAUAAAACCCAAAAGUUUUCCUGACGGAACUCCGAAUACACAUUUUACUGGUUUAAGUUUGAGAUCAUACCUUCGAAGCCUUUCAAAGAAUUUUCUCAGAUCUUUGACAUAGUUAGCCUGCUCUCUUGACUUAAUGAUCACGUCAUCCACAUGAACUUCAAUCUCUUUGUGCAUCAUGUUAUGAAACAUUGUGGUCAUUGCCCUCAUAUAAGUUGCCCCAACAUUCUUUAGUCCGAAAGGCAUGACUCGAUAAUAAUAUGUCCCCCAUGGAGUAAUAAAUGAUGUCUUUUCUGCAUCUUCUGGAUCCAUAAUGAUCUGGUGAUACCCCGCAUAACAAUCCACAAAAGAAGACAGAUCAUGUUUAGCACAAUUAUCCAAUAAAAUAUGGAUAUUGGGAAGUGGAAAAUUAUCUUUCAGACUUGCUUUAUUUAGAUCACAAUAAUCAACACAUAUCCAAACUUUGCCAUCCUUAUUUGGAACAUGGACAAUAUUUGCUAACCAAGUAGGAUAUUGGGCCACUCGAAUGACUUUAGCCUCGAGUUUCUUCGUGAUUUCCUCUUUUAUCUUUACACUCAUGUCAGUUUUGAGCUUUCUCAGCUUUUACUUGACAGCAGGAAAAAUAGGAUCAAUUAGCAACUUAUGAACUACCAAUUCAGUGCUCAAACCGGGCAUAUCAUCAUAAGACCAUGCGAAGAUGUCUUUAUACUUAUGCAAAGCUUAAAUUAUAGCUUUCUCUUAUUGUGGUUGACGUGUACACUUAUCUUAGUCUCCCUAAUAUUUUUAUGAUCUUCUAAAUUGAUCGCCUCAAUUUUUUCCAAAUUGGGAUUUUUCUUAUUCUCAAACUGUUUGAAAUGCUUGCUUAUAUCCUCAAAUGUUUCUCCUUCAUAGUAUUCAACUUCUUUAUUCAUUAUUUCAUAAUUAGAUUGAGUUUUUAAAUCUGGUUGACAAUUCUUCAUGCAUUUCAUAUCAUUAGAAUCGGCAUAGAAAGAACUGUAUGAUAGAAGAAUAAAUAAAUAAAUAUCAGACCCAAAAUAAAACAAAAGGAGACUGCACUUUAUUAAAAACAAAGCUAGAAAGAGUUUUAACCUAAAAUACCAAUGUAAAGGUCUGAAUUACAAUCCUAAAAUUAUUCAAAUUACAGAAAGAAAAACAAGCUACUAAGAUUGUAAGAAAAACAAACAAACUACUAAGACUCCUUCAUAAUAGGGAGAGGAGUGGCCUCCCAAUUGUUAAGCUGGACAUCAGGACCGACAAACUGCACAUCUGUAUUGCUGGUACCUUCCCCGAUUUUAACCAUAUAAACUUCAAUGAACAUAUUCUAAAAAAGGUCAAUGAACUCUGUACCAUCAUCAUUCAUUGAUUCUACAGUAGGUAACUUGGAGGAUCGGACAUCACUGAAUUUGAUAAAAGACUCAUGAAGUGGCGGUAUCGGCUUGGUAAGUGACCAUGACUCUUUCUUACACUUUUUAGCCUUCUUUAUAUCUUCAGCAGUAGGCUCGUAUCCCAAACCACAAGUACCAAAGUUCUCAUAGAGGUUUACCGGAUGAACUAUGCCUUGCAAAAACAUCCCUAGAACUUUUUCUGGUUCAAAACCAUGCUUCAACAUUUCAUUCACUACCAUAACAGAUGCAGAGGACAAUUGUGGUCUUGCGAUGAGAUUCUCCUCAAGGAUAUGCUCAACAACUACUACCUCAGAAGCUUGAUGAAUUAACACAUUGGCAGUAUCUGCUUUGAUGGAAGCAACAGAGUAGUCUUUAUACAUGGAUAAGUCUCCUUCACCAUGAAUAACUAUCUCUUUCUUGUCACAUUCGAAUUUGACCAUUUGAUGCAAUGUUGAUGCGAAUGCUUUAGCCCUAUGAAGCCAUGGCCUGCCCAAUAACAUGUUAUAUGAAGCAUCAAUGUUCAGCACUUGGAAAUCCAUAGCAAAAUAUCCAGGUCCGAUUGUCAAUAUGAGUUCUAUUUCACCAAGGGCAUCAGUUUUUGAUCCGUCAAAACCCUUGACGCAUACAUUGUUAGGUCAAAUUCUCUCCACAUUAAUAUUCAACUUUUGAAAAGUUGACAUAGGACAAAUGUUAGCGCCUGAUCCUUCAUCAAUUAACACUCGAAUGACAACAAAAUUCUCAUAUUUCACAGAAAUGUACAGACCUCUGUUAUGCUCAGUACUUUCCAUAUGCAAUUCAUCAUCUGAAAAAGUAAUUGUAUUUGCUUCAAGGAUUCUUCCAAUAACUUUUUCCAGCUGAUUCACUCUAAUCUCAUUGGGAACAUAUUCUUCAUUAAGAAUUUUCAUUAUAGUCUGGCAGUGUUCCUCUGAAUGUAUCAAUAAAUACAACAAAGAAAUUUGUGUUGGUAUCUUCUUCAACUGUUCCACAACAGAAUAUUCUGGCAAUUUUAUUUUCUUUAAGAAUUCUUCAACUUCUUCAUCAGUGACAGGCUUCUUAACUGUCAUUCGUUCUUCACCGCCUUGUUUAUUCUUUCUUAACUCUACUGGAGCAUAACAUCUUCCAGAUCGAGUUAAUCCCCCUACUUCAUGUACAUCUUCAGUAACAUGUUUCCCCUUGUGCAUCACCACAACACGAUCAUAAUUCCAAGGGACAACCUUGGUAUCAACCAUAAGCUACUGUGACAUUGGUUUAAUAACAAUAGGAGCUAUGAGAGCUCCUUUUAUGAUUAAAAGAGGCUUAUUGGAUCUUCUAGGAAUAAUAAGUUUUGGCUUUAUUUGACUUGACCUAAUAUUUUCUGAAAUCUCUUUCCCCAUCACCAAGGGAGCGUUUGAUGAUUCGGGUUUUGCUAUCACCACCUCUAUUUCUGCAGGCUUUUCCUUUGUCAAAUCCACAACAUUUGCUAUUUUUUCUGAAUCGAUUUUAAUUUUAAUGAUCGACUUAAAGGAUAUCAUAGCAUCUUCACCAGUGAGUAUCACUUCGAGCAUGUUUGUUUCAUUAUAAUCUGGCAGCGGAUUUUGAUUGACAUUUAGAGCGUCUGGACUUUUUACCAUAAUCUGUUGGGUAUUAAUCAACUCUUGAAUGGCUCUUUUCAGAUACCAACAUUUCUCUGUGUUGUGUCCUGGGGCAUCAGAAUAGUAUUCAGAUCUUCUAGAAUAGUCCAAGUUCUUCGGAGAAGGAUUUGGGAUCCUUCGCUCAAUUGGGUUUAGAACAUCAUUUUUCUCAGCCUAUGAAAUAAACUAGUGUAAGAUAUUCCAAUAGGAGUGAAAUUAUCUUUUACCAUGUUAUCCCUUUUAAAUUCUGCUCUAGGCUAAAAAUUAGACCUCGGAGGGCCUCUUUGAACUUACGGGGCCAUUGGAUGAUUUUGGAUUACUGGUGCACACCACUGCGGGUAAGAAGGAUCUCGAGCAUAUGGUUGUGUAUUGUAAAUAGGAUAUUUGGGAGAUGGAAUGAAAUAUAAUGGAUUUUGUGCGUAUGGUUGAUGCGUACCUCUCCAAUUUUGUCGUGGACCUAUCACAAUAGUUGGUACAUCCUCUUUUUUUUUUCUUUCCCUCGAAACUUCCUGCACCACUUUGAAUUGCCUAUGUUGUUGCUUUCAAAGUGGCCUGGCUGAUGAUCUUUCUUGACUUGAUUCUAUUUUCUACCAUCUUUCCAACUUUAAUAACUUCGGCAAAUGUGCUUCCAAUAGUAGAGAGCAAAUGAUGGAAAUAAUCAGGUUCUUGUGCUUGCAGAAAAAUAUCAAUUAUUUCAGAUUCUUUUAUCGAUGGUAUGACUCUUGAAGCCUGCUCUCUCCAUCUGACAGCAUACUCUCAAAAACUUUUGGUCAUCUUUUUUCUCAUAUUGGCAAGCGUAGUGCGAUUUGGCACUAUCUCAAUGUUAUAUUGAAAUUAUUGAAGAAAAUAUCGAGCCAUGUUAUCCCAUAUGUGCCAACGGGAAAUGUCUUGAUCGAUGAACCAUUCAGAAGUUAUCCCUAUAAGGCUUUCUCCAAAGUAAGCCAUCAAUAAUUCUUCUUUUCCUCCUGCUCCCCUUAAAUGAUUGCAAAAAUUUUUCAAAUGAGCUACUGGAUCAUCGUGUCCUUAAUAUUUGUCAAAUUUUGGCAUUUUGAACCCUAUCAGCAAAUAGACAUCAGGAAACAUACAUAAAUCCUUUUAUGAACCACUUUUUAGUCCACCUAAUCCUUGCAUAUUUCUCAUACUCUACUCUAGACCUCUAACUUUUCUAGCCAUCUCCUCCUGUUCCACAUUCUUGUCAAUCUUCUCAAUCACGAUAGGAGUAUCGCGUUUAUGAACAUGAUAAUGUGGAUUUUGAUAUUUGAAAGUCAUUUCAGGAGGGUACGACAUAUCAUAACUUGGUUUACCCGUAUUCUUCGGUACUGUCGGUUGAGUACUCGCAGUAGCUGGUGCUACAGAAGUAAAAAGUGGGUUAUUUACGACAGAUGGAUUCAGUGGGUGCAUGGUAGAAGUACUAGCAACUCCAGUCAUAUUAGCAAAUAGGACAAAUCCUGGUGGGUAAAAUGGAUCACUAGUUUGAGCUGGGUCAAAAUUUGGAUCAUUCGAAGUUGAAAGUCCAGGGAUUGAAGAAAACGGGGCUUGUCCAUUCAACUAAGCUUGGUACAUCUCCGCCAUCUGUUGUUUCAAUGAUUUUAUUUCUUCCAUUGAUGCUACUUCCUAUGAAAUCAACUGAUUCUGCUCUUCUUCACUGUCAGACCCUAUACCCUCUCUGCGAGUCAUUCUUCUUUUACCCUUGUAUCUGGUGUUAUAUGGAUGUGAUGCCAGUUUAAACCACAAACCAACCACCAAUUACUUUAUCUUUUUGUUACCAAGUAGCAAAUGGGUAGUGUUAUAUAUUUAACACAUUAUAACGCCACGUUAUAUGUCAUGUUUCUAUAUGCAUUUCCCAACCUAUCAUGGAAGACUUUGUGUUUCAUCUCAGCUUUUCUAGGCAUGUAUUUUCAAAAUUUAUGAUCGAACCCUUUGGAGGGUUGCCUACCUAUCAUGCCAGGACAUAAAUCAGAUCUUGCGUAGUUCCGAAGGAAUUUAGCAAAAUUGUUUUGUCUUUUUUUAUUGAAGAAAAUAUUUAAAGUUAGUGAAGUAAAACAUAAGUAGUAUAUAUAGAAAUAAACAGUCAACUUCAUUACAUUCUAUAAUAUAAAUACGACAAAAUAACUGACCCAACUCCUAAAAUAAAACCUACUAACUAACAUCUGAAAACUAAAAGACAUAACAUCUAAACAAGAAGUUUUAAAACAGAAAAAAGAAAAAAUAUGAAAAAGAAAACAACUAUCUAUUCAAGGAGACUUCGGCUUAAUAUGUCCUCCCAAGCUAAAGUAUAUGUCCUCCAAUAAAGUAGUGAGACGCUGUGCGAAAGCUGGUACUUGUGACAAAAAGUCAUCACAAUCCAACUGCUGAUAAUUCAAACCCAUUCUGGCAGUAUCCUGUGCUACACGGCGGACCUUUUCUUGAAGAGAACUGAAGGCCUGAUCCCAUUCGUGGGCCUGUCGAUCUUGAAAAUCAACCAUCUCUCUUGUACGCUGUUCACGAGCAGAAGCAACCUCUAACUAUUCUCGCAAUACUCCUCUUUCACGGAUCCACUGAGAUCUCUCUCGAUCAAAUUCUUCUUGUAUAUUCUUUUCAACUUCUUGUAGUUGUUGUUGGCGAGAUGCGGCAAGUUCUGCAACGUGUGACCCCCUAGUGGUAGCAAGCUUGAUUUAUCCCCGAAGUGCAACCUCAAUAUCUGUUGACUUAGCUUUUUCUUCAGCAAAUUCCCUUUGUUGUUCGUCUAUUUUUGCCCUGGCAUGCUCUAAUUCUUCUCUCAAAGCUUAGUUGGCCUCAUGAUGUUCUCGUAUGGCUCUCUCAAUUUCUAUCUUGAUUGCAGUUUCCUGAUCUAUAGGUCCCCUAACCGAUCUUUUUGGUCUGACUGGUGGACUCGACUGUCCUUUAAACUAUUCACGAUAAUCUGGGUGCACUCUCCUUUCUCACGUUCUUUGACCAUCAUUUCAAUCCCCAUAAUACGGCAACCCUCCCAAAUCUGCUAGGCCAAAUCUUCUAAAAGUGGAAUCUCUUGUCUGACCUCAAAUACAAACUCAGUUAUGUUUUCCGUUGUGGGAAUUAUUUGACGCCUACCUAGCUGGCGUAGAACCCUCAACGGAACAUAUGGUUGAACACCUCUAAUACCCAUUAAUAACAAGAACGGACGAAUGACAAAACUAUGUAUGACUUGCCUCCAAGGGAACCAAUGGAGAUUCCAAGUGAUUUUAUCUGUUGUCAAAGAACGAAAAAGCUUAACCUAAUCUCCAAUUUCUUUUGGACAUUUAUAUUUCUCCAUCCUUUCCUCGUAAUCGUUGAUGCGAUUAAAUCGCUCAGGAUCGAACCUUGUCAUUGUAGGACGUUAAUAAAGAUGCUCCACAAUCCACAUCUGUAACAAGAUAUUACAUCCCUUGAAAAAANNNNNNNNNNNNNNNNNNNNNNNNNNNNNNNNNNUACGGCUAGGAUCAUUUGUACUAUAGUGUAAUCUUUCUUAAUCCGUAUCUGUAUCAUUGAUUCUCAUGAUACUCGUAAAAAAAUCCAAAUACUUAUGUAUCUCGCCAUAAUCGAAUGUAUCCAUUGCAUUCCACCAUAACCAAAGCUGCAGAGGGAUUUCAUCAACAACCUGAAGUGGUACACUUCCAUCCCUCUUUCUUUUUGACACUUUCCACGAGCUGGAGGAGACAUUUUAUACCUAUUGAUAAGGACGUGAGAUUAAUAAAUGUCUAGACUUAGGCAAAACUUAAUUUAUUAAUUUUGAAAGAAUUUAAUCUUGACUCGUGAGACCUAAUGCGACCAUUAUUGGGACUUAGUUGUAAAGAACAAUUUUAUCAAAGUGAGAGAAAUAUAACUGAUAAUAUUUUUAGAAAAAUCACUAAUUUAAAUUGACUCUUUUAAAAAUUUUGCAAUAACAGACCUCUAGACAAAUUUAAACUAUAUGUUUGAAGACAAUACUCCUAAAUAUACUUAAAAGAACAAAAAUAAAAUAAAAUGACUUAGAAAUAAAGAAAAAGAAGAAUGAUCAUUUUAUACAUGAAGUUGUAUAAAAAUUUUAGUCUCACGACCCCUGAAGGUUCAAGACUGUUAAAAUAUAUGUUUACAUAUUUUAUUACUUUGCAAAAAUUCAGCUCACGACCCCAAAAGAUUCAAGCUAUUAUGAUUUUUAUGUUAAAAUUAAUUUUAAAAAUAAGAAUGAAAAGUAAAAUAAAGAUAAUAAUAUUCAUGAAAACAAUUAUUUUUCUUAUUAUUAUUAGUAUUUUUAUUAUUUUUUCUAAAAAUAUCCUUCGAUAAAUCUGUGAAUAAAUAUAUUGUUAUUAUUUUUCAAAUAAAUGGUCGUAUCCUGGGUAGGACUUCCUACGUAUCUCACAAAAAGUGAGAAUCAGGCCCUCGUAGUUCAUGAAGAUUGUAAAAACUAUGUUGUUGUACAUUUAAAAAUUUUCUUUAUUUUUUUUUUCAAAAAUAAAAAUUCUUCUUUCAAAAAUGAUUAACUAAAUUUGAGGAUAAAUUAAUCUCUCGCAUUUUUAAAAUUACCUAAAGCUGGUCAACAAAUAAAUAGCCUUCCAAGCAAAUGUCAAAGAGCACGUAUGAUGCACAUGUUGGUCUUUAUAAAUUACGUCACCUGUCCUAGACAUACCCGACCCCUGUGCCGAGUCCUGCUAAGUCAAAUGCAUAUGAUGCAAAUAAAGCGGUACCUAAUAGGGAUAACCAGAUUCUGAUUUUUCAGUUCUUCUAAGUUUAUGCCUAAUAGGGAUAGGUGUCUAGACUGGUUUACCCGAGCGGACACUCGAGCCGGGGAGGGACAACUUGGUCGGUAGCAGGGAAACACCGCCUUCGUUGUCGAUCCGAGCCCCUCCUAACAUGUGUAACUAUAUCCUUCACCAUGUGCCUUGACACUCCGGCUAUCUCAAAAAGAAGGUGGGAUGCAUAUGUUGCAUUCCCUCUAUCCUAUUUCAGAGACUCAGAGGGGGUACGUGAGAGAAGACAAUAUAUAAUACAGUUAAAAUAAUAUCAAAGCAGUAAAUGAGCAACAAGUAGCACAUAAGGCCAACAAACACAAUAUCAACAAUAAUUAAAGCAAGUAUAAGUCAAUAUAAAAAGCUCGAAUUCUUAUUAAUUCCCCAGCAGAGUCACCAGAGAUGUCACACCUCUUUUUUCGCUCAAAGGAUCGAGUCGAAGGGUUUUUCAAUCAAAGUGACGAUUUUGAAUAAGGAUUAGUUUAUUAACAGAGUCGCCACUUGAAAUUGAGUUAUGGUGUUCCAAGUCACCUUUUUAAAUCCCUAAUCAAAAGAAAAUGACUCUUUGUUGGUCUGCGAAAACAGAAGACCGGGUAAGAAACUCUGUUGAUCGAGGAGAAGGUGUGAGGCACCCCUCAAGUCCCAUGGUUCUAGCACCGUCGCUUUUAUUGACUUAUCUUGACUUAAACUAUUUUAGAUAAAUUGUGUUAAGGCUAAAUUCGCUCAUUUUAAUAUAUAUUAAAAUUAUUUAAAACUCUUGUAUUAAAUUUGUGAAAAACUAAGUUUAGAAAAAUAUUUACCAAAGUGCAUUUUUGCAUCCUUGAAUUUUAAAAUAUCUCGAAAAGAUGCGUACGCCGCAUUCUUUAUUAAGAUGAAUAUUAAAUAUCUAAAAUUUGUCUAGCGUUAAAAAACAUACGUUCUUUAUUUAUAAACUUAUAAUAAUUUUUAUCUAUUAUAAACGUUAUUCAACUUUAACAAUAAGAUUAAGCGAAAUUCAUUUAAAAGGAUAAAUAAUUUAAUAAAUAAUUAAUAAACUUUAUUAAUAAUAUUUAAUAAAAAUAAUAAUAAUACAUAGUAAAAAUAAAAAUAAAAAAAUAGAUCAAUUAUCUAUAUUAUCCUAAUUUAUUGUGAUUCUUAUAUUUAUUUUCUUUAAAAUAAAUGCAAAUCCAAAAAUCACUUAAAAAAUACUUUUUCUUUAAUAUAUUUAUAUAUAAAAAAAAAAAUUGAUUUUUAAACAAACAAAAGAUUGAACAUUUGUUAAAUAUCAUACAAAGUAAACAAGAGUAAACUAAAAAGGGAAAAAAAGGACAACUGAUCUGAUUUUUUUUUUUGGAAUCUGGCAUUUAUGGCGACUGUGAGGAUCACCGACCGGAGAGGGAGGGAAGGAAUAUCGGUUGAUUUUUAGUUGAUGUCAGUGUUGGUGAUGAUGUUUUUUCGGCGAGACUUAGUUGGAAAAGAUCGAUUUUGGAAUUUUUCGACGAGAUUUGGUCGGAUCUAGGAGGAGAUCGACAGAUCUGGUUCGUGGUCGCUGGUUUCGGUUUCGGUUCUAGUGAAAGGUUCCGGCGAAGGGCGGUUUUGGGCGAUUGGUUAGUUUUCCGGUGACAAGAAAAUAAGCCCGGUGUCUUUUUGCCAUUUUUCGGUGAAGAUGGUCGUCGGAAUAGCGAUGGGGUGGACUGGUUGGAUGCGUUUUGCCGUCCAAUGAUGGCUGGCAAUGGCUGGACAGCCGAUUUUCGAUGAAAUUCAGCCGGCGACGUUGAUGGAAAAAAAUGGGGACGGAAAGAGGAAAAAUUCUUUAGGUGUGUACCGCGUUGGUGUUUGUCGGCAGUGUUUUUUCCGUUAAUGGUGUUGACAAUGGUAGUUGGUGUAUUCCGUCAAUAUGUCACCGAAAAAAAUUAUUCCACCAUCCAUUUCUCUCCCCUACUGAUAUACUUUUAUUCUACUAUUUUUUACUUAAUUUUUACACUGUGUUGGUGUGUGUACGGGGACUGCUUGUGAGUAUGAAUAUCUGUACUUAUGAAUUAUAACAGUGCCUAUUUUUCAUUCUACUGUUUUUCUUUCUGUUUUAAUUUUGAACCUUAACACACAAUAUUCUAAUAAAUUAACAGUAAAACAUAUGAUGACAAAAGGUUCACGUAAUUAAACAUGCAUAUUAAAUAAUAUAUUGAGAUCAUUGACAUAAGUUUGAACAUGAUUUGAUUAACUAUAAUAUUUCAUACAAUAAAUAAUACAAAUUUGAAGUAGAACCUGUUAACGGAUUAAUGUGCAAAUUCGAACGUCUGUCACUGGAAACUUCGACAAGAAAUUCAACUCCAACUUUCUUCUUUUCUCUUUUUGACUGAUCUUUCAUUUUUUUGUCUUUUUUGAUUUUUUCUUUCUUUUUCUCUUUGAUUUUAUCUCUGUAUUUUUUUUAUUUGAUCUGAUAUAGUGUAGAAUCUGAUGGUAUGAUGAUUUUUUUUCUACCUCUAUUUGAAUAGUGUAAAUAUCCUUAAAUAGAGGGAUUUGAAAAAAAGGGGGGAACAGUUAUCUUUUUAAGGGGGAGUAGUUUUAACAAUAGAUAAGGGGAGGGUUAUUUAAAAUUCAAAAUUUUUAUUUUUUAUUUAUUUUAAUAAAAGAUAAUAUUAAUAAUAAAUCAAUGAAUAAAUAAUAUAAAAAAUAAUAAAUAUAAAUAAAAUAAUAAUUAAUUAAUUUUAUAUUUAACAAAAGCACGAUAAUAAUUUAUAAAUAGAAAAAUAAAUAUAACAAAAUAAUAUUAAAACUAUUAAUUUAUUUAUUAAAAUUUAUAAAAGAAAAAAUAUAUUUUUAAUUUUUUAUAUUAUUUUUUAAAAUUAGAAUAAAAUAAUAUAUGAUUAAAUAUAAAUAUAAAUAUUUAAUAUUGAUAGACAAGUCAAAAUUUAGGGAUGGUCAAAAAUCACGUGUCUACAAAGCCCUUAGUACGUUUGACUUUCUUCCUUCCGAGUUUGAGAUCGUAGGGGGUCGAGAAAUUUUAGUGUCUAGCAAUUCCUAUGGCCCAUUCCAUUCGGCCUCUGGAGGGACAACGUUAAUUGCUUUCGAAUAUGCGAGGAGGUAACUUGCAGCUUUAUAAAUUGGCGAAGAGUACUCGUAGAUGGAGUUUCCAUAACCUACACCAUCAUCAUACUUUGCUCGCAAAGCUGCCAUCGUAUAUUCGCACGGCAUUUUCACCAAGUCAAAUUUCCAACAAGAAUAACUCCUUUCCAAGAGAUUGACCUUGGCAGUAACACCAUUUCCGAACAUUGUGCAUUCUUGUUAUCCCUUAGGAUCUUUUCCGCAUAAGGAACAAAUAUGUUCUCUUUACCAUCGACAUAGGCAUACCGCUCCCUAAACUUUUUACCAAAUUUUUUAGCAAUUGAAUUGAAUAUGUACGACAUGGGGUACUCCCAUUCAUCCAUUAAAAUCGAGUUGAGCGACUCGGCGAUGUUUGUGGUCAUCACAUCGUACCUAUUGCCCAGGAAGUGUGCUCUACUUUAUUUUUCAAAACCAAGCACAUUUUCAAGGACAUGUGCUGCCUUGGGGCAAUUAUACUUCAAUUUCUCAAAAUUCUCGCUAAACUCAUCAAAAGAAUACUCCUUUGCCGCGGCGUAGAAUAGAUAAAGAUGUUCUCCACAGUGUUGAUUUACACGGAGAUUUUCAGCGAGGUGCCUCAUGAAAAGUUCGUGAUGUGCUCGACUGUAUACCCGGGAGAAGGCAUUGGCGAUGCUAGUGUGCAUGUCAGAGAUGACACAUAGAUCUGGUUCAUCUUCUAUGAUAGAUUUCAACUUCUGGAAGAAGAAGGUCGUUCUGUUUAUCGACGACACAAAAGCCAAUUGGAAAGAUGUGAUUUUCGGUGUCCUGUGCAUCUGCACUCAGCAACACACACCCGUACUUUCCAUACAAAUGUGUGCCAUCGACGGUAAUUACCUUUCUUAUGUGGGCAUAUCCCCGUAUGCAAGCUCCAAAUGCUAAGAAGUAGUAAACGAACGAUCCAUCAAUCUGGUUUACCAUGAUAGAGUAGGAAUACCCUGGAUUCAACAACUCCACCAUAUGGGAAAAAAACGGCAAACAAGCAUAUCCGUGCUCCGGUGUCCCUUGAAUGAUGUUCUUUGCAAUUACACUUCCUUUCCAACACAUCCAGUAGCUUGCGUGGCAAUGCAACUCCUUGAACACAAUCCUUUAAAUUUCACUUAUGCUUGGACCCUUACCAUCCCAAAAAUGAUUUACGCAUAGUGAAGCAAUCAAUUCGGAUGAUAUUUUAUUAUGCUUGCGGGUGGCGUGUUCAACACCGCACGUGUGCUCCCGACAUACUUGUAUAUGUGAAAUCUUUCUGAGGUUUUGUACUUCCUUGCCCGCAACAACCAGCCACAACCAGGAGAUACGUAUUUCGCCUUCAACAAUUUGGUGCAGCUCUUCUCCAUACGAUAAUCAAAAGACUGCCUCACCGUUGCUCCGUCUAGUAGCAUUUGAGCUGUUUCUUGUCGGCAAAUAUUUGAUCACGAUAGAAAUUGGUUUCGUCGGAGAAGGAAUGUACUGGUUGGGAUCCCGUUCCACAGUCUUAUUCCGUAUCUUGUGAGUCCGAUGAAACGUCUUUCAUACGCACACAGUUAUGGGAUGAUCGUUAUCGCUCUCAUAAUUAUUCAAAUUGUUAUCAACUAUCGGGAUCGAGGUGGGGACAGUGAUGAAUUCAUCGGUCCUUUGAAGGACCCGUCGACUACAUUUAUCCUUAAAAUAGGCCUAAAAUCAUCUGUAUCAACAUUCAUCAUGUAAAGGGACACACGUGCAUCAUUAUUUAUGAUCGUAAGAUUCACCUUUUCCCUCGAAUGCAUUAGAUAACUAAUCACCACAUUGCUCGACGUGCAAUCUAGAUCCCCGCUCUGCUUUACGCUAGCAACCAAUUUGUCGUAUGAACUGUUGCGGCGAACUGCAAUGGACAGUGUCACCUUGGUAAAAGAUCUCCAUUUCCAACCUCUGGGAGUAUUCACCCAUUCUCCCAUGAAAUCACCUGCAACCAGAACAAAUUCUGCAACAGACAUCCUAGAAUUAACCUUUGAUCGAUGGUAGAUUAAGCUUAGGUUCUAUGUCGGGAUGUAUGUACGGUCGAUGAAUGACGAUGACGGAUCGAUGACUGCGCAGAUAUCCGUACAGAAACUUGAAAAUGCAAAUAUUGCUUCUAAUCAAUGGUCGUUGGGUUUAUGGAAUAGAGAAAUGAACUUGGAGUCGCCUCAGUUAUUGUAAUGUACUUCUAAAGAAUUUAUAACUGAUGUGACUGAUUUAAAGCUUUUUAACAGUGGUGGAAAGUGUGAUUAAGAAGAUAACAAACUAAUGGGUACCCAUAUUUUACCCAUUUGUCCAUAUUUGUAUGAGCUUUUAAAAUGAGUUGAAGUUCAUAUUUACCCAUUUGAAAUAUGAGUGAUCCAAUUCACUAAAUAUGAAUAAUAUGGACUCUUUUUACAAAUAUGGGUUGAAAUUGCCACUCCUAAUCACAAUUUUAUUAGGGGAGUGGUUAAUUUUGUUAUUAAGAGAAUAUUGAGGAUUGAGUUUGUCAGGGGUUUGUUAUCUUGUCUUCUAGUGGGAAAAUUAUCACGUAGUUAAGAAUACACGAUAGGAUAAGGUAAAUAGGUGGAAUAUAAUUUUUGAGGGAUAAAAUUACGUGUCUACGACAGAUAAUUGAGUAAAGUGACAGAUAUGAUUAUGGAUAAGAAAGAUUAUAUCAAUAGUACAUGCAUGCAGAAAUUAAGUUAAUAUAUUCGUUCGCUCAACAAAUACAGCCUAUAUCAACUUUGUAUAUUAGGAUUUAAAGUUGCAAAAUUUUAUCCAAACAAAAGACAAAUUCUACAUCUUAUCAUAAUUUUUUUUUGACUUGCACUGGAUGUCCGAGACUCUUCGAGUCCCGACUAAUCUCAACAUUUUAUCAUAAUUUUGUCUGCAAUCAAUCUAUCUGUUUUAAGAUUCCCUUCAAUAUAGUGAGUUGUGAACCACUAAUACAAAGAAAACAUGCAUAUUUAUGUGAUCAUAUCCUAUUUUGAUGUGUAUAUCAAUAAAAGAAAAGGACUAACUUGAUGCAAAUAUCACGCAAUAGGAAUGCCUUUUUGGGAGAUUGCCCAUGCAUUUCCAUAGAAGGGCGUUAUCCUUUUUUAUCAAAUUUGAGUAGACCUAGAGUCACAUAUGGUAGAAGUCACUUUUUGGACAAGUAUGAAACCGUGUGUGAUUCAUCUUACUUGUUUUAUAUACACAUUGUGAGUUAAUUAAGAAUUGGAGAAAUCCAUACCACAUCUCCUGCUUUCCUUAUACUUGACAUCUAAAUUCCAUCGGUGUGAAGGAUGAGAGGAUUGUUUAUCCUAAAAUAGGUACAACUGGAAUUUGUACGCUAUGUUUAGAGGGCACUAGGAUUGAAUUGAUGGACAUGACGAAAUUAAUAAACAAGAAAUAUUAUAAACAAGAGAUGGGCUAAAGCAAUUGGAUGAAUCUAUAAGAUUAAUAAGAUGAGUUAUGUAAGCAACUCUAGGGUCACAUUCUUGAGUGCAAACCUUGGGUUCAAUCCUCUCUCCUUCACAGACAAAUUUACCGUCUAGAUCAAAAUAUUAGCACCCAAUGUAGCCAGUGCAACAAGUGGUGCAUCCGGUUGGAUAAAUUAUCUACUCUCCUUUUGAACGAGGAUAUUUUGUUUGUGGAUCACAAUUAGAAGGGAGAAUAUUUGGAUUUUUGGGUUUUACUACACAAAUGAAAGUUUUGUUAGCACUGUAAUAAUUGCAAUCUUUAUUGCAAAACAACAAUUGGUGCAUAUGGGAUUUUCUGGUAUACAAGCCUUGGCAUUAACAUGUUCCACUAUGCUUACAAGUAGAAGCAUUAAUCGUACAACAAAUAUAUGCUAUAUAUAUAUUAAGGAGAAACAUAACGUAUACUACUUGUGUAUGACAUAUGUAUAAACAACAAAGAAAUAAUUAAAGAGAAAAAGGAGAAAGGAAAAAUCUUACCAAGUCCACUAACUUCUUUCUGAGCAGCAAUUAUGGAUCAGGAGUAUAUAUCUAUCCUCCUCCACUACUUAUUGCAAACAAUGAAAGAGAGUAGCUAACUAAAACUUUUUAUCAAUUGAUAGAAAAGAAAAAAUCCAUGUGUUAAGUUUGGCAUGUUCGCAACAAAUUUUUGUGGAUGCGGAAAAUUAACUACAAGCAAAAAUAAAUAAAAAGAAAUAAUAAUUUUAUAUAAACAAAAUUUAUGGGUAUAAUUCCGUUAUUCUCUCUAUUCUUCUCUCCUAAGUUUAUCCGUGAUUCGAGGGCCUUUGCAGCGUGAUUCUCGAAUGUAGGAUGAUUUAAGCCUCCUAGAAAUGCAUUUGGAUCUCCAGGAAUUGUCUGACAGCACUUCGUCUUGUCGAGUUGACCUUCGGGCAGAACUCCGUUAGUCGAUUCGUUGAAGAGCUGUAUAGUCAAUGCAGAAGCUUCCUCCAAUGCCUGCUGAAUGACCCAUUAAAAUUAUGUAACCCUCCUAUUUAUAGUUGUAGGGGGUAGGCAGUCCAAGAGUAAAUAACCUCUUUUGUCUCAUUCUGAUUGGUCCAUUCAAUUUUCAAGCUUAUCACAAAUGUUAUGUGACAAGGUUGCUUGUGAUUGGCCAAAAACAUGUCAUUUGGGACACUUGGCGUGUUUCAUUGGCUCUUGAAUUUGACUUGGAUUGCCACCUCAUUUGAUCGUGUGGCCUUGCCUCUUUGGUAUUUAAUUUGACUGGGAUGCCAUGUCAUUUGACACGAGCAUAAGUUUGGGCCUCAAGGUGAGAUGGAUCUUGAUGAAGAAUAAAACGGGUUUAUAGCCCAAACUAAUUUUAGACCUAGUAAAAUAUGGAUCAAAUCCAAAUUUUAUAUGAAUUUGAUUCAAUGAAUUUUACGUGUCUACAGAUGCCCCCUACUUCAAGGCUCGUCAAGGUGUUUGAUUUGUCGGACCUGUUAGAGACAACAUUUGAAGUAUUUGUGAAGCCCUAUUUUUUUUUUUAAAGACUUGAGCAUUUUAUCAAUGUCCGACUCCUCAAAGUCAUGAUUAUCCGUGUAGAAUAAUGUGAAUCCAGUAUAAAUUCUGUUUAAGACUAAAUAUAUCCAAAUUAUGUAGGAUUCAACUAUUAGUCCUAUAUCAAAUUUUAAUAGGAUUGAUUAAUGACGUUAUCCCACUCCAAAAAGAAUUAGGAAUUUGACUUAUUUUGGACACUUAAACGUCCCAGUUCUUGUUGAAGACAACUUUGUUCAGUAAAUUCCUUUUUAAAAUCAAAUUGGGGCCUUUUAGAGUCUAUAAAAGGACAUCAACUCCCCCUUUAAUCAUUGUAAUUCAGCCUGAGCAGAAAUUCAACUUCUGUUCUUCUCCUCUUUUUGCUCUUCUUUUCACAAUUGAGCUUUCGACACUUUGGCGCAUCUGUAGAAGAAGCUUCAUAACGCAUCGUGGAGGUGUCUGAAUCACGAACGACUUGUAGUGUUAGAAAGUAGACUCGCAAGACAUGAAAUGAAACACCAAAUCAGUCCACAAAUCACAAGAUCUGAGUACUAAGAUGGAGACCACUCUUGGAUUCAACAAAUACAACAAGAAAAUGAGAUAAAAAGGUGUGUUUCAACACCAAAACAGCUACAAAACAUGAUGAACAAGAUGGAAACAAUGAAUACAAUAUUUGGAUUCAACAAGAACAAAAGAGAACAAGAUACAAACACUUACAAAAUUGCAAGAAAGGUAAAGAUAGAUAGUGUGACAUAGAUUACUACAAUAACUAAGAACCUAAGUGUAGAUCCAACACUAAGACCCUUAAUACAUGUAAUAACAACACCAACACUCUUACGUGGACACAAGAGGGACAUCAACCUUCUCAAGCACCUACGUUUCCAAGCCUUGAAUGCAACACAAGUGAAAUCCACACUUGUAUCACCCUAGUUUCUGGUUGAUGGUCUUCUUUCCUUAGAGAGGAAAUGUUUCAAGUAUUAUACGCUCAUCAUAUUCAUCAAAAUUUUAAAAUGAAACCUUACAUUACUCUAUUUAUAGUGUAUUAAAAAUAAUAGGUAAAAUUACCAAAAGGCUCCUUAAUGAAUGGGCACCCCUCUAGUGUAUGUAGUGGACUGAUUUGACCCUUUUAGUGUAUGUAGUGGACUGUUUUGGUGUCCAUUUAGGUGCACCUUUGCACUUCAUUGCACACACCGAGCCGCGGGUCUAACAUAUACCCUCAAAAGUUUAUCUACGUAAUCGUACUCGUAUUAUCCUCCUCUUCUUGAAAAGGAUUCAACCUCGAAUCCGUACCUUGCAAAAUCAAAGAGAAAACAAACAAGUACAUAUCCUCAUGGUAUAAGGGUUAGGGUUAUAAAAAUAAUAAAUUAGCAUUAUCAUGCCACGGUGGUACACACUUGAAGUACAAGGAUCCUUUGUUUUAGUUAUGGAAAGCUUUUGUACAACAUCACAAAGGAAAGGGCUCGAAUGAACAUCAAGAAUUAAGGGACAAAAACCAAGACUACGCCUCUCAUACGAUGUAUAUCCAAAAACAUCAUGAAUAUCAUCAUAUGCAUAUAGGUAGUGAAGAAAGGCACCAAAGACACAAUUCUCAUCUAAGAUGUAUUCAUAAGUAGGAACACACAAUGAGAGAAAGGGACAUUGCAAGCAUGUAGGACCUCUCUCCUUCCAACCACUUCCCGAGGAAAGGCAUUCCAUCAAGGGAGUCAUACCAAUAGGGAGAAUAGGGAGACAACCAUGCAACAAUCCAAUCCAAGGCAAGUAGUUUUCCAAAGAACUUGGCUUCCCUCUACAAAUUAUGUGAAGCACGCUCCCAAAAGUCGCACAAGAUACUUCAACUUGUCCAACCCCAUGAAGGUGACAAGAAGUCUUUAACAUCCUUGGACCCUUCCACAAACAAGAAUACAACUUGGCAUCCAUAAGUUGUGGUUCACAUAACUUAAGUACAAGUGUGUCAAACAUAGAUGAAAGAAUAUGACCAACACCCCAAAGAGAUAAUGACACAUUUUUCCUAGGGUCCUCCAGUAGACACGAACCAAUAUUAAUAUCAAAGAGAUCACAAUUCAAGUUACCAUAUUUAUCAAGCACAGGUGCGGUGUCAUACAAAGGAGUACAAGCAAAAUCAUUUUUCAAAUAAUAAUCACAAUUCGGGUUUCCCAUGUAAUCAAGCAAAUUAUGGUAGUCUUCACCCGAUUGAUUAUUCCUUUCCAAGACUAUGCAUUCCCUACCCUUAAGAGUACUCUCAUCUUCCAAGAAGAGAUUUCCAUCUUGAGGAGAAAUGUUAUCACACCAUAAUGAGUUAGCAUAUAGGCUAUAGCUUCCAAGACAAGCCAUGUCGUCCACAUCACUUGCACCACUAGGUUCAUUGGGAGUGAAUAAACUAUCUUCAAACAAGACAUUGUACCUAAAGAGUGAAUGAUCUAAACCACAGACAGGUUUGGAACUUUCACUCUCUAAGGAAUCAUUAUCAAGUUUCAAAGAUAUGUCAAGCACAUGAUUAACCCUAUGAGCCAAACAAACAUUAGAAUCUUUACAACAACAUAGGCUCACGGGUUCACUCCCUUUUUCUUGACCAAUAUCUUCAAAUUUUCCACUCACUUGAUAUUCAUUAAUCACAUCACACAUAUCCUCAAGUGGUGGGCAAUUUUUAAUCACAAGUUAGGCAAUACAAAUAUCACACGAUGAUAUACUUUCAUUCAACACAAUAGCUUCAACACUAGGUGGACACAAAUCGAUCUUACUAGAAGAGUCGAUUUGGUCAUCUAUAGGAUCAACUAGUGUAUCCACUCGCAUAAUAUGUACAUCAUCCACUAGUGGUAGGGAAUCAAUAGACUCAUAUGUAGGUAAGCUACUACUCACACUCAACGGCUUAUUAGCCUCGCGGUCAUCAUUCAUAUGCACCAAAGUGUAAGAGUUAGAUAUUUUACCUUGACUUUCAUGAGUAUGUUCAUCUUUACCUUGGCGUAAUAGUCCUUCACAAGCUUGGGAAACAACUUUCUCCGAAAAAUUCUCAUCGCAAGGUGCUUGCACAAUUGAAUUUUGUGGGAAGAGUUUGGGUAGAAAUUGACAUAUAAUUUCAAUGUGCCAUUUCAUAUCUUCAAUAUUGUCAUCUAUGCGAUCAAAUGUGGCAUUGAAAUUAUGGGAAGCCAUUGUACCUACCAAAAAUACACAACAAACAAGGAAAACAAACAAAUUUGUUAGAUAAAAAAUGCCUCACCACACUCUUACUCUCAGUUUUACCUUGCACUUGGUUUCACAAGUGUUCAAAGUCGGCUUGUACUUCGUGAGUGAUUGAGGGUCGGGCUGACGCUUUUUCGGAAUGGAUUUUUGUUUGAAACUCAAACGAAAUCUUGUAGGACUUGAGUCAAGAACUAACAAUGAAUUCAAAAUGAGAAAAGCACACAACAAACGUAAACAUGAACAAAUGAAUACAAAACUAACUUACAAGCUAGUAGGAGAUUACUAAAUUGUCAAUUAGUGCACGAGCCAAAAAAUGAAACUAAGAGACAAUAAAAUGAAACUAAGAAAUCUAAAAUUUGAGCUUAAUUAUGUUGCGGUGAACAGUAAAAUAUGAUGAUGAGGCAGCUACGUAAUUGGUCACGGUCCCCGCACAAUUUUUUUUGUCCAAUUUUAAGUCUUGGUCAAUUUUUCAAUUUGGACUUUGGUGGAAUUUAUUUAAGGAGGGAAAUUCAAACAAGUCUUUGAGCCCCUUUUCAAUUUCAAGUUUUCAAGACUUGAAUUUCUUGUCUUUUCUCCUCAAAAUAUGGAAUUUGGUUUCCCUUAAAUCAUGGAAAGUUGGUGAGAAGUGAUGUAAAGCUUUUUUGGUGGCUGGGGGUCUUUCAAGACUAACAAUUACUUACACCUUUUUGGAUCAAAUAAGCACUUUUUUUUAACAAGGUAUGAAGAUAGUGAUGAACAUCAAGAACAAGAACAACAUUCACCAAGAAUAACAACAAUAAUUCCAAGAACCACAAUAAUCUUCCAAGGACACUAACAAUUUCUCUUUCACGUCCCACUCUAAAUCCACAACAAUAUUAUCUUCAACACUUGGCCAAGACAACUACAACUGCAAUUAAAUGGUUCUUAGGCUACCAAUUAACAACAAAAUCAUGUAGUCAAGCUAAGAACAACAACAAGGUGAAUACCAUACACCCAAAGUGGAGCCACAACAACAAAAACGUCCAGAACACUUUCAAGUCACCACAACAAUGGUCAAAAUUAUAAGCAAAACUUUAGAUCUAGUCACUUUUAGUGUUGGUGAGAAAGGAAUCAACACUAGAAACAAACUAAACAAGUAAAAGACUACUAGAUAUAGUCACAAAACUAACAAAUCUUGGCCAACACACAACAAGAAUGCAAUUUUGGCCAAGAACACAACCACGGACAGAUUUGCUUUUUUUCAGCUUUUCAACAACUAUUUUUUUGAAUUUUCUAACAACCAAGCCCAAGAUUGAUCUUGUAGGAACAAGAUCUAGCCAUGAUUUGAUACCAAAUGAUACAAGAAUAACAAGAGGAACAUGAAAUCAAACACCAAAUUAGUCCACAAAUCACAAGAUCUGAGGACUAAGAUGGAGACCACUCUCGAAUUCAACAAAUACAACAAGAAAACGAGAUAAAAAGUUGUGUUUGAACACCAAAAUAGCUACAAAGCAUGAUGAAAAAGAUGGACACAAGAUUUGGAUUCAAAAAGAACAAAAGAGAACAAGAUACAAACACUUACAAAAUUGCAAGAAAGGUAAAGAUAGAUAGUGUGACAUGGAUUACUACAAUAACUAAGAACCUAAGUGUAGAUCCAACACUAAGACCCUUAAUACAUGUAAUAACAAUACCAACACUCUUACGUGGACACAAGAGGGGCUUCAACCUCCCCAAGCACCUACGUUUCCAAGCCUUGAAUGCAACACAGGUGAAAUCCACACUUGUAUCACCCUAGUUUCGGGUUGGUAGUCUUCUUUCCUUAGAGAGGAAAUGUUUCAAGUAUUAUACACUCAUCAUAUUCAUCAAAAUUUGAAAAUUAAACCUUACAUUACUCUAUUUAUAGUGUAUUAUAAAUAAUAGGUAAAAUGACCACAAGGCCCCUUAAUGAAUGGGCACCCCUCUAAUGUAUGCAGUGGACUGAUUUGGCCCUUUUAGUGUAUGUAGUAGACUAUUUUGGUGUCCAUUUAAGUGCACCUUUGCACUUCAUUGCACACACCAAGUCACGGGUCUAACAUAUGCCCUCAAAAGUCCAUCUACGUAAUCGUACUCAUAUCAGUUCUACGCAAAAACCACGCUCAUCUUAUCACCAGAUCUGCCGAGGUAUCAUUUUAAAAUCAGACCUUCAGUUCUGUUUUAUCACUGUUUACUUGUUUUGUGCAGUCUCACAAAAACUCUCAUAUCUUGACUUAGGAGCAUCAAAAUUAGGAGCCAUUUUUUCGUGUUGGAAACUAGACUCAUAGAAAUACGUCUCACACAGAAACCACAAUUAGAUUGAAUUUGAAUCGUCCCAGAUAUUGCUCCAAAUACGGCUUUGUAAUCUUGGUUUGCUUGUUAUUUCAUCUUUGCGCAGAGUCACAAGAAAUUUCAUAUCUCAAUGCGGAUGUUUCGAAAUCAGGUGCCAUUUUUUGCAUUGAAAAGUAGAUUCAUAGAGCUACAUCUCACCUAGAAACCACAAUCAUAUUGCAUUCGAAUCAUCCCAGAUAUUGCUCUGAAAACAACCUUCUAUUCCUGGUUUGCUUGUUAUUUUAGCUUUGCGUAGCGUCAUGAGAAAUUUCAUAUCUCAACGUGAAAGUAUCGGAAUUAGGUGUCGUUUUUUGCAUUGGAAAGUAGAAUUGUAUAUAUACGUUACACGUGAAAUCCAUCAGCAUAAAACCUAUAUAUUUUCUCAGGUAAAUUCUUGAAGUUUCAUCCUAAAUCUUGUGACACUCCUUUUUCUUUUAGCAGACUUACAGUUUAAUUUGAUAUCUUUGGCAGGCCUUCAAACAUAUAGAGGCUAUCUUCAGUUCUUUGAAAUUAUGAUGAACUUCCGAGACCAAACGACACCAUAUCCUCUACUUGAAAUAGCAAAUGAUGAACGAUAUUCUCCUGCUAGCAUCCUUACCUUGAAAGUUAAUCCUCCGGUCAUAAGUGUCUUCCCGCUUGACAGAGGAUUUCCUGACAUGUAUCUUCAUCUAGACAAAUGAUCGACAAAAGAAGAAAUUGACGUCCUUGACUCUAAAAAGGUCAUUAAUACUACUGCUUUUGUGCUGCAUUCAUCUACACAUGACAAGGAGUCUACUGCUACAUAUCCCAAAGGGUUGAAUAAGGGUCUUGCUACAUAGAAUUAUCCCCAAUUAGGCUUUGGAGAUUUUCGUUAUGUUACUUGCUAUUGGGAGUGGGUAGAGGAUGUCCUUAGCCACAGCAAGGAGGCACUAGAGUGAACUAAGAUUUAUGUUGUUUUCGCUUUUUUAUUCACUUACGACGUCAACGAGAAUGUUUUGCAAGCCUUUUGUGAACUUUGGCAUUCCUCGACCAAUACAAUUUGUGUCAGCAUCGAUGAGCUUUCUAUUUCAUUAUGGGACAUGCGUAUGAUUGGGGGCCUUCCAGUACACGAAACUUUCUUUGAUGAAGUCGUCCCUUCGGUCAAAGAAUUGUCACAAGUAGAUGAGCAAGGGAAGCCCUUUUUGCCUAAAACUUGUGCUUACUUAUUUUCAGCAUUCUAUAAGCUUUCAAAUGGUGCGUCGUCUAAGGAGGUUUCUAUCCAUGAUUGGGUGAAUUUUUGGUUCAAAGGACCGGAGCAGUAAAAGGAUCCUUCACCAUGAGGCCCUAAAUAGCCAGCUAAACCAAAGUCAAAUCACAGUCCGAAUGGCUACAUUGAUAUGUCGUUUUUACCACAAACAGAAGAAGAGAACGUCUCUUUCGUCGAGUUAGGUAUGGAAGGGUCUCUUAGAGAAGAGACAAACUUGGCUAUUUUUCUUGCUUGCUGGAUUUGCAAGUUCGUUCUUCCAAUUAAGAAACUUGACGACAUCCGUCCUAGCAUCUUUAAAAUUGCAAGUCUAAUGGCUCAUGGGGAGAGGUUUGCACUAGCAAUUCCCGUUUUAGCUAGUAUCUAUAGAGGCUUGACACCGAUCACAACUUCAACAAACUUAGGUGCAGGCGACAUAAUUUUUCCUAUACAAUAUGUCUAUGGAUGGAUUGGUGCGCAUUUUAACUCCUAUUAUCAAGCACGUCAUUACAAUGGUGCUCGCAUGUGUAGGAUUGCUGGGGAAAGGAUGGCUAGAAGCUUUGAUCUUUAUGGUGCAAGACGAUUAUUUCAAAAUAUAGAUAUCUGCAGUCUUCCCACCUAGUCCAUGCUACAACCCAAGGAGUUGUUUAUAGCAGACAAUGGAGAAUUGUCUAGUCCUUGGAACGAUUAUUUCAUUAGUUUUCGUUCGAGCUACGUUACUCUGCGGUGUGAUGAUCACUUUGUCAUAGAGCCUUACAGUCCCCAUAGAUUCAGCCGACAGUUUGGAUUUGUUCAAGACCUGCCUGGAAACUUCAUCAAAUGACCGUUUAACGACAAACUUGAAGAAUUGGUACGACUUUGGGACUCUUGCACCCGUCUUAGUAGUUCUUCAACCAUUAGUAUACCACCAUAUCCCGAAAGGACUCUAAAAACCAAUAGGUAUGCAAAUUAGUGGUAUAUUGGUCAACCAAACCUUGUUGGGAAAAAUAAAAUUGUCUUGAAAAUUCUCCUUCGUCCAUCGGAACAAGGUAAGUCUUCUACUUCCUCCCUUGUUAAGUCAAAGACGAGGUCGUUGUCUUCUAAGUCUUCCCCUUCUAGGGGUAAGUUGGUGAAAACUGGAAAACGAUCAAGUCGUCCUUCAUUGAAAUUGAAUGACACUCCUUAUAUGGCUUUGAAUAAGACUCGCAAGCGAAACAACGAUUAUUCUUUACUUGAGACUAAUAGUGGAAAGAUGCCAACCAAAAUUCCACUCGACGAUAAGAUUCCGCCUAUCCGCAUAGUUAAUGAAGUCGUAGAUACUAAUGAUGACACAAGCUCAAUGGAAGGAGACCAAGACCAACAUUGGAAGCGCAAAAUAAAAAAGGCAAAAGAACAAUCUAGUGAGUUUGUUGAUUUGGACAAUGCUACCAUAGAUAGCGAGGUAUUUUCUGUUAGUGACCCUAGCUACACUAUACCAUUGACUGAACUCGCAGAACAAGUAACAUUACUUCCUUCUCUCUCUUUUUUUAUUUAAGAAAAAUAAUAAAACCCAGCUAACGUUUUAUUUUUUGAAGCUGAAUCUCCAAGGCAUCUUUACCGAUACGCUUAAUGGCAUUUUUGAUGGCAUUACGAGUCCAAGUUACCUUGAUACAUCUUCUCUUCUUGUCACAGAUAUUUUGACAAACAACAUGGAGGUUGUGGUUUCCCAAGCUAAGUCGCCUAAAGUUCAUGCGCCUUCAUUGUGUUUAUCGUCAUUUGUGGCCCCAAAUUUUGAACCACAAGAGACGAUCUCUACUUUCAAGAAGUCUUACAUUCUUCAGAUGUGUGGUGCAUUUCAUAAAUGGCUAACCAUGUUCUCUGUUGAAUCUUCGAAUGACUUUUCAAAGUUGAAAAAUGGUGUGAACAUGCUUAUGGAGGAGCUCAAAGGAAUUAACGCCAUCAAUAUCUCUAUUCUAGAGGGCUCUGUUAAUACUUUCAUAAAAACAUAUGAGGAGUACGACGCUAUGAAGUCAUCUUCAUCCCUGAAAAUAACUAAAGAGCACCAUCAAAAAUUGCUCUCUGACGUGCAACAAAGCCUUGUUAAUGCAAAAGAGGAAAACACUAAGUAGAGAGGGCGCAUGGAGGAUCUCCAAUCAAAUCUUGCUAAGUUUGAUGAAGAAAUGAAGCUCUUAUCUGCGAAGAGGGAGAAGACUAUUUCAUGCAUAAAAGAGAAGAAAUAACGGUUGUCUAAAUGCCAAGAGAAGAUCAUCACUUUUGAGGGCGAGCUUCAUGCGAUUAGGGAGAAACAUCCAUUAUCCGAAGAUGAAGUGGAGACACUAUCCAAACUGAAAGAGACGGUUGACGAGAGUCGUCAGCAAAUUCUGGAAUUUCAACCUUUUCCAUAGUUUAGAUACUUGCUUAGGAUUUUUUUUUUUAAUUGCUUAUUAUGAUGUAGUGACAUUUUUCCUUUGGUGCAAUAAAAGUGACCUUUAGCUUUCAUUCAAUUAUUGUUUCGUCUAUUUCUUUUUUUUUUUAAAUGAUCAAGGUAGAUGAAUUUGCUCCCAAUCAUGAAUAAACUUUGAGCUCUGUUGACAACAUGUAUCAAAAUCAAACUCCUUUCCAAUUAACCGAAAUUAAUAUUUUUUUUUAAGUUAACCAUAAAUCUGUCAGAUUUUAUAGUUUUGCGUGGCUAUGGUAGAAAAUUCAUAAUUCGACGUACAAGCCUUUGAAUUAUAAACCGUCUUUUUUGUUCUGAAGAUAACACCAAGAGUUAAAACAUAGGUAAAAAUCAUGACCAUAUCCUUUACGGAUUUGUACAAUUUGUCCUUGAAGUCAGCUCAGUUCGAAACAUGAGGGUCUCUUUCGCAGCUUUGAGUGGCUACGGUAGAAAAUUCAUAACUCAAUGCAAAAGUCCUUGAAUUACGAACCAUCUUUUUUGUUGCAAAUAUAACACCAAAAUAUACAACAUAAGUAAAAAUCAUGACCAUAUCCUUUACGGAUUUGUACAGAUUCGUCAUUGAAGUCAGCUUAGAUCAAAACGUGAGGGUAUCUUUCGCAGCUUCAAGUGGCUAUGGUAGAAAAUUCAUAACUCGAUGCAGAAGUCCUUGAAUUACGAGUCGUAUUUUUGGUUGAAAAUAUAAAACCAAGAGAUACAAAAUAUGUAAAAAUCAUGACCAUAUCCUUUACGGAUUUGUACAGAUUCGUCAUUGAAGUCAGCUUAGUUCGAAACGUGAGGGUAUCUUUCGCAGCUUUGAGUGGCUAUGGUAGAAAAUUCAUAAUUCGACGUACAAGCCUUUGAAUUAUAAACCGUCUUUUUGUUGCAAAUAUAACACCAAUAGAUACAAUAUAUAUAAAAAUCAUGACCAUAUCCUUUACGGAUUUGUACAGAUUCAUCAUUGAAGUCUGUUUUACUUUACUUGUUUCUUCAUUUUUGCUCAUCUGUUGUAAACUAAGCGAAGAAACGUUCAAUUCAUGUGACAUCUAUGUCCUCUACAAGUAUUAUUGUCAUGCUCAAUUAAUGAUGAAUCCUUUUCCUUUACUCUUUUUUUAACUCAUAUGAUUGAACUUAGAGUAAAAGCAUACUCUAAGCUGCCUACGUACCUCGGGAGGAUCAAGUCAUAACGUAGUUCAGGAUGAUGAGUUAAUUUUUUUUAGAGUUGUUCACAGUUUAGACUUAUGUGGGCCAGGAGUAGACAUGCAGUUUAUACUCGUGCCUUAAGGAGUGUAAACGACCUUCAUGGAAAGUACUGCUUCAGGAACUUGCCGUUGAUGGGACCAACUCUUACACCAUCCUGAUCGACGAUCUUAUAAGAGCCACUUGAAUAUACUUCUUUCACAACAUAUGGACCAUCCCACUUAGAUGUAAACUUGUCACCUAUGCGUUUGUUGAGGAUUAUGGGUCUUCGAACUGCUAAGAUCAAGUCUCCUACUUGAAAUGAUCGCGGUCACACUCUCUUGUUGAAAGCUCUAGCAAGUCAAGCUUGAUAACACUCCAACUUUUGUUGGGCUUCUAAUCUCUUCUUGUCCAAUGCCUCUAACUCUGCCAAACGAAGUUGAGCAUUACUUUCAGUUGUAAGACCUUCUUGGAUCUCUAUUCGUAGUGAUGGAAUUUGUUGUUCUAGUGGAAGGACUUUCUACGCCAUACACCAACGAAUACGGAGUCGGUUGGUUAGCAAUUCUAUAGGUCAUACGAUAUGCCCACAAAGCUUCACCGAUCCUCUCAUGCCAAUCUCUUUUAUUUUUGGCAACCACUUUCUUCAAGAUGUUACCAAGUGUUUUAUUAAAAGCUUCAGCAAGACCAUUGGCAGCGCAUUGUACAGUGAAGACUUAUGUUGCCUAAAAUUAAACUUUUCGCACAAAGUCCUCAUGAGCUUAUUAUUGAAGGGCGUUCCAUUAUCAGUAACUAUGUAUCUUGGUACGCCAUACCUGAAGAUGAUGUUUGACUUGAUAAAAUCAACAACAUUUUUCUUUUUCACCUCUUUUAGCGGCACGGAUUCAACCCAUCUCGAUAAAUAAUCGAUAGCAGUAAGAUGUACAUAUGACCUUUUGACGUCUUUGGGAGAGGUCCAACAACAUCAAGUCCCCGCGCAUCGAAAGGCCAUAAUGCUAUAGUUGGAUGAAGAUGCUCUGAAGCCUGAUGUAUAUAAUUAGCAUGAAAUUGACAUGCUUGACACCUUUUGGCAUGCUCUAGACAGUCCAUCACCAUUGUUGGUCAGUAGUAGCCCAUCCUUUUGAUGCGAAAAUAAAGUUUAGGCCCUGAUUGGUGUGCUACACAUAUGCCAGAAUGUGAUUCCUCCAUUGUUUGUUGAGCUUCUUCUUUGUUAAGACACCGUAAGAGUAACCCCUCGUAGGAACAACGAAAUAAAAUCCUUCAUUAAAGAUGAAUCGUGGUGCCCUUCUCCUAAUGUCUGCUCUUUUUCGUGGAUCCUCGGUCAGCCUUCCAUGUUCAAGAUACUCAAUUAGUUAUUUUCUCCAAUCUUCUUCUUCAAUGACUCGGACAGAUGUAUGGAGGCUUUCGUCUAAUUGAAGGUCAAGGCAACCGGGAAUAGCCCAUCGAUGACUUACUUGAACCUUUGUUGACUCAUUUUCUCUGAGUGCCAUCGUCGUAGCUAAGUUUGCCAGAGAAUCCGCCAUGCGAUUUUCUUCUCUUGGGACGUGGUUUAAGAACACUUUACCAACCUUUCAAGCAAACGCGUAGUAUAUCGAUGAUAUGGUAUAAGGUCUUCUUUCUUCACCUUGUAAUUGCCUAAGAGUUGAUUUAUGAUCAACUUAGAGUCACCAUAGAUAUCCAAUUGCGGAAUCUUCAUAUCUGAUGCCAUUUCAAGUCUAAUAAUUAAAGCUUGGUGCUCUGUUGCGUUAUUGGAACAUGUUUCACCCAGAACAAAUGAAAAUGUCAAGAUUAUUCUUUCUGGUGAUAUCAACAUGACACCUGACCCUGCACCAUCUUGACGUGCUGAUCCAUCAAAGAGCAUUGUCCAUGUCGGCAUUUCUUAAGUAAAUAAUACAUCUUCAUCAGGAAACUUAUCCCAAAUCUCCCAUUCUGACGGCAGGGGGUGAUCAGCUAAGAAAUUAACAAGUGCUUUUCCUUUUACAACCUUUUGAGGCAUGUAUAUGAUCUCAUAUUAGUUAAACAAUAUAGAGCAUCUGGCUAGACGUCCUGAGAGAACUGGCCGAGUCCUCACGAACUUCACAGGAUCAGCUCGAGAAAUUAGCUUGAUGGUGUAUGCUUCAAAAUAAUGCCUUAAUUUCUUUAUCGCAUAAAGCAAAUCCAAACACAUCUUUUCAAUGGGCGUAUAAUUUAACUCAGCUCCUAUCUAAGUUUGACUUAGAUAGUACAGUGCUUGUUCCCUCUUGGCUUCAUUAUCUUGAGCCAGAACUGCUCCAAGUGAUCACUCUUGUGAUGCAAUGUAAAGUAUCAAUGGCCUACCAGGAGUUGGUGCCCCCAAUACAGGUGGAUUCAAUAAGUAUCUUUUGAUAAGUAUUUCGACAUGAUUGAUCCCAGUGGAAUGGGGCAUCUUUCUUCAUCAGAUGGCUGAAGGGUUGACAACGUCCAGCCAAGUUAGAGAUGAACCUCCGAAUGAAUGCCAAAUUUCCUUGCAGACUGCGGAGGUCUCUUAAGUUCCUUGGCUCCGGCAUUUUCCAAAAUGGCACCAAUCUUUGUGGGAUCAACUUAAAUUCCACAGUGACGCACAAUAAAGCCAAGAAACUUUCCCGAAGGAACUCCAAAUGCGCAUUUGAGUGGAUUCAUUUUCAAGUCAAAUUUUCUUAACCUCUCAAAAAUAAUACGAAGAUCAUCAAGAUGGUCGUCCCUACAUUUUAUCUUUACCACUAAGUCGUCGACGUAGCAUUCCACCUUCUUAUGCAACAUGUCAUCAAAAAUAUUUUACAUUGCACGUUGGUAGGUGGCACCCAUAUUCUUUAGACCAAAUGGCAUCACCUUGUUGUAGUAUAUCCCUUUUGGAGUUUGAAAAGUAGUGCAUUCUUUGUCUCUUGGGGAUAUUCUGAUUUGGUUAUAUCCGGAAGAUCCAUCCAUAAAUGACAUAGCUUCAUGUCCAAUCAUCACAUCAACCAUGAGCUCUAUGAUUGGUAUCGGAAAAUCAUCCUUCGGACACGCUUUGUUCAAGUCUCAAAAAUCAACGCACACACGUAUUUGGCAUUUUUCUUUUUGACAGGUACAAUAUUUGAGAUCCAUGAUGGCUAUUUCACCUCUCAAAUAAAUCCGGCUUCGAUGAGCUUAUUAACCUCUACUUCAAUUUGUGUUACUAGCUCAAGGCGAAACACUCGUUGUGACUGCUUUACAGGACGUGCCCCUUUUUUGAUCCCAAAAUAAUUAAUAGCUACCUUAGGACUAAGGCAAGACAUUUCUUUGUAUGACUAGGUGAAGACAUCUUUGUACUCAACUAAUAACUUGAAGUAGUUCUGCUCUUCUUGCGGUGUAAGAAGUGUACUAACAAAGGUUGGGUGCGGAUUCUCCAAUGUACCGAGGUUUAUCUCCUUAAGUUCAUCUACAGUCGAUUGUACUCCAUCCUCUAGUUGAGGGGGUGCUUCUUGAGCAUCAUCAUCCAUUUUAUCAUGGCACAGAUUGUCCUCCACUAUUAUAUGAUAUGAUACACUGGCUUCCUCUAGAUCCUCUUUUGUUUCUCUAAGUUGUUGGUUGGUAAAAACAAUAGUUCUUUUUCUUACCUUUAACUAGACAUCUGUGGUAAUUGACAAAAUAGACUUUCUUUUCAUGCGCGAUGGGAAAGCACUAUGAAUUUCCUUAUCAUCAAUGUCCUCAGAGAAAUAUUGUUGUUCGUGCCCCAAUAAUGUCUUUCUAGAUUAUGGCUUUUCUGUGGCUCCCAAGAGAAGAAAAAUAGAGGCAUCCGCAGUGGUGACACGUCCUUCUACACAGUUAGAAGCUCCACUUCCAUCUUUACCUCCUAAUCUAUCAAAUACAGAGACACGAGGUGUUGAUUUUCCUAUGCGAUUUAACACUAAGUUCCAUUAUGGUAUUUUCUCGUCCCCACCCUUCUUUUUCCCUUCUACUAAGAUAUGGUGAGAUGAAGUCAUUUCCUUCACCUUCCUAGCUGAAAUUCGAAGAGGCUCUGGCAAUUUUGAAUCCUAGCCCAAACUUAGGAGUGGUGACGUAAUGUCCUUGCUUUCACAACUUUAUUUGGGAUGUUGUAAGGCCGUGUAUUUUUUCGCCAGUGACUUCAUCCUUGAGCUCUCCUAGUCUUAUCGGAUUGGAGAAGUCAUAACCUGAUUUUUCAAGUAAUGUGAAAGCCUUUUGAUUAAAGUGACCUUUUAUCUUUUCAACUAAGGUGUCAUUUCUUGAGGACACAAGAGUAUUAGCUUGGAUUUGUACGAUUGGUACUGUCAUACUCUUCUUCAAAUCUUGCAACAUUUCAUGGCUUAUUUCUUUUCUUGGAUGGAGAACUUAUUGAGUACAUGCUUCUAGCAAGGGUUGUCCUUCUCUUCGACGCUCACGUGGAAUGUAGCUAAAUAUUAAAUGCUCAUCAUCUGUCUUUGCUUUUAUGUCUCCUUCAGAUGAUGAGAACUUAAUGGCGAUUACUUCAGUACUUUCCUUAGACAUCUUAGCAACACCCGCCUGCACUCCUACCUUUUCUUUUGAAUUAACCCCAGUUGGGUUAGAGGGUGUUGGUUUCUUCAUGUCUAACUCACAAGGGUCCAAAUAGAAUUUCACAUCUGCAAAGUACGACUCUGUUUCUGUGAAAGGAUGAAUAUCUGCAUCAACUUUAACUACCUCACCAUCCUUCAUAUACUUCAUGCACUGAUGUAAAGUAGAUGUCACCACUCCAUUUUCAUGCAACCAGGGGCGUCCAAGAACCAAGUUGUUUGAUGUCUUGGCGUCUAUGACGUGAACCAAAAUAUUUGAUUUCAUAUUGCCAAUGGAUAAUUCUACGGAUAUUUUUCCCAUGGCUCGCUGCCCUCCUUGAUUGAAGCCUUGAAUUGUUAUAUUUCUUUUGGACAGUUCAUCAAUAGAGAUUCCAAGACUUUUGAGCACUGUCCUUGGCAUGAUAUCAGUAUAUGAUUGAGAUGUUGUUCUCGAAUAACUCCUACAACAAACAAAGGCCUGUUAUGCAAUUUGGACCCUAACAACAAGUCAUCAUCGGUGAAGAAAAUUACAGCAAAACACUGUGCAACUGCUGGCUUAACAUGACAUUCUUGUGCUAUUGUUAGAUGCUACUCUUGUUUACUUCCCUUGGGUUCUUCUAUGCUGGAAAUUACAUGCAUCACCCUAACUUGGCUAUCUUGAAGGAAUUUUUUCAGAAAAAAUUCAUGCAACAUGAUAGGCCUUCGGGCCUUCUAUGACAAGAAACCACUAAUCUUCUUUCUAGCAUUAAACUUGACACUUUUUGAUGGUCGCAGUUGAUCCACAUUAUGCCCCAUCACUUUCAUCUUAGGAAGUCGUAUUCUUGGAACUACUCGAUGUCUUCUUUUCUUAUGAGAUACAAGAGUCCAGCCGUUAUCCUUAUUAUUCUCAGAAUUGUCAUCUACCUCUAUUGCAGCUUUAGAAGUUCUUCUUGGGGCAUCAACUUCAACCGGCCUGAAGCUUCCAAAAUGCAAUAAGAUGGUGCUUCUCAUAGUCUGCGGCAUGGAGCAUUUUUGUUGAUCGACAACGCUAUCAUGAUUUGCAUCCAUGGUUUCAUCCAUGUUGAUGAUGAUUUUUCCUUUACUUACUAGUGUCAUGAUUUUCUUCUUCAAAACGAAGCAUUUUCCUGUCGGGUAGCCAAUGACGCGAUGAAAUUUGCAGUACUUAGGAUCAUUAACCCUAUUAAUUUCCUCAGGCCUCUUUGAUUCCAGAAGAUCAAUGGCUUUUUUGGCCAACAAUUCAUCAAGGAUCGUAGGUACGUCUGAAGCUGGAAAUGGGUAAAAUUUUGCUUCCAACUCUUUCAAAGUUGGACGACGUUUUCCCUCCCUUGGCUGUUGCUUUAAUGUUUCAUAUUCCUUCACUUUUUUCUUCAUCGUGACCUUUACGGAAGUUUUUUUCACCUCCAUGGAUUCUUUAGUAUGGAUCUUUGGGGUCGUAGCCUUCUUGAACUCUUUUUUUUCUGUAGUAAGAUCAACAAAAAGAGACGUCUUCCCAUGACUUGCGAUACUUAACUCCAUGUCAUGUGCUCAUAUAGCAAGUUCUUCAAAUGUUUAUGGUUUGAUUCCUUGUAGUAUGUAUAGAAGGCCCCAAUGCAUUCUUUGAGGGCACAUUUCUACAGCGGAUAUUUCAGAAAGGAAAUUUUUGCAGUCCAAACUCAAUGACCUCCAACAAUUGAUGUAAUCCACCACAGGUUCAUCUUUUCUUUGCUUAGUGCCAGUCAACUCUAUCAUACUCACAGUUUAUCGAGUGUUGUAAAACUGGUUGAGAAAUUCCAUCUCGAGCUACUCCCAACUAUCAAUUGACUCAUGCUCUAAGUCGAUAUACCAGUCAAAUGCAUUCCCUUUUAAUGAACGAGCCAACUGUUUCACCAGGAAAUCGCCGUUUGUUCUAGCAUUACUGCAAGUUUUGACAAAGUGAGCUCUUUAGUGGUUGAUAGUUCGUUGGCAUGGAUAGACAGUCAAUUUGCCUUUUGUAAGGCUCGGAGUAAUACAAUGAACUUUGUAGUGCUCUGCCAUAUUGAGCCCUGAUAGAGUUAGUUAUCAUGUCUUGCAACUGCUGAACAGAUAGAGCCCCAACCAAAGUAAACUGUUUCUCUUUUUGAGAUUUAGUGUUUCUAGGAGACUCAUCAACACUCUUAUUUUGCUGAGUAAAGCCGGAUGGAUAAGCAAGGUCGUGGCUUGAUUCUCCAGGGGCAAAGGACUCCAACUUGUUCAUCAGUUGAGCGAUUUGAAGAUCUUUAUCCUCAACAGAUUUCUGUAAAACUUCAAUGGUUUGUUCCAUUAUUGUGAACUUCUCAUCCAUAUCAGUUACGUCAGCCAUCAAGGCAUUGACCUUUAUUGAAACCGGAGCAUCAAUCGAAUCUUCUGAUCCACUAAAAUUGACGCCAGUCUGAGAAAGUUCAUCACAUAGCAAGGAUGUCAAGUUACCCCCCAGGAGUUGUGAUUCCAUCCGCCAUAUGAGAUUUGCUCUUUUUUGCCUUCUUCAAAGAAAUAAAGUAUUCACAUCUGUCCCAACCACUAGUCUUCAACUUGCGCCGAGUGAGUGGACCAACAUGGAUGAGCUCAUCAGAUGUGGCAGUAGCAGAGUUCUUGCAUGAGACAACUUUAGUAUUUUUGAAGUCCAUAGCAGUGGUUGAAUUUGAUCUCGCAGGAAGAAGAGAUGGAGAGUAAAACUGGUCCCACUAGGCGUGCCAAUUUGUUUGCAACAUAAUUUAAAUUCAUGGAAAAUAAAUUUUAACCACAAACAAAAAUAUGAAGCAACAAGAAUUUUAUAUUGAUAAACGAUUGUGGUUACAAAUCUGUUCCUCCCUUGAUUCUUCUCUCUUGAUUUUCUGCGUAAUUGAGGGUCGUUAGUGACUUAUUCUCGAAUAUAGGAUGAUCUUUUUAUAAAUAUCCCAUGAUUUUUUGUGGGAUAUUGAGAUCCCGAUCUUUUUACGACUACAUAUUCAAGAUGCCUGUUUCAGAGAACAUGUUACCUUUUAAAUACGCAAGAUUUAGGGUAAAGUAGACUUCUAGAACUCUAACAGAAUUUGAAUUGUCCACAACUUUUAGAUGUCUACAAAUAACCUCUACUUCAAGGCUUGUCGAAGUGUAGACUUGAUGACGAGUCUUGAAGUACACAUAGAGGGCUACAGAUAUGCAGAAUUUAUGAGAGAAGAGAUGAAGGACAAAUUUGGUCCCACUGGGCAUGCCAAAAUUUGUUCACAACAAAUUUUUGUGGAUGCGGAAAAUUAACUGCAAGCAAAAAUAAAUAAAAAGAAAUAAUGAUUUUAUAUAAACAAAAUUUGUGGGUACAAUUCCGUUAUUCUCUAGAUUCUUCUCUUCUAAGUUUUUUCGUGAUUCGAGGACCUUUGCAGCGUGAUUCUCGAAUGUAGGAUGAUUUAAGCCUCCUAGAAAUGCGUUUGGAUCUCCAGAAAUUGUCUGACAACACUUCGUCGUGUCGAGUUGACCUUCGGGCAGAACUCCGUUGGUCGAUUCUUUGAAGAGCUAUGUAGUCAAUGCAGAAGCUUCCUCCUAUGCUUGUUGAAUGACCCUUUAAAAUUAUGUAACCCUCCUAUUUAUAGUUGGAGGGGGUAGGCAGUCCAAGUGUAAAUAACCUCUUCUGCCUCAUUCUGAUUGGUCCAUUCAAUUAUCAAGCAUAUCACAAAUGUUAUGUGACAAGGUUGCUUGUGAUUGGCCAAAAACAUAUUAUUUGGGACACUUGGCGAUGUUUCAUUGACUCUUGAAUUUGACUUGGAUUGUCACCUCAUUUGAUUGUGUGGCCUUGUCUCAUUUGUUUUUAAUUUAACUGGGAUGCCAUGUCAUUUGACACAUGACAUGAGUUUGGGCCUCAAGGUGAGAUGGACCUUGAUGAAGAAUAAAACGGGUUUAUAGCCCAAAAUAAUUUUAGAUCCAAUAAAAUAUGGAUCAAAUCCAAAUUUUAUAUGAAUUUGAUUCAAUAAAUUUUACGUGUCUACAACAAGAUACGUACGAUUGCUUCUUUAUUAGAGAGCUUAACUUUUCAAAAUAACUAAACAUUUGGAGACUUGAACACAUAUCAUUUAUGUCCAAAAGAGCUCCAACACCCAUAUUACCUAGAUUAGCAUGACACUGUUCAUGCUUUUAUUUCAUAUAGUAGCAACCUUUGUAUCCCGUGCAACAGGUGGUGCAUCCAGUGGGGUAAUGUAUCGUCUUUCCUUGUGAAAGUGGAUAUUUUUCAUAGAGACAUAGCGAAUAGGCAAUAUUUGGAUCACAAUUCUUAGGGCAAUCUUUUGGGUUGUUGGGUUCAGACUCUCCUUCACAAAUAAAAGUCCCAUCAGCACUGUAAUAGUUGCAACCCUUACUGCCUGCACAACAAUUGAUGCAUAUGCGAUUUUCUGCACUUCCUUAGAAACGUGGACACUUUGAAUAGGCAAUUCUUGUAUCACAAUUUUCAGGGCAAGCUUUUGGGUUGUUGGGGUCAGACUCUCCUUCACAAAUAAAAGUCCCGUCAGCACUGUAAUAGUUACAACCCUUGUAGCCUGCUCAACAAUUGGUGCAUAUGCGAUUUUCUGCACUUCCUUCUGAACGUGGACAUAUCCCAAACCCAAGAUUACCACAUUCUUUGGUACAAGCCUUGGCAUCAACAUGUAGAAGCAAUAUUCCUACAAUAAAUAUAUAAGAUAUACAUAAAUAUUAAGGAAAAACAUAACACCACUUGUGUGGAUCACUACUACAAAAUCAAUAUUUUCCAACUAAAAUUUCCCGCUGAAAAGGUGCAUAAUAGUUAAAAAUGUAUAAAUAACAUAAAUACCAAUCAUUUUGAAAGUAAUUACACUUUCUCCCACUUUUUUAAUUACUUUACUCUCUCUCCCUAUUAAUAUACAUAACAUAACCGACAUAUACAUAGCUUUCUGUGUAUAUGUUGGGAUUUUUGUAAUAUGUUUAGGGAGCUGAGUUUUUUGUAAUAUUGAAAACAUAAGUUGUGUAUUUGUGCAAUUUUUAGUUUAAAAAUUAGGAAGCUUUCUAGUGUUCUAAUGAGAAUCAUUUUUUCACCAUGCAUUUUCUAGUUAUCCAGAAAUUAGGUGGGAAAUGGGAUCGAAAAAUCCUUUUUUAUAACGCAUAUUUUCUAUUGCUUCGCGGUGGGAAAACCUUUGUCUCUAACUGCAUAUAUAUCAAUGAAGAAAUUAAAGAGAAAAAGGAGAAAGGAAAAUCUUACCAAGAACAAGUAGGUAAGCAAGGAAACUAACUUCUUUGUGAACAACCAUAUUAUGAAUCGAUGGUGAUUAUUUACCUUGUUUUUGUUAUGGAUGAGGAAGUCUACCCAUCACCACCUAUUUAUAGCAAACAAAUAAAAUAUACGUGGCUAACUAAAAUUUUUAUUUCACAUUAAUAAAAGAUUGGAAAUUAGGUACUUACGCUUGAUUCUUUGUUAGAAAGCUUAUUUUUUCUUACUUGUUAUAUUCCUUCUAAUAAUUAAGCAAGUUGUACUGAGUACUGACCCCGACUUGCUUGUUUUUGAAAUAUUUUUCAUCUUGCAAUAAUUUUUCAUAUCCAUGAACCAUGAUACUGUAUGUAGUAUUCUAGUUGAUGGACAAUAAUGGAUUAUUGUGCAGACAAGGGAGUAGUCAUAUCCAUUUACUACAUAGUUGAUGGACAAUAAUGGAUUAUUGUGCAGACAAGGGAGUAGUCAUAUCCAUAACUAAAACCUGCGAACGAUGUACAAUGAUUGAUUGGCACUCCUUCCGUCUUCAUAACCUAUAUGUUUGUUUUCAAGUUGAAGUGUUUUUUAAAGAAAAAUAUCAUUGCUGAAAGGGGUAAUUAUGUAUUAUCUCAUAACUAAAACAUGCCAAUGGAGUACAGUGGCUACUGGUUUUGCAUAUUUUAAAAAUAUAUUUAUUCUUUUCGCAAUUAAUUAUUUAAUUACGUUAAAUUGAUGAAUAUCACUAAGCAUUGAGCAAUAAAAUUGUAAAGACAUAUUUAUGUUGAAUAUUAGCGAUGGAAAUCUCACAGUUAAAGAGAAUAUUUGAAAAUGAAUAAUUUUACAAACAUGAAUAUGAAAUAAUGUAAUGGUGAUUGAAACUGAACCAAUUAAAGCUAGGAAUCAAAAGGCAACAACUUAGCCUCUAAGUGAUUUGUAUGUUACCUCGCAAACAAUCUUCCUUCCCCUAAUAAUUAAGACUACGACUUGCUUAGCUUGUUUUUGAAAUUCUGUCAUCUAGCAAUAAUUUUUCAUAUCCAUGAUGUUGUAUCAAAUAUUCUAGUUGAUGGACAAUAAUGGAUUAUUCUGCUGACAAGGGACUAAUCAUAUCCACGACUAAAACGUUUUAACUUUUAACAAUGUACAAUGGUAAAAUUUCAUUUUUACGCUAUCUAAAAUAAAAUAUUAGUACCACGUCUUUUAAUAUUCAGAAUUUUUAUUUUAUUUAUUAAUAAGAUAAUUUAUAAUCUUAUUUAAGCUCAAAUUCCAUAAUGUAUAUAUAUUUUUGUUUCUUGAAUUCCAUAUGCUGUCAAACAAUACUAUAUAUAUUCAGCCAUUAUGGAUGCUUUAAUUUGUCAAAAUUAAUUUAUUUAUAGCUAACGAGUGAUCAACUAACAAAAAGAUAAGCCAGGAUCCAUCAAUUGAUAGAAAUUUGUUUUCUUUUUGUUUCUACUAGCUAGUGCAUUAAGUUUGGCAGGGUCGUAGGUGCAUACUUUAAAAAAAAAAAAAAAAAAAAAAAUUAAAAAAACGGACAUAACACACUUGCUUCACUAUUGAAUUAUUCAUAAGCGGUUUUUAAUUAUGGUUCACGAGGUACUACUAUUAGAACGCGAAAACAUUUUUUCUGCCAAACUUUUAUUAAAUAAUUUAAGUUCUAUGUAAAAAUAUAUUUUAUAAUUAUAUCAUUUUUAAGGUACUUACAUAUGUAUGUGUCAUGAUUCAAGCCGAAUUCUGGUCUUAAUGGGCACCCCGAACCAUGGAGAUCCAAGAAGAACCCUUAACAUACUAACAAAAACAUAAUUCAUGUAAAUUGCAAAUAUAAGGAAACUAAAGGAAAUCUUAAUAACAAUCUUCAGAUCCAACAUUCAUAACAAAACAUCUAUCUAAUCCAGUGUAUGAAACCUCUACUAACGAUUAACUAUCUAGUUCGGGACAAGGCCCUGAUCGGACCAUAAAAUUGAAUAUCUAAUUUAUACACCUUUCGAAAGAUGGAUGAUGACUUACCAAACAUGACACUUCGGAAAAUUCUACUGCUGUGUUGGACCGUGAGAUUGUGUCUCAGAACCUACAUUAUAAGAUAAUGUAACCGCCUGAGGACGGUCAAUACUUGAAAUUUAUUGACAUGAAGAACGACCAAAUAAAAUAACAUUUAAAUAGCAUUAGCAGUAACGUUAUACAAAACAUAAUAUGGGGUUACAAAAUAUCAAAACGACAUGUAAACAUAAAUUUCAGUUCAAAAGCUAAUUUCUGAAACUAAAUUAUGAUGUUUGAUAAUUCUGACUAGGCGGCGUACCCGACAUGGCCUAAAAACCCCAUGGCCUAUGCAGAGUUCGACUUUGACUCGUCGGUCAGGCCCCCAAUCCAAGUUUUUCACAAGGAUUGAAGUGUCUGCGUCUGGUAUUCCAAAGUAAGAAGCGAGUAUACAAUGAUCAUCUGUAUUUUAGGACAGGAUAAAUUUCGCAUCGGUGAAACACGAUUUUGAAAUAUGGCCGUCUUCUCAAUUAGCUACCUAAUUCUCUUUAAACCCAUAUUUUAGCCUUUUAAAACAUGAAUCUCUCGUAAGACUUGCAAGCUCAAAAUUAAAAGCCAUUUUUCAUGUUCCGGUUAAUCUCUACAUGUCAUGAAUCAUUUACCAUCAUAAGGUAUUUCAAAGUUCAAUUAAUAAAGCUCUUCAAAUCAAUGUGAUAGUUUAGUCAAAGAGAUUUCUCAUUCAUGUUUCUUGUAAAAAUCUUAGGGAACUCGCCCCAUUCAAUCGUAUUCAAAUAAACACCAUAAGUAGUAAGUGUAACACCCCAUAUUUUUGGGCUAAAAUUCAAGCCAUUGUUUCGAAGCGUAUAGAUCCGAACCCAAUGAUUCCUUGUUAAUAUAUGUUUGAUGAUCAAUUCUAUAGUGUGGGAAUACCUUUGAAUGUGAAUUGAGGUCACAAAAAUCCCCUCACUCAUAGACGAGUUGAGAACUUUUCUAUCGAUUAAGUUUUAGUGAACGUUUCAACUUGGGUCAACUUUCAAUGACCAUUACUCCUAGUAUAUAAUGAGUUACGUGACCUACUAUAUACCAAAUGAAAUAUCUUCGAGUUUUAUUUCCAACGCAACUAGUUUCACUUUAAUCCGAUAUCGGAGUAAAAAAGUUACGCUCGUUUUACUAAAAGGUAUCUGUCAGCCAAAGCGCGAUGGCCAGGGUGAUGGCCCAUCGCACUAGUGACGGCCCAUCGCACCAGUGAUGGCCCGUUGCACCAAACCAUCACCCUUAAGCAGAAAGACUAAAAAUUGGUCAUUUUGUGAUGGUUGGAGUGACGGUCCAUUAUCCAAACCUUCAGUAGGGACCGCUCUGCACUGUUAUAACGUUUUUAAAGGGGUAUUUUGAUAUUUUCCUCACCUCAAACGUUAUCCCCACGACUUAAAUCACACUUUAAACCCUUUUUACUAAUAAAAUUUCAGUUUCUCAUCACUCAUUCCCCUCUCCUCCCUCAAAGAGAGAAAAAUUAGGAUUUCCUCCCAAGACUCAUACUUCUAAGGCUUAGAUUCAAGACGUCUCAAAUUUUGUUCAUCAAAAAGGUAUGUGGGACUAUCCUAAAUCUCAUGGGCAUAAAUUUUUAUGUUUCUAACAAGUUUUAAAGAUAGAUACGUAUGUAUAUGAAAAGUGUUUUGGAAAUUAUUUGAAGAGCAUACAUCAUGAACCCAUUUUGAUUAAAGAGUGAAUUUAUCAUGGGGUUCUUCCAUAAACUUGAGUUGUAAUCAUGUGCAUAUAUGAUAUGAGUUUCGAAGAGUGUUUUAUGAGUAUGAUUUGUGAAAUUCCCUUUUUACAUGAUGAAAUUAUGAUCUUAACAUGUUAUGUAUUGUAAAUUUGGUUUGAGAGCAUGAGCUAUAAGUCCCCUUUUUUAUCAUGAGAUUUAUGUGUGUCAAAUGUUGAGGUUGUUUUAUGAUUGAUGAUAGUUCUUGGAUUUUAAAUCCAUCUUGAUUAUUAUACAUGGUUGUUUUACAUGUUUUCAAAGAGGUGAUUUCUAUUCUAAAUGCUAUAAUUUUCCAAUGAAGAAACUGUAUGUGAUUAAUGAAAGAAUUGACCACCAGGUGUUAAAGUCUUGAAAAGAUAGUGUGUUUGCAUAAGUUUCAUCUGCUUUUGAAAAUAAGAACUCUCAUGUGAUUUGAUAAAUCUUUUGGUGGUCAUCUGGAUUAUGUUGAAUAAAAAGGGCUAUGGAUAUAAUGUGAUAUGAUAUGAAUGACUUGCAAGUCUGGGUAUGAUGAUACCCUGUUAUGAUAUGCCCUUAAAAGAAUUAGAAAUUAACUUUUAUAAUCAUGAAGCAUGGUUUUAAAGAAUUAAAAUUGGGGCUAAAGAGAGUUAGAUGGUUACCCAAAGAAGGCACGAGUUUAGAUAACUCACAGCCCUAAACUGUAUUUUGUCGAUGCGGUUUUUUUUUUUAUAGAAAGGUAUGUCAUGCAAUAGGCAUAUCCUUUUCUGUGACAUGAUAUGUCAUGCAAGAGGCAUACUUAGUGAUUAUUAUGUACUCCAAUCCUAGCAGCAAACUUGGAUUGGUGGCUUGGACGCCGAGUUAAGGGUGGAUUCCAUAUAAUCCAUGAGAUUGUAGAAAUGUAGGUUGUACCAUCUAGCUCAGAAGUAAAGCAAAAAGUUGAGUCAUGAUUACAAGAAAAUAUUUUGAAGCUCAUCAAAUUAUGCACAUGUGUUUUCGUAAAGCAUAUGCUACAUUGCUUUAUGAAAUGCUCUCACUUAUGUUGUAUAAAAAUAUAUGUUAUAUUUUUAGAUUGUUCUACAUGCCAGUACUUUCAAGUAUUGACCCCAUGUAUUUUAGGUUCUGAGGCACAGUCCUGUGGUCCCAUCAACCAGUAGUUUAUUUUCAGAUAUUCAGAGUUAGUGAGUCUCCCUUACUUCAGAAGGCAUAUCUUUUAUGUGUGGUUUCCUUUUUAAUUUUAUGGUCCGUCCGGGGGCCUUGUCCCAGCUUAGACAAACUAGUACGCUCAAUUCAGUAGAGGCUUCAUAAUACAUGUUAGAUUGGAUUUGGGUUUUUCUUAUGGUUUGAUUUCAUGAAAUUUUAAGUUUGGUUUGGGACUACCAUGUUUCAGGUUAUCUUCUGCACUUUUACACCAUAUGAGUUAUGAUUAUGAUUACAUGCUAAGGGGUUUCUCGGGCCUUCAUGGUUUAGGAUGUCUGUCAUGGCCAGGGCCUUGGUUUGGAUCGUGACAGUAAGUAAUUUACAACACAAUUCAUGCAUGUUCUUCACAACCAUAUGCAUAUGGAUCGAUAAAUCAAGUGAAGGAAAUAUUCAGAACCCUAUUCGUUUUAUCAAUCACAAUAUAAUAUAUAUAUAAGUUUAACAAAAUACAUGAGUGCAAAUUUGAAACAUGCUUGCAUAGUUAAAUGGAAUUUCAUACUUAAAUCACUAAAAGAAUUUAAGAGAAUAAUAAUUAAACCCCCAUAGAUUUUAGGUCGUUCUACAUACCUUUGAUGAUAGAGAGAAAUUCAAUAAAAGUUAACCUUGGGGCUCUUCUACAUAACUUCCCAAUCUCUUGACUUAGAUGGGGAGAAGAGAAUGUUUUGGUGUUGAUUUAGGGUCAAUCCCAAUUUGGGAAAACAUAUUAGAAUAUUAGGGGAUGAUUUUUAGGCGUAUAAGGACCAAAAUACUCCAUAGACAUUUAAGAACCUUGGAAAAAUGACAUAGGGGGAGGGGUGUAUGCAGCGUGACCCCCAUUGGGUAACGGAGGCCUCAAGGCGAGACCAUCAUCGCACGACAGAGGCCUCGCGGCGCGACACCUAGCAUGAGUUAGCCCUCUUGCGGCGCGGGCCCUCUGCAUGGGUGAGGCAGCGGCACUCUGCGGUGGCCCUCAUGAUGUGGGGCUAUCGGCGGGGUCUUCUUCGAGAUGCACGACCUAUUUUUUCAUCUAAAGAUGCCCCCAACCCAUCCGAACCCAUCCUUAAGUGGUUUAUUCUCUAUAUAGAGGUCACAUGGACUCGUUCUUAGCUCUAAUCACAUGUAAAAACACUCGGGUUGUUAAAAUAUGAUAGUUAUUAAUAAUUGAUAACCUGUAGAAAAAGUAAUUGUCCUGUUCUAGAACAUUAGUAGAUCAUUAACAUAGAAGUGCAAGUAAACAUCAAAACCGUUGACCUAUAGCCUUUAUUAUAUUGUAAAAACUAUUUGAAAAUUAAAAGACUACAGAACAAAAUAUGAACGGUUCAGAAAGUUAUAAAGGAAUUUCGAACAUCACUGCAUACAUGACAUUUGGAUAAUACAUAAGGAAUUGGUAGUGACCUUAAGAUAGAUAAAAAAGAGCAUAAUUUUAUAUUUCUUCUUAAUUACUUCAACUGUUGGGUUUGAUUAUAGGUACCAUCCAUUUUGAACUUGCCAAAACCUUCAUCCAUCAUGUAUAGGUCGAACCAAGCCUGAUAUAAGGGCAAGUCAAUAGAAAAUAACCUUUUCUUUCCUGCCUCCUUGACCUAUAUUUUACAUUACCAUUGUAUAUAAACCAAAUCAAAUAAUUAACUCACCUUUGCACUUGAUAAUUGAGCAAAGUGAUAAGUGUGAUUAUGGAUUAAAAAAAGAUUAAAUCAAUAACACAUGUAGAAGUUAAGUUAAUGUAUUUGUUCGCGCAACAAAUACAGUCUAUAUCAACUUUAUAUAUUUUUAGACUUGAAGUUACAAAAUUAUGUCCAAACAAAAUAUAAAUUCUACAUUUCAUCAUAAUUUUGUUCGCAAUCAAUCGAUCUGUUCUGAAAUUUCCUUCAAAAUAGCGAGCUGUGAACCACUAAUACAAAACAUGUAUAUUUAUGUGAUUGCAUCCUGUAUUUGGGUGUGUAUUUGGGGUGUAUUGUUAUCUUUUAUGUAUUCGAGUAAAAGAAUCUGUAUAUAAGAAACACAAACUUCGACACUAGUUCAAGUCCAAGACAAGAACAUUUAUGAAGUUCUGUAACACCUUCAACACUAGAUUACGAAUAAUUUAUCUAAGAAGUGUGUUCAGAUUCAUAAAAGAGAUGAAACAGAAUGUAAGACCAAGUCCUCCGAAUUCACAGAGUGUCCUUAAGGAAUAAUUUCCCUCACAGUACCCGAGGUUUAGGAAUCUCACUCCCAGGAUAAAAUGUCCUUCAAUCUAAACAAUAGCGGUAACUCAAAUUGUUGGAUUCAGCGAACUCACUCAACAGUUUGAUAGAUCACACAGAAAAUUUUUCAAGACAAGAAGAGAGUUUGUAUUUUAGAAAAUUCAUACCUAAACCUGUGGAUGAAAGCAGGUUUAUAUAGCCAACAUGUGCCUCUUCUGAAAAGUGGCAAAGGUUCACUUAAAAGGUGUGACCUUUCUGGAAAAUCCAUGUCUAUUCGUCCAAAGAAUGUGUCUUUUUCGAACAGGCAAACCAUUUCAUGAAUCAGUGUGUCAUUUCAUUGAAGGGUUGCAUCCCUUCAUUUCAGCACUGCACUAUUUCAGAAUAUGCAUGCAUGCAUAUAAAUGGAGUAUCAAAACACAGAAAAAAGUUGUGUUUUUCUCUUUGAUAUUUUCGAACUGAAUUUCUGAAUUCUGAAUUUCUGUCAAAUAAACUUUAUCCAAAAAGAUAGAUCUCAUUGAUCAUUAUCCAAAUUCGAACCCAAAGCUAAAACCAAAGCCAAAGCUAAAGCCGAGCCGAGCGAGUGACGACGACAAUGACGUGAGGCAUCUCUUAUUUCUUACCUCACUUACCAUGUGGAGUAAUUGUUCCUUAUUUUAAACACUCACAAGUUCUCUUCUUUCACCAAUGUGGGAGAAAGAGUGAACUUUCCAAUUUGGGAGUACACUUUCUAAAUUAGUGUCUCCCUUCUGUCCACUAUUUUUUUUUCCAUUUUUCAUUCACACUUUUCAUAUACUUUGAACCCAACAAUCCCCCACAUGAAUGGGAAAUGACUAUUUUUUUGUAAAAAUUUUACGGACAAGUAUGUGAUCAUCAAGCAAAGACUGAUUGCAUCUGGAUAAGUGUGUUUCCUUUUGAACUUUCCAUAGUGAACAUGAAUCAGAUGCACUCGGUCAAUCGGUAGAUUUGAUAUCUUUGAAUCGUUGAGCUUUAGAGUACACCUAGACAACACAUGUCACACAACCAGUCUUUUACUGUUUAUGGUUCUCACAAUUUUGUUCUUUUCAGCCAUGAACACGUCUCAGUUUUGUGAGAGCUUAGAGAAUAGGCCUUUACUAACAUUCUCCUUGAAGCGGCUUCCACUUUGCCCUCACAUAGGGGAUUUCUAAACGUUCAAUCCUAUAGAUUAAAUUAUUUGGCCAAAUCUUCCAAAUUUAGAUAAUCAUUAAAAGACUUUUCACCUUAAGUCUUAUCCUUGUUUACUGAACAUUGUCUACUUCAUGAGAAUGAGUUGUUUAAUUGACAAUGUUGAACCUGUCAUACACAACUUUGUUUGAUCUCCUUGAACCUAGCUCUUGGGAUCUCCAGUCUGCUAGGUAGAGUUACCACAAUGCUGACUUGUCCUAGGCCGUAAACCCAUUUCCUUGGAUGUCCUUUCCACUUUUUCUCUAGAUAGUCCUUUUAAAAGUUGAUCCGACACAUUAUCCUUUGACUUUACAUAGUCAACAGUGAUAAUUCCACUAUAUAGAAGUUCCCUAACGGUAUUAUGUCUCCGUCGUAUGUGACAAGAUUUACCGUUGUACAUCAUGCUCCCUGCCAUACCUAUUGCCGCUUGGCUAUCACAGUGUAUACAUACUGGUGUCACUGGUUUGGGCCAAUAAGGAAUAUCUUCCAAGAAAUUUCAGAGUCAUUCUGCUUCUUCACCGGCUUUAUCUAAUGCGAUAAAUUCAGAUUUCAUUGUAGAGCGAACAAUGCAAGUCUGUUUGGAUGAUCUCCAAGAGACUGCUCCUCCACCGAUAGUAAGUACAUAUCCACUUUUGAAUUUUACUUCAUUCGAUCCGGUGGUCCAAUUUGCAUCACUAUAUCCUUCAAGUACCGCAGGAUAUUUAUUCUAAUGCAAAGCAUAGUCUUAAGUGUAUUUAAGAUACCCCAAAACUCUUUUCAUUGUCAUCCAAUGAGUUUUGUUGGGAUUACUUGUGUACCAACUCAAUUUACUAAUAGUGCAUGCUAUAUCUUGUCAUGUACAGUUCAUUAUAUUUAUUAAACGUCCCAAUACUCUUGCUUACUCCAAUUGUUAGUCACUUUCACCUUCAUUUUUUUGAAGAGAAAAGCUUACAUCCAAAAGAGUCUUGACAAUACCAAAUUUCAUAUUCUUGAAUUUGUCAAGUACCUUUUCGAUAUAAUGAGACUGUGACAAUACCAACCCUUGUGGAGGUCUAUGGAUUCUUAUACCUAAGAUCACAUCCGCAACUCCAAGGUCUUUCAUAUCGAACUUGCUUUCGAAUAUUCAUUUUGUUGCAUUUAUGUCUGAAAUAUCUCUACUGAUGAUCAACAUAUCAUCCGCAUAUAAACAAACAAUGACUUGGUGAUUCGGAGUGUCUUUAAUGUAAACACAUUUAUCAUAUUCAUUUAUCUUGAACUCGACAUGGUUUGGUAAAACUUCCCAUUCCAUUAUUUAGGUGCUUGCUUUAGUCCAUACAACGAGUUAAUAAGUUUACACACCUUAUUCUCCUUUCCUGGAACCACAAAACCCUCAGGUUGUUUCAUGUAAAUUUCUUCCUCCAAUUCUCCAUUUAGAAAUGUAGUUUUCACAUCCAUUUGAUGGAUCUCAAGAGCAUAUACUACCGCCAAGGCAAUUAACAUUCGAAUCGAUGUUAUCCUUGUUACUAGCGAGUAUGUAUCAAAGUAAUCAAGGCCUUAUUUUUGCUUGAAGCCUUUUACUACUAGUUUUGUCUUGUAUUUGUCAAUAGUACCAUCCGCUUUCAUUUUCCUUUUAAAGAUCUAUUUAGAACCUAAAGAUUUAUUUCCUGGAGGAAGAUCAACCAAUUCCCACGUAUGGUUGCUUAAGAUUGAAACAAUCUCACUAUUGACUGCCUUUUUAUAAAAGGACGAGUCUGAUGGCGACAUCGCUUCUUUAAAUGUUUGAGGCUCAUUUUCUAAAAGAAAUGUUACAAAAUCUAAUCCAAAUGUAGUAGAAGUUCUUUGAUGUGUACUAGUCUUGGAUUCUCUUCAUUAUGCACAUUCUAACUUGGUUUAUCUCGAGGUCGUUUAGACCUUCCACUAGACUGUUCAUGUCUAGUUUUAUGCGGGUAAAUGUUUUCAAAGAAUUCAGCAUUAUCUGAUUCAAUUGCCAUAUUUUUAUUUAUAUUCGGAUGUUCAGAUUUAUGAACCAAAAACUGACACGCUUUACUACUUUUAGCAUAUCCUAUGAACACGCAAUCCACAGUCUUAGGUCCUAUCUUAACCCUCAUAGGCAUAAGAACUUGGACCUUUGCCAGACACCCCCAAACUUUGAAAUAUUUAAAGUUGGAUUUCCUUCCUUUUCAUUUUUCAUAAGUAAUUGAUUGUGUCUUACUAUAGAGAACUUUAUUGAGUAUACGAUUGGCUGUAAGGAUAGCCUCCCCACACAAGUUUUGCAGUAAAUCGAAACUUAUAAGCAAGGCAUUCAUAUUUCCUUCAAAGUUCGGUUUUUCCUUUCCACAAUUCCGUUAGAUUUAGGUGAAUACGGGGCCGUAGUUUGAUGGACAAUUCCAUUCUCUACACUUAUUUUGGCAAAGGGAGAUUCAUAUUCUCCGCCCCUAUCACUUCUUAUCAUUUUUAUCUUUUUCUCUAACUGAUUUUCUACUUUAGUUUUGUAUGGUCUAAACACAUCUAUUGCUUCAUCCUUACUAUUUAGCAAGUAGACAUAACAAUAUCUAGUGCAAUCGUCAAUAAAAGUUAUGAAGUAUUUUUUCCCACCAAGUGAUGGUGUUGAAUUCAUAUCACUAAUAUCAGUGUGUACUAGUCUAAAGGAUUGGAAUUCCUUUCAACGGACUUAUAAGAAUGCUUUUCAUACUUUGAUUCCACACAUGUUUGACAGUUUGAUUUAUUGCAUUCAAAGUUUGGCAAAACUUCUAAGUUAAUCAAUUUUCGUAACAUUUUGUAAUUAACAUGGCCUAAACAUUCAUGCCAUAAAUUAUAAAACUCAAACAAGUAAGAAGAAUUUGAACUUUUAUUUAUUUCAACAUUCAUUACAUUCAUCUUAUAAAGACCCUCGAUGAGAUAGACUUUUCCUACAUACACUUCUCCUUUGCUAAUUACAAUUUUUCCAGAAGCGAUUACACAUUUGAAUUCGUUCUUGUCUAGAAGUGAAAUAUAAAUCAAGUUCCUACGUAAUUCCGAAACGUACAAGACAUUGUUAAGUGUCAAGACCUUUCCUGAAGUCAUUUUCAAGCCCACUUUUUUCUGUUUCUUCUACCUUAGCCAUAGCAGAGUUAUCCAUGUAGAUCAUUUCUUCCACUUGAGCCAGAGCGAAUGACGAAAAUAACUCUUUGUUGGAACAAAAUGGAGGGUGACACUAGAAUCCAUCCACCACUCGUGAGGAUUCCCCACCAAGUUGCAUUCUGUAAACAUAGCACACAGAUCAUCACAUUCUUUGUUAGACUCAAUCAUAUUUGCUUGGUCCUUUUUCUUGCCUUUCUUAGGGGCACGACAAUCCGUGGACUUAUGGCCAAUCUUGCCAUAAUUGAAGCACUUUCCCUUGAAUUUCUUCUUGGGUUGAUGGCUUCUUUGUUCAGCUUUCUUCCUUUUCUUAAAAUUAUUUUAGUCAUCUUCUACAAUAUGUGCUCCAUUAAUUGUAGAAUUCCCUUUUGACCUUCUUUCGGCAGCCUUAUUAUCCUCUUUAAUACGUAGUCGGAUAAUAAGAUCUUCGACAGUCAUCUCUUUGCGUUUGUUCUUCAAGUAGUUUUUAAAGUCUUUCCACAUAGGUGGUAACUUCUCAAUAAUCGUUGCUACUUGAAAUGCUUCAUUCACAAUCAAACCUACAAAACAGUUUAUGUGAGAACAUUUUCAAUUUGUUCAGCUAAGGUAUUUUUCAAAGAUAUACCUUCUGCUAGGAGAUCGUGAAUGAUUACUUGCAAUUCCUGCACUUGAGAGAACCAAUUUGCUAUCUAUCAUUUUAAAGUCCAAGAACCUUGCAACAAAGAAUUUCUUGAUUCCCGCAUCCUCUGUCUUGUAUUUUCGUUCUAGCGCCCCCCCCCCCCACAAUUUCUUCGAUGUCUUAGUUCCACUGUAAAUAUUGUAGAGGUCGUCUUGGAUACCACUCAAUAUAUAAUUCCUGCAAAGGAAGUCCGAGUGUUUCCAAGCUUCUACAAUCAUGAAAUGUUCUUUGUCCGAGGUUCCCUCGGGCACCUCAGGAGCAUCCUCAGUAGUGAACCUUUGAAGGCGUAGAGUGGUGAGGUAAAAGAACAUCUUUUGCUGCCAUCUCUUAAAGUCAAUGCCCAUAAAAUUUUUGGGCUUCUCCGUAGGUGCCAUUGGUUGCGGAGCAUUUGCUCGUCUUGUUGAAGCAAUGCUAGUUUCCCCCAUAGUCGUAGCCGCAUCUUGCAUUUGACUUUCGUUAGUCAUUUUUCUUGUCACCACAAGACAAUAAAUUUAGUAUUUUCAUAAUACUAUUUAUAAAGUUAAGCAACUUUAAACUCUUUCCAUCCACAUUUAUUCAGCGCCUCAUAGUAUGUCCAUCCUCUAUCGCGUAUAAAAUCUGCGCCCCCAGUGCAUAUCAGAAUUUUGGAGCAGACAAGCUUGGAUAGCAAAUUCGGAUGUAUCAUCAGAUUUGGGAUUUUCAGGGCAACAAUAUGUUAUCUUUUAUGUAUUCGGGUACAAGAAUCUGUAUAUAAGAAACACAAACUUCAAAACUAGUUCAAGUCCAAGACAAGAAUACUUAUGAAGUUCUGUAACACCUUCAACACUAGAUUAUAAAUAAUUUAUCUAAGAAGUGUGUUGAGAUUCAAAAAAGAGAUGAAACAGAAUUUAAGACCAAGUCCUCCGAAUUCAAGGAGUGUCCUUAAGGAAUAAUUCUCCUCACUGUACCCGAGGUUUUGGAAUCUUCCUCCCAGGAUAAAAUGGCCUUCAGUCCGAACAAUAGCGGUACCUCAAAUUAUUGGAUUCAACGAACUCACUCAACGGUUUGAUAGAUCACACAGAAAGUUUUUCAAGACAAAAAGAGAGUUUGCAUUUCAGAAAAUUCGUACCUAAACCUGUGGAUGAAAGCAGGUUUAUAUAGCCAACAUGUGCCUCUUCUGAAAAGUGGCAAUGGUUCACUUAAAAGGUGUGACCUUUAUGGAAAAGCCAUGUCUGUUCGUCCAAAGAAUGUGUCUUUUUCGAACAGGCAAACCAUUUCAUGAAUCAGUUUGUCAUUUCAUUGAAGGGUUGCAUCCCUUCGUUUCAGCACUGCACUGUUUCGAAACACUGUUUUGCAAUCUAUAUGCGUGCAUAUAAAUGGAGUAUCAAAACACAGAAAAAAGUUGUGUUUUUUCCUUUGGUAUUUUCAAACUGAAGUUCUGAAUUUCUGUCAAAGAAACUUUGUCCGAAAAAGUAGAUCUAAUCGAUCAUUAUUCGAAGCAGAAGCCAAGCGAGCGACGACAACAACAGCGUGAGGCAUCUCUUAUUUCUUGCCUCACUUACCAUGUGGAGUAAGUGUUCCUUAUUUUAAACACUCACAAGUUCUCUUCUUCCACCAAUGUAGGAGAAAGAGUGAACUUUCUAAUUUGGGAGUACACUUUCUAAAUUAGUGUCUCCCUUCUCUCCACCAUUUUUCCUCCAUUUUUCAUUCACGCUUUUUCAUAUACUUUGAACCCAACAUGUAUAUCAAUUAAAAAAAAAAAAAGGACAGCUCGAUGUAUGAAUAUCAUGCGUUAAAGAUGUACCUUUUGAUAGAUUAACUAUGCAUUUUCAAAGAAGGGCGUUAUCCCUUUAUACAAGUAUGAGUCAUUCAUCUUACUUGUUUUAUAGUCACAUUGAUGGUUUAGAAUUGGAAAGGGUUGGUGAAGUCCAUGCCAGAUCACUGAUUUUUGUCCUGACAACUGCACCUGUCCCUGCUUUCCGUAUACUUGACAUAGAAUUGGCUGAAUGAUCCAGGUAGCGACCGGCUACAACUUCCAUCGGUGUGAAGGAUAAGAGAGUUGUUUACCCUAAAAUAGGUACAACUGAAUUUGUAUGCGAGGUUUAAAGGACACAUGGAUUGAGUUGAUGGAGAUGACGAAUAUAAUAAACAACAAAAUACUAUGAAUAAGAGAUGAGCUAAAGCAAUUGGAUGUAUAUAUAUAUGAUGUAUAGUAUUAUGUAUCUGAAAUGUAUAUGCAUCUAUGUGACUGUUUAUAUAAUAUUUAUACAUUGCUGCAUUUCAUCUUUCUCAACAAGCAGACUUGUUUUUUAAAACAACUACAGCAAUUGGAUAUUUGCUUGAUUUCUGAUAAGAUUUUAGAUGAAUGAUCAAGAUGGAAUUUGUGAACCGUAUUUUGGUUUUUUUACUUCUUCUCUUGAACCUGCUGCGAUUAUGUUAGUAGAUUCUAAUUUACACUUUGAAUGUGAAAUGGAACAAAGUGCGUGAAGAGAAGAAGAAAAGCAGCGCGUAAUGCACUUCGCUUACAAUGAUAAGAGCCGAAAGCUUUUGUUUCAUACACUGAUAAGCUAGCUAAAACAUAUCAUCGAUCAGAAAUAAGCACUUGUCUUAUUCUGCAGAUAUAUAGAUCUGAGUCUUCCCAGUACAAUAAAGAUCCAUGCAUCACGACUAUAGAGUUUACAUCUAUCUCCUGAGGGGCAACAGUUAACGCAAACUUGACUAAUCUUGGCUCAUCCAGAAGACGGAUAAGUCAUGUAACUUUAAUUAGGGUCACAUUAUUGAGUACAAACCUUGGGUUCAAUACUCACUCCUUCACAGACAAAUUUAACGUCUAGAUCGAAAGUAUAGCACCCAAUGUAGCCCGUGCAUGCAACAAGUGGUGUAUCCGGUAGGAAAAAUUAUCAACUCUCUUUGUGAAUGGGGACAUCUCGAAUAGGCAAUUUGUGGAUCACAAUUAAAAGGGCAAAAUCUAGGUUCUUGGGGCCAAACGUUCCUUCACAAAUAUAAGUUCCGUUAGCACUGUAAUAAUUGCAACCGUUAUUGUCAAAACAACAAUUGGUGCAUAUGGGGUUUUCUGAACGUGGGAAGCUUGCAUGCAUAGCCAAGAUUACCACAUUCUUUGGUAUAUAAGCCUUGGCAUCAACAUGUUCCACCGUACUUAAAAGUAGAAACAUUAACAUAAUCCUACAACAAAUAUAAGAUAUAUAUAUUAAGGAAAAACAUAACGUACACUACUUGUGCAUGACAUGUAUAAACAGCAAAGAAAUAAUUAAACAGAAAAGGAGAAAGGAAAAUCUAACCAAGGACAAUAAGUAGGUAAGCAAGUCCACUAUCUUCUUUCUGAACAGCCAUUAUGGAUAAAUUACUGUUUUUUUGGGUUAUUAGGGGUGUCUAUCCUCCACCUAUUUGUUACAAAUAAUGAAAGAGACUAGCUAACUAAAACUUUUUAUCAGUUGAUAAAAAAGAAAAAUUCCAUGGGUUAUGUUUGGCAAGGUACGUACUGUUGCUUAUUUAUUAGAGAGCUUAACUUUUCAGAAUAACUUUCAGAAUAACUAACAUUUGGAGACUCGAACACAUAUUAUUCAUGUCCAAGUACAGCUCCAACGCCCAUAUUACAUAGAUUAGCAUGACACUGUUCAUGCUUUUAUUUCAUAUAGACACCCAUGCAUAUUACAGAGAUUAGCAUGACUCCGUUCAUGCUUUUAUUUCAUAUACAUUAAUAAACUACUAAAAUAUAUCAUCAUUGAUUAGAAAUAAGCAGCUGCCCCAUGCUGCGGAUAUGCUCUUAGGAUCUCCAGUACAAAGUAAUGAUCCAUCAUGACCAUAGAGUUUGCAACCCUCUCUUAGAGUGCAACAAUUAACACAAACUCUGGUACAACAAUUGAAGCCCGUGCAACAGGCAAUAUUUGGAUCACAAUUCAGAGGGCAAGCUUUUGGGCUUUUCUUGGGGUCAAACUCUCCUUCACAAAUGAAAGUUCCAUCAGCACUGUAAUAGUUACAACCCUUGUAGCCUGAAUAACAAUUGAUGCAUAUGGGUUCUUCUGCACUUCCUUCUGACAUAUCCCAUACGCAAAAUUUCCACAUUCUCUGGUACAAGCCUUGGCAUCAGCAUGUAGUAGAGAUAUUCCUACAAUAAAUAUAUAAGCUAUAUAUAAAUAUUAACGAAAAAAAUAACACCAGGUGUGUAUCACUACUACAAAAUCAAUAUUUUCGGCUGAAAAAUGUGCUUAGUAUUUAAAAUUAGGAAGCUUCUUAGUGUUUCAAUGAAAAUUUAUUUUUCACCAUGCAUUUUUCAGUUAUUAUUAAAAUGAUUAGUUUUAAUCUAUAAAUGAUGAUUAGUUGGUGUAUUUUAGCUAGCUAAUGUUAGUUAGUUAGUGGAGUCCAGCUGUCAUUAGUGUGGCAAAGAAUAGAUGAGUCAGUUACUUGUGUCGAUAUAUACAUAUCACAUGAUGCAGUUGUAAAAUAACAUACUUCAAUACAACCCUACAAAAUUCUCCUCUUCCUUUCUUAGCUCCUGUAGGUUCAUCAAUGGCGGACGUUUACCAUCUGCACUCCAAGAAUUCUCUCAAAUUUCACAUGGUAUCAAAGCAUACGAUCUUAUCUUUAGCUACGCUUCAAAUUUUUGAUCAGUUCAGCCAUUAGUUUUGCCAAUGGACAAGAGCAAUCUCACGCAACGACAGGUGUUCCUACUGUCGUAACACUCGACCAUCAUCAUCCUCUGUAUCUCCAUGCUUCCGACUCUCCGGGAUUAGUGUUGAUUCCAAUAAAGCUCACAUGACCAGAAAAUUACUCCUUGUGGAGCAGAUCUAUGCCACUAGAACUGCGAGGAAAAAGUAAGCUUAGAUUUGUAGAUGGAACUUGCACUAAAAACACGUAUAGAGGGGAAUUAGAGGAAUUAUGGGAGAAAUGUAAUGCUAUAGUCUUAUUGUGGAUAGGUAGCACCAUUUCUACUGAAUUAGUUCCGAGCAUUGUGUAUGCUUUGAAUGCUCGAAAAGUUUGGACUGAGUUCAAGGAACAAUUUGAUAGAUCAAAUUUGACUAGAAUUUACUAUUUGUGGUCUGAAAUUGCAAAUUUGAAGCAGGGCACUGACUCUGUGACAAGUUAUUACUCAAAAAUGAGGGAUUUUUGGAGUGAACUUGAUGUGAUAGUGCCAUUACCCUCUUGUGACUGUGAAGAAUCCAAUGCCUACGUAGAACACUUAAAAUCGCAGUGAUUGUUGCAAUUUAUCAUGGGACUCAAUGAGAGUUACAGUAGUUUAAGGAGUAGCAUUUUGUCUCGAAGCCCCGUUCUUACUAUGAAUAAGGCAUAUGCAACUAUUACUCAAGAAGAGAGUCAGCUGUCAUUGGGGGUGAUUGAUGUACACAAUAAUCCCUUGACUAUGCUAGCUAGUCGAUCUCAAGGAUUUCGACCAAAGAAGCCUGGGCAUUAUGGUGGAGGAUACAAAGGAUCUGGAGGAUUAGGAAAUUUAGGAUUUGGAGAAUCUGGCAGUCCUUGUAUACAUUGUGGAUAUAAAGGACAUGUUAGCGAUAACUGCUUCAGGAUUAUUGGCUAUCCUCCUGAUUUCAAAAGCAGAAAAAAGGCGCAAUAGCAAGCACAACAAGGUCCAAGUAACCACUUUAAUACAUCUACAAAUGCCACUACUAAUGCCACACCUACACCUCUUGCUCACUAUUCACCAGGUUCGAGCGCAAGCUAUUUCCCUACUGAGAAGCAGUAUCAACACAUACUGGACAAGCAGAGUUCAGCUAAAGUAUUAGCGAGUGUGUAUCUAACAUGGCAGGUAUACAUUCCUCACUGUCUAAUAUAUUUGCUUGCGAAUGGAUUGUUGAUUCUGGGGCAUCAUACCAUAUUACUCUUUGUAAAGAGUUACUAUGUGAGAUUAAAGGCUUAGAAGAGGACUUAAGUGAUAAGGUUCAAGCCCCAAUUGGUGGAAGGUCCCAAAUACCUAGUGCAGGUAGUACAACAAUUUUUGGUUUAUCAAAAAUGAAGAAUGUGUUAUAUGUUCCUGACUUCAAGUUCAAUCUUAUGCCAGUAUCUAAGAUAACCAAGGACUUGUCAUAUGUUGUUCUAUUUUUCCCUGAUUUCUAUGUAUUUCAGGGACUUUACAAUGGCAAGGUCUUGUGGAUUGGUAGAGAAAAGGAGGAGCUAUAUCUUUUAUGGGAGAAAGUUAAUCCUCAGGCGAAUGCUGCACAUUCUCACAACAAUGCCCAAUCUGAUAUUUGGUAUCUCAGAUUGGGACAUCCUUCAUCACAUGUGAUGCAUCAGAUAACAUCUCUUAAAAUAUUGCUGCACACUAAUAUCUAAGAUAGGUAUCAUAUCUGUCAUCUAGCUAAACAUCACAGAUUAUAAUUUCCCACUAGCUACAAUAAGGCUUCUGCUUAUUUUGAUUUGAUUCAUAUAGAUGUAUGGGACCUUAUAGGAAGCCUAUAUAUGAUAAAAAAUAUUACUUUGUUACUAUAGUGGAUGAUCACAGCAGGUACACCUGGAUUUGUUUGAUACAGUCUAAAUGUGAAGUUGUUGUUGUCUUGAAAGAUUUUCUAUAUCUUGUUAAGACUCAAUUUGAUGUUAUUGUAAAAAAUUUGAGAUCUGAUAAUGGGACUGAGUUUUUCAACUCUCAUUGCACUCAAUUGUUUGCUUCGUAUGGGAUAAUCCAUAAAAGUAGUUGUCCCCACACUCCCCAACAAAAUGGUACAGUUGAACGAAAGCAUAAGCAUAUUUUAAAAGUGGCUAGAGCACUCAAAUUUCAGAGUGAAGUGCCCAUCAAUUUUGGGAAGAUUGUGUCAGCACUUCUGUUUACUUGAUUAACAGACUAGCUUCAAAGGUAUUGGAAGGUAAAUCACCUUAUGCCUUAUUGUAUGGCAAGGAUCCUUCACUUAAUCAUCUCAGAGUAUUUGGAUGCCUUUGUUAUGCUAGCAGAUUACCUAGAGGUGACAAGUUCUCUGCGAGAGCUAGGAAGGCUGUUUUGGUAAGUUAUUCUUCAACACAGAUAGGCUACAAAUUGUAUGAUUUUGAAGACAAGACUUUCUUUGUUAACAGGGAUGUUAGUUUCAGAGAAGCUUUCUCUAGGUUCCCUUUCAAAUCAAGUCAACCAACUGACUUGGUCGAUCUUGACUUCUUCUCUUCUACUGAAUUUCUUGUUUCCUUAGACGAUGAUGAUUAAUAUCAUCUUUCUUCUACACUAUCCGUUGUUACACCUGUUGAUGCUGAUAUUCUACUUGGUGAUGAUGUUGGAGUCUUAACCCUUCCUUCCGACUUCUCUUCUAACUCAGAAGUUGUUUUACCUGGUAGUGAUAAUCCUGCAGAGGUUGUUGAAACUACUGCUAUAGUUCCUGAUGUUAUUGCUGGGUAUAUUCCUCACAUUAUUGAGCCCGCAGUAUCUGUUCCUGCUAGACCUACCAGAACAUGAAGACCUCUCAUCUGGAUAAGUGAUUAUGCUUCAAAUGGCAAAGGCAAAAGGCUUCCUACUCAUCCCAUAUCUAAUAAUUUGUCUUAUACUCACCUUUUCUCAGCUUAUCAAGUGUAUCUGCUAAAUUUCUCCAGUGUGACUGAACCAAGUUCAUUCCACGAGGCUUCACAAGACCCUCAAUUAGAGCUGUCGAAAUGGGCCUGGCCCGUGAGGUCGGCCCAACCCAACCCUUUAAUUUAGUGGGGUUGGGUUACUUUUUUCCGGCCCUUUUAGCAACGAGGCUUUUAAGCCUAUCCCCACUUGACCCGUCGGCCUCAAAGGCCUAGCCCGUCGGCCCCAGAGGCCAGCCCAUGGGCUACAAAUUUAAAAAUAAUUAUAAUAUAUUUUAAAUUAGUUUCUUAUUUAUCAAAUUUUAAAGUAUUCACUGACCACUGUCCAUGUCCAACUACAAGGCCCAACCGGGCAACCCAAAAAGCCAAGCCCAACCUAUUACCCAAGUAUCCAACUUACAUAGUUAUUAGUUACCCUACAUUCUAGAAAGCUGAACGUGCAUACUACAUAUAAAUAUAAUAACAUAUACUCCACUUACAUAGUUAUAUAAACUGAUAAACAUUAGAGAAUUAGGGCUUACACUUUACAAUUCUAUCAUUUAUUUUCUUUGAGUUCUCCGGUUUCAUAGUUGCAACUUGCGACGGCUGUGCAGUUUCACAAAACUCACUACGGCUGACGGCUCUCCAAAUGAAUAUGGGUAAAAAUAUGAAAAAAUUAUCUUCCCUCUCUCCUAUUUAAUCACCAUUUUUUUUAUUUUGGGAGUUUGAUGACAUUUUUUGAUUUUGGGAUCUGAUUUUGACACUAAAAUGGCCUCUCCGAGGAUCUACUCGCGAUGGUCAUCGCAUCGGUACCAUAAACUGACCUCUCCGAAGCCAAAUUUGGUCGAUUUGGGUACCAACAAUUUGGGUACUACCAUACCGAGGAUUUGGGGGUUUCAAUUUUGUUCUUUUUUUCUCAUGCAGUAGCAUUUUCAAAAUUUUGUAUUACUUGUUACUUCUUAUUUAAUUUUUCAUUACUUGUAUUGUAUUACUUGUUACUUCUUAUUUAAUUUUUCAUUACUUGUAUUACUUGUAAAAUUUCUUAUUGAUAGGUGUUUCUAUGUUUAGAAAAUAUAUAUUUUAGUUCAAAUUUGAAACUUUGAAUUUUUCAGUUCAUUUUCAGUUUUUGAAGUCUAAAAUUAUCUUUUGAAAUAUUUAUCUUAUUACAGGAGAAUCAAUGGAGGAUGUUGCUGAACAUAGUGCACAUCAGAAUAAUGUAGAAGUGAAUGAAUUUGAAGAACCUGAGAAGAAGAAAAUAAAGAAAUUAAAAUCAGAUGUCUGGACAUAUAUGAAAAAUAUUGGUGGAGGUUAUGAUGCAGUGGAAAGGGCAGAAUGCAGAGGACGUAAGGAAGUAUACAAGGUUGGUUCUACUCCGGGACCAAAUGGUAAGAAUUACGGAACAUCACAUUUAAAACGACACAUACCUAAAUGCAAAAAGCUCAAAUACCAUGAUUUGGGUCAGAUGUAUAUGGAUCACCAAGGUAACAUACAGUCGAGAAACAUAGAUCAAAUGAUUUCACGUGAAAAGCUUGUUGAAGCUAUUAUUAAGCAUGAUUUGUCGUAUUCUUUUGUUGAAUAUAAAAAAAUUAGAGCUUGGCUAGAUUAUGUAAAUCCUGAAGUAAUAAUGCCGUAAAGAAACACUUCUGUUGUGGAUGUUCAAAAAGUGUAUUUCAAAGAGAAAGAAAAGUUAAGACAAGCCUUGGCCAAGAUUCCUAAUCGGGUUUUCUUAACUUCUGAUUGCUGGACAGCAGGUACGUCUGAGGGUUAUCUUUGUUUAACUGCUCAAUAUAUUGAUGAUAAUUGGAAGUUAGUUUCUAAAAUUUUAAACUUUUGUCUUAUGAUUCCUUCUCAUACUGGAGUUGAAUUGGCUGCAACCAUAUAUGAUUGUUUGAAGAAAUGGGGAAUUGAUAGGAAGGUUUUCUCUAUCACUUUGGAUAAUGCCACUAAUAAUGAUAGCCUGCUUGCAAAAGAGUUUAUUAUGUGAUGGUGAAUUUUUUCAUGUGCGUUGUUCUGCUCAUAUUCUUAAUUUGAUUGUCCAAGAAGGUUUAAAAACAGCUACUGAUGUCUUGUUUAGAAUUAGAGAAAGUGUGAAGUAUGUAAAAGGAUCUGAUGGUAGAAUGAGAAAAUUUGAACAAUGUGUUAAGCAAGUAGGGAUUAGUACAAAAUUGGGUUUACGUUUGGAUGUGACAACUAGAUGGAACUCAACGUACUUGAUGCUUGAGAGUGCACUAUAAUAUGAAAAAGAUUUUUCUAGUCUACAGUUGAUCGAUAGAAAUUACUCUGUUUGUCCUACAUUUGAUCAUUGGAGAAGGGCAGAAAAAAUAUUUGAAUUCUUGGAACUUUUUUAUGAAAUAACCACUCUGAUUUCUGGUUCAAGUUAUCCGACUUCCAAUUUGUACUUUAUGCAAGUUUGGAGAAUUGAAUACUUGUUGAAGGAGAAUUUAAGUAGUUUUGAUGAAGUUAUUAAGGAAAUGGCUGCAAGGAUGUUCAAAAAGUUUCAGAAAUAUUGAAAUAGAUUUAGUCUAGUCCUCUCAUUUAGAGCUAUUCUUGAUCCUCACUUGAAGACACAACUUUUAGAAUUUUGUUUCUCAAAGGUGGAUGCUUCUUUGGCAAAAGAAAAUGUUGCAACUAUUGAGAAAAAAAUGCACAAACUCUAUGAACAAUAUGGAAAUAAUCAAAAUGGGCCAGGGCCAGCUAUUACUGUUCAAUGUAAACCAGUUGAAGAAGAAAGUCGAUCCAAACAAAAGAAGUCCAUUUUAUUUGCUGUAAGUAUCAAUUUCUUUUUCUUGUAUCUAUUCUUUCUCUUUUUUAUCUAUUAUUUUUCUGGAAACUUAUAUAAUGUACAGUACAUAUAAGAUGAAUCACUUUUAGAUCCUCGAGCCCACUAUCAUAUGUUUUACAGUUUUGCUAUUCUAUUUAUAUCAAACUUAGUUUUGCUAUUCUGUUUUAAUUUUGGUUGACGUCAGUUAGUUUGAAAAUGGUUGAUAUAAGGAAGUUAGUUUCUAUGUUUCAACCAUAUAUGAUUGUUUGAAAAUGCCGUCAAUUAGUUUGCUAUUUUGUUUAUAUCAAACUUACUAAAAUUGUUUGCAGUUUUUUUUUACAUCUUUGCUAAUUCUAUUAUUUUUAUAUUUUAUGUUUUAAAUUAAUAGGAGUUUAAAGUGUUUGAGAAUACAUCUAUUUGCAAUGCUGGAAAUUCAGAAUUGACUCUUUAUUUGGAGGAACAAAAGCUUGAUUAUGAAUCUUUUCAAGAGAUGGAUGUUAUCAAGUAUUGGAAGGAUAAUGAAAAAAAUCUCCUAAUCUUUCUGUGGUGGCACGUGAUGUAUUGAGUAUUCCAAUUACUUCAGUAGCAUCAGAAUCAGCAUUUAGUAUUGGUGGUCGUGUUGUUACCAAGUAUAGAAGUUGUAUCCAUCAUGAAAAUGUCCAAACUCUUGUUUCUACAAGAAAUUGGUUGCAUGGAUUGACCCAAUCUAAUACAGGUAAUAUUUUUUAUUUUUCUUAAAGUAUUUAUUAAUGGUUAUAUAACUAAUAUCUUGUUUGAUGUGAAUUAUUUAUGGUUAUCUAACUAAUAUCUUGUUUAAUGUGAAUUAUUUGUAGAUGAAGAUGAACUUCUUAAGGAAACUAUGUCAAAUGUUGAUUCAAAUGUGAUUGAUGGUACAAGUGCAAGUGAAAGUGGAGUUGGUAACCUUUAAUUGAUUGGUUUAGUAAUAUUUAAAAUUUAGAUUUAUUUUGUAUCUGGGCAAUAUUUUAGUCCAGCUAAGACUUGUAAGUUUUUGAAUUUAAUUUUUGUUCAUUUUUUUAUGAUUGGCAUUUUUUUUUUUUGGGGAAUGGGAUGACUCUGAAUCUCUUAUUAAUAUUGUUUUUGACUUGAUCUUUCUAAUCACGUUAUUCAUACUAUUAGGACAUGCGAUAAAGUGAUUUUUAAAUGGGCAAUAUAUUUUUGUUUAUUAUGUUUUACAGUUUUAGGUUAUUUUUAUUUUUUUAAAGGGCCAACCCGUCCUAACCCGUGGCUCGCUUAGGGUUGGGCUGAGCUGCAUUUUCAUUGGCCCUUUAGUUAAAAGGGUCAGCCCGUCCUAACCUAUUUAUCUCUCUAUCCCGUUAGGGUUGGGUUGGGUUGGGCUAGCCCAUAUUAACAGCUCUACCCUCAAUAGGUGUAACACCCCGUAUUCAAGUACAUGUAUUGGCGUAUUCAAGUACGUGUAUUGGUCUUAUUUAUAUGAAAUUAAUUUUUUAUUUUAUUUAUACCGGAAUUUGCCCGUCGAUGGUUCCAUACGAAGGUUAUUGAAUAAGCUUUCUAACGAUAUAAAUAUUUCCAAAAACGGAUAAGUUUCGAAUAUAAUCGAGCACGUUCGAAACUACAAAACGGUGGCCGGGAUAUGGUGAAUAGUAAAUGUGCAGGAAAAUUUCCUGCAUACAAACUACUGAGGCCUGCCAGUUUUUUGGGUCAACUUUGAAUGCUCAUAACUCCCUUAAUAUAAUGAACUGGGAGAGGUACGACCUAUCAAAAGAAAGAUCUUUGAGUCUUCUUUCCAAUUCAAUUGNNNNNNNNNNNNNNNNNNNNNNNNNNNNNNNNNNNNNNNNNNNNNNNNNNNNNNNNNNNNNNNNNNNNNNNNNNNNNNNNNNNNNNNNNNNNNNNNNNNNNNNNNNNNNNNNNNNNNNNNNUUUAUAUGAAAUGAAAUCCCUUUGAAUUAUGUUUCCAACGAUACCAAUCCAUCAUGGACAGAUUCGGAUUUACUUAAAAUUUUAAGGGCAAUAUGGUCAUUUUUCAUCACCUCAUGAACGAAAAUUGGUCAUUAUAUACAUAUAAUUAGUGUCAUAUCCAUCAAUUAUCAUCAAAUUAUUGAAAAUAAGAAACCCUAGCCUAAUUUCAACUCCAAUUAUCUUGUGAUUCAACCGUAGAAAAUCCAAAUUGAUUUCGUAGUUGUGUUCACCGUCUCGAGGGCUUCGAGAAGCACCCCUUAUUUGUGCCAACAGGACUUCGAAAUCAAAAGGGCCAUUUUAUGGUAAGGAUGUAAAUUAUGUUGGUGUUAUUUAUAUGGAUAUGUAUAUAUAUAUAUGCAUGUGAGCAUAAGAAGUAUGUUAUUUGAUUGUUGUUGAAAGAUGAUUGGGAAAUGAUGUUGGAUUAUGUUGAAUGGUGAAGGAAUUUGGUGUGAUGAUGUGGUAUUGAAAUGAUGAUUAUAUAUAUAUAUACACAUAAACCUAUUGUUCAAGUUGAUUUUUGGAAUGUUUUGCAAAUAUUGGUAGUAUGGAAUUAUGGAAGAGAAUUGUGGUGUUGGGUUGCUAAUACUAGAUGCCAAACAUUUCAUUGUAGAUAAGUGAUUUGUAAAGGCGGGAAGUUGUGUUGAAUUGGUAUCCGAAUCUACAACGAGGUAUGUAAAGCAUACUCUAACAAUGUUCUUUGGCAUGAAAACACCAAUGUUCCAUCAAGUAAGAUUCCGAGGUUGUCCAAAAACAUGUAUUGUUCUACGUUACCAACGAAGUUGUUUCCAUCCUAUAAAGUGUCAAAAUGUUUCAUUGAUAUACCAAAAGGCUCCUAUUUCAUUGUUGUGAUAUUGAUGAUUCUGAAACACAUUGUUGAUGUACCAAUGAGUCUUUAUUACAUCGUUAUUGUAUAGAAGGUCUAUUACUUGGUUCCUAUUGAUGUAUCAUUGUUUCAAAGUAUCAAAAAUGUGGUGGCGACCGAAAUAACAAUCUCAAAGAUUAAUUGAACUAAGUGAUGGAAGUUCUCUCUUAUCGGGUGGUAUCCCAGGGGCAUAAGCCUAGCAUGGGUCGAUCCCUAUUUAUGUGUUUAUGGGUGGUAUCCCAGGGGCAUAAGCCUAGCAUGGGUCGAUCCCAGUUGAUAUGUACUGGAGGCAGCCUAAUGGUCACAGUACAGUACAGUAAUGAUUACAAAGACGAUAAGAACGAAGGUAAAGUGAUUGAAUAAAUACAAUGUACAGGUUGUCACAAGUUCUAGUAAGUGUGGUCCACUCCUAUUACGACUUAUUCACUUGUUUCUGAUUUCUAUUGAGCUCCUAUAUCAUAUGUGAUUAUUUACAGCUUUACAUACUCAGUACAUAUUUCGUACUGACGUCCCUCACGGGGGACCUGCAUUUCAUGCUGCAGGCACAGGUACCUCAGCUCAUACACCGCACAAGUAGGAGCCAGGUCAUACAGCUAUUGUUGGUGAGCUCCAGUUUGCUUCGGAGCUUUCCGAGUCGGUUCCUUAUGUUUUGUUAUUGUACAUGAGUCAUGUGUGGGCGGGGGUUUGUCCCGACCCUAGUUAUGUCAUGUAUAUCCUAGAGGCUUUGUAGACAUAAGGAAGGGUAAAGUCAUGGAAGUUUAUAUAGUAACGUUAUAUUUGUAUAUGUGGUGGCCCCGACGGCCAAGUAUUAUAUAAAGUUAGUUAUAUGGCGGGGGGUGUCCCGACCUUAGUUAAACUCUGUGUAUUGUCUAGAGGCUUUGUAGACCUAAUGUACAGUCAAGGUGGUGUUUUGUUAAUAGACGUGAUGGCUCCAACGGCCAAGUAUUGUAUAUACAUAUAUAUUUGUGCGUGUUGUGCUGAUACAAGUAAUUAGACCCUUCUAUAUGCAACGAAGUGCUGUCCAAAUUUUUGGUGACAUAUAAGUGAAAGUACAGGUAUUUGAACGGGUUCUCCCGGGCCUUCUCGGCUUCGGGUGCCAGUCCGGCCCGAUGGAAUUUUGGGGCGUGACAAUAGGUCCAUGCAAUGCAACAGGAAAUCAAUGCCUUGGUAGCUAAUUACACAUGGGAGUUAACUCCUCUACCUGCUGGACAGGAUACUUUAGGUGCAAAAUGGAUUUACAAGAUUAAACACAAAGCCAAUGGAGAAGUAAACAAGUACAAAUCUAAACUAGCUAGUGGAUAAAAGCUACACUCAAGUGGGAACGGUAGAUGAUGAUCCCUUAUUAGAAGACACAAUUGCUUAUCAAAGACUAGUUGGAAAAUUGAUUUAUCUGACAAUCACAAGGCCAGACAUUUGUUUUGCUAUAUAAUUUCUUAGCCAGUUCAUGCAACAACCCAAGAGGUCUCACUGGGAUGCAUCUCUAAGAGUGGUAAGAUACAUCAAACAUUCACCUGGAUUACGGGUCUUUAUGAAAAAAGGAGCUGAGCUGAAGUUAAGAGCUUACUGUGACUCUGAUUGGGCAGCUUAUCCUAACACUAGAAGGUUAGUAAUAGGUUUUAUCAUUUAAUUUGGAGGUUCGUUGAUCUCAUGGAAGUCAAAGAAGUAGCACACUGUCAGUCGUAGCUCAGCAGAAUCAAAGUACAUAAGCAUGGCUUUAGCUGUCUCUGAAAUAAUCUGGCUAGUUGGCUUGUUGAAGGACACUAGAAUUCAGGUGCCUACUCUAGUAGAGUUGUUUUGUUAUAAUAAGGUUGCAAUUCAAAUAGCCUCAAAUCCUAUAUUUCAUUAACGCACUAAACACAUUGAGAUUGACUGUCAUUUUGUGAGAGAAAAGCUUCAAGCAGGACUGAUCAAACCAGCGCAUCUGUCUACUACCCUGCAACUAGCAGAUUUACUUACUAAAGGUCUUGGUGUGGCUAAACACCAUUUUAUCUUGUCCAAGCUUGAGUUUUUAGACAUAUUUCACCCUGUAGCUUGAGGGGGUGUAUUAAAAUGAUUAGUUUUAAUCUGUAAAUGAUGAUUAGUUGGUGUAUUUUAGCUAGCUAAUGUUAGUUAGUUAGUGGAGUCCAGCUGUCAUUAGUGCGGCAAAGAAUAGAUGAGUCGGUUACUUGUGUCUAUAUAUACAUAUCACAUGAUGCAGUUGUAAAAUAACAUAUACUUCAACACAACACUACAAAAUUCUCCUCUUCCUUUCUUAGCUCCUGUAGGUUCAUCAAUGGCGGACGUUUACUAUCUGCACUUCUAGAAUUCUCUCAAAUUUCAUAGUUAUCCAGGUGGGAAAUGGAUGAAAAAAAUCAUAUUUUAUAACACAUAUUUUCCAUUGCUUCGUGGUGAAAAAACCUCUGUCUCUAACUGUGUAUAUAUGAAUGAAGAAAUUAAAUAGAAAGAGGUGAAAGGAAAAUCUUACCAAGAACAAAUAAAAGAUACGCAGCUAACUAAAACUUUUGUUUCGUAUACAGAAAAUGGCCUAAAAUGCCCUUAAACUAUGUGAAAUGGUGCAAAAAUACUCUCCGUCUACCUGUUGCGCCUAAAAUGUCCUUCCUGUUUACCUAUUGGGCCUAAAAUGCCCUUUUUGUCUACCUAUUAGGGCUAUUUUGUCUUUUAUUAAAAAAAAAAUAUAAUACCAUAACUUAUCUUUAUUAAACUACAUAAAAUUUCUAUCAUUUUUAUUAAUAUUAACCAAAUAAAUAGCGCACAAUAUCAAUUUUUCGUCAUUCUAAAUUGAUCUGAUAAAUAAAAAGAAAAACAACAUAAAUAGCCAUUUUAAAAAAUUAUUACAUAUAUAUAUAGCCGUAUUAGUUGGUUGUCAGAUAUAGCAUAUAAACUAUUUAUAUAGCAUAUAAAAUAUUUACUUUUAUAACAGAUUCUAAUAUAUAGAAAAACAGUUAUAUAUUAAAUUUCCACAUUUCUUAUAAUACCUUAUUUUUAUGGAAGUCUUUGUUCAUUCAUUUUUUUAUAUGUUAUAUCAAAAUUUUAUGUUUUUUAUUUUUAUUGUUUGCUUUCAUGUUGCCUCCAUAAAAAUAUAUGGUAUAUUUAUAUAUUAUAUAAAUUAUAUUUAUAUCAUAAAAAUACAUGAUAUAUUUAUACCAUACAAAUUAUAUUUAUACCAUAUAAAUUAUAUUUAUACCAUAAGCAAAUAUUUUAUAUUUUAGAUAUAAAAAGUUUAUACCAUGUAAUACUGGAAAUAUAUAUUUAUAUUUAAUAAAUAAUUUUUUAAUAAGAAAAGUACUUCCGAAAAUAAAAAUAUAUGGUAUAUCUAUACUUCCAACAUAAUGAUUUUUAUUUCAUAAAUAUUUAUCCAUAAAAAAUUAUGGUUAACUCAUUUUAUUAGAAUUAAAAAUACGUGAUAAUGAAAUAAUACUAGAUUAUUAACAUACAUGAAAAUAAAAUGAAACAUACAUGAGCAAAUAAUGGAAUACUUAGUUCAUUUAAAAAUAUUUGAAUUUUGAAUAUAAGAGAGAGAAAUAUUUGAAAGCACGAAUUAUCUUUUCCACUUUUAAUUUAAAAAUUGAAAAUAUAUUUCUUAAAUUAAGGUGAAUUGAUAAUUAGUUAUAUCAUUAAAUUAGAAAUUAUAAUUAUCUUUUCUAAUUUUUUUAAAUGACGAUAUAUAUAAAAAUAAAAAUAUUUUUAUAAUAUUGAAAAGGUAUUAUUAUUUAUGUAAUUAAAUUUUAAAGAUGGCCUUUUCAUGUAAUUUGCCUAAAUAAAAGGGCAAAAUAGGUCAAUAGGUAGACGGAAAGGAAAUUUUAGGCUCAAUAGGUAGAUGAAGGAUAUUUUAGACCCAAUAGGUAGACGGAAAGGAUAUUUUAGGCCCAAUAGAUAGACGGCGGACAUUUUUGCACCAUUUUACACAGUUGAAAGGCAUUUUAAGCCCUUUUCCAUUUCACAUAAAUGUAAGAUUGGAAAUUAGGUAUUUACACUUGAUUUUUUAUUAGUUAUAUUCUUUCCCCAAAUAAUUAAGCAAGUUGUACUAACCCCGACUUGCUUGUUUUUGAAAUACUAGUUAAAUCGCACGUGCCUCGCACGUGUAACUUUUGAUUAUUUAAAAUUAGAUAAUUUCGUCUAUUGCGAAGUUUUUAAUAAAGUGCAAAAAGUUUAAAUCACUUCUAAAAGAUCCUUUACACUUUAAUAUAAUAAUGUAAAAAUAACAUAUAUUUUUAUUGAAAGCUCAUAGAUAUUUUACCACCAAAAGUUUCAAGUGGUUAAUGAAUCAUCAAUUUUGUGUUUGUCAUGUGAUACCUCUUUUUCUUACUGCUAGAGGCUAAGAGAGACGCAUCAAUUUGAACUAUAUUUGUAGUACGAUUAUUUUAUUUUCUUUUUCCUAUUUUAAAAAUAUCUCCUUAUUUUGAAAGUUAAAUCUUUAAAAAAUCUUUGAUUACUUAUUCUAACACUUUCAUAUUUAUUUCUUGAUUUUUUGAAUCUUCUUAAAAGUUGAUUUAGAAUUCUUAAACUAAUAAAAAAGGUAUUCGUUGUCAUUAAUUCUGAUGACUUUUAAUAAGAAAAUGGUUUUACUAUAAAUAUUUAAUUAAUUUUCAAAUCUUAAAUAUUAGAAAAAUAGUGAAAAGACUAUUUUGUCUAAAGUAAAAACUUUUAAUGAGGCGCAAAAUUUUUUGUAAAGCUCUUCACACUUUUAAUAUAUAUAUAUAUAUAUAUAUAUAUAUAUUGCACGUUUAUCCUUAAUUAUUUAAUAUAAAACUCGAAUUUCCAACGAUAGAUAUUUGCUUGGUGAUGAAAUCAUACCGCAACUAAAUAUCAUUAUAUAUUUCAAACAUACAAAUAUAUUAUAGCAGUAUCAAGAAACAAAAUAUAAUAUCACAAAUGAUAAGAUACUUAUGCAAGUUUUUUUCAUCCUACAAAGCACAAAAUAUAAAAAGUUUAUUAACAGAUAUAUAAUCGUAGCUAAGACAGUGUUUAUAUACAAAGCUCAAUAAUUUCUCGCUAUGUUCCUAUUAUAACAUAAAGGCAAGUCAAAUUUGAGCAUUGCAAGUUCUUAUUCUUCCAAAUCAAGUAGAUUUGGUCAACAUUUCGAGUGACUCGUGCUUUAUAAUCUCUUAAUCUUCAUCUACUUCCGAAUCCUUUCAGCUUCACCCCUCGCACUAUGACAUAUAACCUGCAAAUUGCAUAUGAAUUUAAGAAAAAAAAAUAAUAGUAUAUGACAGACUUUGUCAAUGCCAUUUCAAUUUCUAACGUGUAAUAAAAAAAUAGUAAAGAUAACAUAAUUUUUUAAGAGUACACGAUAAUAAUUUAUUAUUGUAAAUAUUAAAAACAAACUAUAAUUUAAAAACUUACCUCAAAUCAAUUUGAUUUACCAAUUAAUAAUUAAUAAUUAUACGAUAUUUAGUACGAUCAAACUAAUAUAUCUUUUCAUGAAAACAAACGUCUCUAUUAAUAAAUGUCUUCAAAAAUACAUGAUAUAGUAGAUCAUAUUGUUAUGUAAAGACUUAAAUUCUUCUGAAAGACCCAUCAGUAUGAAAUCUAGAAGGCAUGACCUAAAGAUAAAUUUCUCAACAUAUGCAAAAUAUUUUCUUAUACUUCUAAUGAUCACACUUAUACAUGUUUUAACUUUUAAUUGAUAUAACAUAUUUCAUUUGAAAUGUUUUGCUAGAAAGGAAACAAAAAAUCUCAACAUUUCGACCCAGUUGUGAGCUAAUCGUAAAAUAGUAUUGAUAAUAUAAUCUCAAGAAUAGCCUUUUUCAAAAGGUAAAAAAUUAUCUAUACCCGGUGUUUACAUCAAACCAAUACAUACAUGUCAUGUGUUUAAAUUUAGAGUACAUUUUACUUAACCAUAAUUAAUUAGCUUGUAUUUUAUAUUAUUAAAUUAUUUAAUCAUUAUAAAUUAUAUUAAUUUAAUGUAAACUCUAAGUGUGGACAUAUUUUUACCUUUUCAAAAUAGUUUCAAAAAUUUUAUUGAAUAUUUCAGAAUAAAGAGAACAUAUGAAUGCAUAUAUAUGGAUCAAUUUGGAAGUAGAAGAGAACAAACCUCAUGAGGUAGACAUCUAUAAUCAUUAGUCUCAUAGUCCAUUCCCCCCUCAAUACUCCGGCAAGCAUCUACUAUCACCCAAGCAAAUUCCCCUCAAAAUGUCUCAAACUUCAUGUUAUUCCUGUCAACUGUUCGAUUGGUGCUUUCCCAAAAAUCAUCUAAAAAACAUAGUCAAAUCAAACAAUGAUCGAUCUAGGUUCUUCACUAAAGAAAGAAAAAAAUAUAAAUAAAAUAUGCACAAAUUAAACAAAUUUAGUUUUUAAUUAUGAGAAAAAAAGUCAGUCAAAAGAUGAACAAUAAAAUUGACCCUAAUAACUAAGAGUUUAAAAUCAAACUAACUUAUUAUCAGGAAAAACCUAUUAUAAAUUUAUUUAAAUUCUUUUCUUAAAAAAAUAACAUUUCAAAUUUUUAUUUUUAUUUUUAUUUUUAAAAGAAAACUAUGCUAUAUACUCUAUUCUCACACACCCAAUCUUUCCCUUUCUUCUAAAUAUAUUAGAGGAAUAGAAAGCCAAGACUUAGGGAAUGAAGAGAAAGCCAAGAAGAAUAUUAAAAAGGUUAAGUGUAGGUUAAGGAAUACCUAAUUUUGCUAAUGUUUUUCAAACAAUGAGGAAGUUCAUAGACAAAUUGGCUGUCAAUUUGCUUAGUUGUUGUAUCUGAAGUGCUUAAACCUUGUAUUGAUGAAAUCACAUAAUAUUCAAUGGUGAAUUUAAAAUUUUCACUAAGGAGGUUUGAAAACUAAAAAUAUAGUGAUUGAGAUAUGAACUUGAACUUAAAGGUGAAUAUUGAACCUCCUCAAUUACUGACCCAACCUCUAAUCUUACAUUCUAAAGGUUCAAAAUCAAUAAAUACACAUAGAAAUUAAAAAAAAAAAAUCUAUUGAAUACGUGCCAUGAACCUAGCCAAAAAUUUAUUGGACAACAUUUCAAUAAUUUCAAUCAAAUAAUCACAAAAUAGAAACAAAUUAAAUCAGAAGAUGAAAAAAAAAUUCACAACAAUUGAAAUAUAAAAACAAUUAAAAUAGUACAUGAAAAUUAGUUUCUUACUUCAUUACUUAAUACUUUUUCUAUGAAAUCAAGAGACACUAAUAAUGCCACGAAGAAAAUUUAUUAUCAUAUAUUGACCAUGAGAAAAAAAAAAAAAACACAAACGAUUAUUAUGACCAUUACGGUAUUAUAUUGAAAGUCCAAAAUAUAACACUAUCAAUUAGGAUUUCUAUUUAAAAUAUACAAUUAAUUUCUUUUCAUAAUUUUAUUUUACAAGGUUGUUCUCAUAUAUUGUAGGAGUCCUUACUCUUUUUAUUUUAGUUGUAAUAUUUAAUUCAAAUAAGGAAAGAAUUUGUAUAAAACAUAAGUUUAAAUUGAAAAAAAUCCUAUUCAAGUAAGGAAAGAAAUUCUAAAUUGAUUAAAAUUCUAAAAUUCAGAAUUAAUUUAUAUAAGGAAAAAAUUUUAAACUAAAAUUUAUUAGGACAAGAAUUUAAAUAAAAAUUCAUUUGAUAUAAAUAAGUUUCCCAACAUACCCUAAUUUUUUUUUUAUGGGAGAAAAACAGAAAUCAAAGUAAAAAAUUCAAUUGAGUUAAAAGUGUUAAAUAAUGAUUUAUUUUUGGAACUAAAAUCAUAAUAAACGUACAAUAGUUUUUUCAAAACUUUAAGUGAGAUUUUAUUUUUCUUUUUUACUUAAAGUUUUCUAUUAAAUCAUUUUUUUGUUCUUUUAUCAUAUAUUUUAGGACUUUUUUCUUAUCAUAUAUUUCGAGACUUCUUUUCCACGUAUAAAAGGAAACAAAAAAUUUACUAAUAUUAAUUCUCUAUAUAUUUUUAUUUUAUCAUAUAAUAAUUUAGCACACCUUGCUUUUAAAUAUUAAAAGAAUAAUUAUAUAAUAAUUUAAGAAAAAUAGUGAAAAAAUAAUUUUAUCUAUUGCAUAGUGUUUUAAGGAAGGACAAAAAGUUCAAAUCAAGGCCUUCACAUUUUUAAUAUAUUAUAGAUUAUAGAUAUAGAUUUGUCAUCUUGCAAUAAUUUUUCUUCUCCACGUGAUAAGUUGGAAAUCAAUUGCACAUCGCUCCAAUUAGUGAAUAGAAUUAUUUUUGCAUUAAAUAUUACUACCUCCGUCCUAUUUUAUGUAUCAUUAUUUUUUUUAUUUGUUUCGAAACAAUAUCAUCUUUCCUUAUUUGAUAACUAUUUAAUGACAUAAUCUCUAUUUUAUUCUUAGUGGAUCCCACUUUAAAAGAAAAAACAAUAAAAAGUAAACUUUGAGGGUGUUUGGAAGAGAUUAUAAGUUGGUCAAUGGAAGAGAUUCUAAAAGUGAUUUUGACCUUUUAGAAGUGUUUGACAAUUUUGAAAAUUGCUUAAAAAAAGUCACUUUUAACUUUAAAAAAGUUAAAAAAAGAAGAAGUUGGUAUUUCCUACUUAUUUUUUCUAACUUAUAAUCUAUUUACAAUUGACCAAGUAAAUGACUUUUUUGCCCUUAUAAUUUUCGCUUAUUCCAAAACUGUCCUCUUGUUGCAAUUUUGGAAUAAGUAUACAGCUAAAAAGGCAAAAUUACAAAAUUAGUAUACAACUAGAAAGCCAAAAAUAGCUUAUAUUUCAAAAUUGCACACUUUUAUUACUCGCAAAAAUAACCAAUCGAUGCCUCUCAAUCUUCACAUUUCUCUUGCCCAUCUUUACUGAUUUCAAACUCCAAUUUACACAAAUACUUAUAACGUUUGGAUAGAUGUGUCAUUUUCUACUACUAUUAUAUAAUGUCAAAUAUAAAAUAUUUCAUCCUUCUUAUAUCAUGAUAAAUUCAACAAUGCAAUAUAAGAAAAUUAAAAUAAUAUUUGAAAUAAAUAUUAUUAACAUAACAAUGAAGAAACAUAUUAUCUUUUAAUUGCACCUUAAUGAUACGAAAUCUUAACAUAACCAUGAAGAAACAAAUAAUCUUUUAAUAUAUAACUAUCUUUUUCAAACACAAAUAUUCAACACUUAAACUCUUAAAAAAAAAGGUUUUUUAGCGUACAAAUUAAUAGUCAUUCAUGAAAAUAUUUUUAAAAUAUAUAUAUUAAUUUUAAUUUAAAUUAUUUUAGCAAUAAAAAUUAAUAAUAAUCAACUCUAUAUAUUAUUAACAGCUAUAAGGGUAUUUUAGAUAUUUUGACCAAAAAAAGUGCUUAAAAGCAUUAUUUACCAAACACAUCAAUAACUUUUUUUCAGUUUCAGCACUUUUAUCCAAACACUUUUUAAGUGAAAUUAAUUCCCCUGGACUUUUUUAAAGUGAAAUUAAUUGCCCCUGGGACUUUUUUAAAGUGGAAUUAAUUGCCCCCCUCCCCCCGCAAAGUUAUACUCAGUUUUAACGUCGGAAGUAUAGUACACGCGCUUUGUCUUCUCCAUUUUAUCACUUUUCAACAUUUUUUCACCAUUAUAACCAUAUUAAAGAUUCCACAACUCAAAUUCCUUCUACAAAUCAAAUUCCAAAUGAUUUCAUUGAGUCAAUUACAAAUUUCAAGUCCAAAAAAUUGGAAAUUCAAAUUUCAAUUUUUGACUAUUGAACACAACCUGUGGCACAUUGAACGCAAUGAAACUGGAAAUUGGAAACUGGAAAUUGAAUUUGAAUUCAAGUAUGAAAUUGAAUUUGAAUUUGAAAUUAUUCAAAGUUUCAAAUUGAAAACUUUCUUCAAGAAUUAUUCAAAUUUGUUUCUAGUUUCGACGAAUAAUUUUUUUCCCUCUCUUGGUGAAUUUUUUAUUUUUAUUUUUUCCCUUAGUUGGUGGCUGAACAAUGUUGGUUGGUUGGUGGUGGCAAUGGUGGGUUAAAUUUUGUCAUUUUGAUGGAAUUGAAGAUGACCCAUUUGGGGUGUGUGUUGAAAUUGAAUUAAAUUGAUGUAAUUGAAUUGGGUGUGUUGAAUAUGACUCAUUUGGGUGUGUAUGUAUGUGAUGAAAUUGUGCUCAAUUUCAAUUCAACAAUAGAGCAAUCAUUGUUGAAGACUCAAUUGUUGGAGAGAUUAAAGAAAGAAGAUAGAAGAGAAGAGAGAAGAAAGAAAAAUAAAUAAAAAAUCUAAAAGUUUAAAAAAUUAGAAAAUUUGGGGGUUAUUUGGUAAAAAAAAUAGGAGUUUUUAACGUUUUUUAACAGUUUCACGCGCUCAAUGCGCGUGACUAACAUGUAAUGGACCAAGUGACAGAUAUAUGUCAUUAAAAUACGAAAAAAAAAGUCUGGGGGGUAAUAGGACCCCCGCAAAGUUCAGUAUACUCAACUGGUAAUCCGGUCAAACUUCAUGUAUUUUUGUGAGUAUUCUCCCUACUUUUAAAGAACUUUUUUUCAGCCUAUCCAACCGGGCUUUUUAAAAGGGACAGUUUUAUAAACUUUACAAAGUUAUCAUUUAUUUUUUAAAUUUCGUAUCUGGUCAAAUGGCGACACAUAAAAUAAGACGGGGGAGUAUGUGAAUUAAGUGUUUCUGAUACAACUAAAACGUGCCAAUGAUCUAUGGUGAUUAAUUGUUACCUCCUCUAGUUAUUAGGUACGAUCUAAAGGUGUCAAAUGGGUCGGGCCGGGCCAACCCGAAACUGGUCCUUCCAUUUUAAUCGGGUUGAGGGCCGGUUAAGGGCCGGUUUUGACGUUAACUAGGCCGGGCCGGGCCAAACAGUAAAAAAAUUAAAACCCACCCUAACCCGGCCCACUUAACCCAACCCGGUCAAAUCGAUCAAAACCCAGUCAAAUCCAUUUCAAAAAUAAAUAAAAAAUCCAAUAUACACUCCAAUAUACAAUAUAUAUUCUUAAAAAAAUAUAUAAACCGGGCCGGGCCAAACAGUAAAAAAAUUAAAACCCACCCUAACCCGGCCCACUUAACCCAACCCGGUCAAAUCGAUCAAAACCCAGUCAAAUCCAUUUCAAAAAUAAAUAAAAAAUCCAAUAUACACUCCAAUAUACAAUAUAUAUUCUUAAAAAAAUAUAUAAACAAUUACAUAUAUAUACGUACCAUUCAAUAUAUAAUUAUAUAUGACUAUAUGUACUACUUUAAAUAAAACAUAUGCUAUAAUAGUAUAAUAUAUAUAUAUACACACUACAAUAUAUAUAUAUAUACUAAUUUAUAAAACAUAUACACAUGUAUACGUUAAAUAUAUACUACUUUAGAAGAUAUAUACACAUAUAUAUGCACCAUUCAAUAUAUAUGUACUACUUUAAAUAAAAUAUAUACUACAAUAUACAUAUAUAUAUANNNNNNNNNNNNNNNNNNNNNNNNNNNNNNNNNNNNNNNNNNNNNNNNNNNNNNNNNNNNNNNNNNNNNNNNNNNNNNNNNNNNNNNNNNNNNNNNNNNNNNNNNNNNNNNNNNNNNNNNNNNNNNNNNNNNNNNNNNNNNNNNNNNNNNNNNNNNNNNNNNNNNNNNNNNNNNNNNNNNNNNNNNNNNNNNNNNNNNNNNNNNNNNNNNNNNNNNNNNNNNNNNNNNNNNNNNNNNNNNNNNNNNNNNNNNNNNNNNNNNNNNNNNNNNNNNNNNNNNNNNNNNNNNNNNNNNNNNNNNNNNNNNNNNNNNNNNNNNNNNNNNNNNNNNNNNNNNNNNNNNNNNNNNNNNNNNNNNNNNNNNNNNNNNNNNNNNNNNNNNNNNNNNNNNNNNNNNNNNNNNNNNNNNNNNNNNNNNNNNNNNNNNNNNNNNNNNNNNNNNNNNNNNNNNNNNNNNNNNNNNNNNNNNNNNNNNNNNNNNNNNNNNNNNNNNNNNNNNNNNNNNNNNNNNNNNNNNNNNNNNNNNNNNNNNNNNNNNNNNNNNNNNNNNNNNNNNNNNNNNNNNNNNNNNNNNNNNNNNNNNNNNNNNNNNNNNNNNNNNNNNNNNNNNNNNNNNNNNNNNNNNNNNNNNNNNNNNNNNNNNNNNNNNNNNNNNNNNNNNNNNNNNNNNNNNNNNNNNNNNNNNNNNNNNNNNNNNNNNNNNNNNNNNNNNNNNNNNNNNNNNNNNNNNNNNNNNNNNNNNNNNNNNNNNNNNNNNNNNNNNNNNNNNNNNNNNNNNNNNNNNNNNNNNNNNNNNNNNNNNNNNNNNNNNNNNNNNNNNNNNNNNNNNNNNNNNNNNNNNNNNNNNNNNNNNNNNNNNNNNNNNNNNNNNNNNNNNNNNNNNNNNNNNNNNNNNNNNNNNNNNNNNNNNNNNNNNNNNNNNNNNNNNNNNNNNNNNNNNNNNNNNNNNNNNNNNNNNNNNNNNNNNNNNNNNNNNNNNNNNNNNNNNNNNNNNNNNNNNNNNNNNNNNNNNNNNNNNNNNNNNNNNNNNNNNNNNNNNNNNNNNNNNNNNNNNNNNNNNNNNNNNNNNNNNNNNNNNNNNNNNNNNNNNNNNNNNNNNNNNNNNNNNNNNNNNNNNNNNNNNNNNNNNNNNNNNNNNNNNNNNNNNNNNNNNNNNNNNNNNNNNNNNNNNNNNNNNNNNNNNNNNNNNNNNNNNNNNNNNNNNNNNNNNNNNNNNNNNNNNNNNNNNNNNNNNNNNNNNNNNNNNNNNNNNNNNNNNNNNNNNNNNNNNNNNNNNNNNNNNNNNNNNNNNNNNNNNNNNNNNNNNNNNNNNNNNNNNNNNNNNNNNNNNNNNNNNNNNNNNNNNNNNNNNNNNNNNNNNNNNNNNNNNNNNNNNNNNNNNNNNNNNNNNNNNNNNNNNNNNNNNNNNNNNNNNNNNNNNNNNNNNNNNNNNNNNNNNNNNNNNNNNNNNNNNNNNNNNNNNNNNNNNNNNNNNNNNNNNNNNNNNNNNNNNNNNNNNNNNNNNNNNNNNNNNNNNNNNNNNNNNNNNNNNNNNNNNNNNNNNNNNNNNNNNNNNNNNNNNNNNNNNNNNNNNNNNNNNNNNNNNNNNNNNNNNNNNNNNNNNNNNNNNNNNNNNNNNNNNNNNNNNNNNNNNNNNNNNNNNNNNNNNNNNNNNNNNNNNNNNNNNNNNNNNNNNNNNNNNNNNNNNNNNNNNNNNNNNNNNNNNNNNNNNNNNNNNNNNNNNNNNNNNNNNNNNNNNNNNNNNNNNNNNNNNNNNNNNNNNNNNNNNNNNNNNNNNNNNNNNNNNNNNNNNNNNNNNNNNNNNNNNNNNNNNNNNNNNNNNNNNNNNNNNNNNNNNNNNNNNNNNNNNNNNNNNNNNNNNNNNNNNNNNNNNNNNNNNNNNNNNNNNNNNNNNNNNNNNNNNNNNNNNNNNNNNNNNNNNNNNNNNNNNNNNNNNNNNNNNNNNNNNNNNNNNNNNNNNNNNNNNNNNNNNNNNNNNNNNNNNNNNNNNNNNNNNNNNNNNNNNNNNNNNNNNNNNNNNNNNNNNNNNNNNNNNNNNNNNNNNNNNNNNNNNNNNNNNNNNNNNNNNNNNNNNNNNNNNNNNNNNNNNNNNNNNNNNNNNNNNNNNNNNNNNNNNNNNNNNNNNNNNNNNNNNNNNNNNNNNNNNNNNNNNNNNNNNNNNNNNNNNNNNNNNNNNNNNNNNNNNNNNNNNNNNNNNNNNNNNNNNNNNNNNNNNNNNNNNNNNNNNNNNNNNNNNNNNNNNNNNNNNNNNNNNNNNNNNNNNNNNNNNNNNNNNNNNNNNNNNNNNNNNNNNNNNNNNNNNNNNNNNNNNNNNNNNNNNNNNNNNNNNNNNNNNNNNNNNNNNNNNNNNNNNNNNNNNNNNNNNNNNNNNNNNNNNNNNNNNNNNNNNNNNNNNNNNNNNNNNNNNNNNNNNNNNNNNNNNNNNNNNNNNNNNNNNNNNNNNNNNNNNNNNNNNNNNNNNNNNNNNNNNNNNNNNNNNNNNNNNNNNNNNNNNNNNNNNNNNNNNNNNNNNNNNNNNNNNNNNNNNNNNNNNNNNNNNNNNNNNNNNNNNNNNNNNNNNNNNNNNNNNNNNNNNNNNNNNNNNNNNNNNNNNNNNNNNNNNNNNNNNNNNNNNNNNNNNNNNNNNNNNNNNNNNNNNNNNNNNNNNNNNNNNNNNNNNNNNNNNNNNNNNNNNNNNNNNNNNNNNNNNNNNNNNNNNNNNNNNNNNNNNNNNNNNNNNNNNNNNNNNNNNNNNNNNNNNNNNNNNNNNNNNNNNNNNNNNNNNNNNNNNNNNNNNNNNNNNNNNNNNNNNNNNNNNNNNNNNNNNNNNNNNNNNNNNNNNNNNNNNNNNNNNNNNNNNNNNNUUUUUAACAAUGUUGAUAAAUAAAAACAAUAUUGUGAAUGGAGUCUAAAAAUAUCAGACCGACAAGUAGUUCUAGGAAUACCAUUAAACAUAGGAUUAUAAAUUGCUUGUAUAUAACGAAUAAAGGCAUCAGAAGAAGGAAAACUAAAAGGCAAACAACCCACAACUACCUUUUUAGCUAUUUCUUCCAUGUCCCUCAAUUUAUUAUACUUAUUCGCUACGUGACCGGUUGCUGGGUCCAUUUUAGUUUGCGUUGACCCACCAACAUCCCCACCACCUUUUGCAAUAUUUAACUCUCUUUUGUGAUCUUCAGCUACAUGUCUCAUUAACGUACCCGUACCCCCUUGCUUGCCUCCACUUCUAUGCUUAUAUAUUUGUUGACAAAUAUUGCAUUGCACCUCAAUAUCUGAUAUACGUUCAAAAAAUUGNNNNNNNNNNNNNNNNNNNNNNNNNNNNNNNNNNNNNNNNNNNNNNNNNNNNNNNNNNNNNNNNNNNNNNNNNNNNNNNNNNNNCUGAGCUUCUACAUAAUCCAUAUCGUGAGCACCUAUACCUAUUUCUUCCUCAAAAGGUGUACCAAGCGGUACCGGAGGUGAAGGCACAGGGUAUAUCUACUAUUUGAACUACCUCUACAGCGAGUAAUUCUCUUUUUACUACCACUACCGCUUCCGGGACAAAAAAUUUUAACAUCUUUAGUAGCGAGGUUUCUUAAUUUAUCCAUAAUAUAAAUUAAAUUAAACUAAAAAUAUUCAAAAUACACAAAUAUAAUAAAAUUAAAUAUUAAACAAUUAAUACAAUAAAUAAAAAUUAAACGUAAGAGAUGGAACGACAAUACCAAAUUUUGGAAGUAUCCGAAGGUUGCGACUUUAGAAACUUCCGCUCGUACUUUGUAAACGAAAAAUUAAAAAAUUAAAGUGAACACUUUAAGAAAUUAAAUAUAUUGAAUAUUUGAGAAUUGAGAAUUGAGAUUUGAGAGAGAAUGAGAUUUGAGAGAGUGAAAAAUUGUGUGAAAAAUGAUUUAAAGUUGUAGGGUAUUUAUAGAUUUUUUUUUGAGAUUAAAAAAUAUUUUUUAAAGUUUUUUUUUUUUCUUAAUAAAUGGGCCCAAACUAGCCGUUUGGACCCAAAAACGGCUAUAUAGCCGUUGGGCCAACGGCUAGUUUGGCCCAAAAUCCAAAAUAUCUUUUUUUAAAAAAAAAAAAAAAAUUCUGGGCUGGGCCAGCCCGGUUAACCGGCGAGUCUGAACCGGGCUUGGUCCGGGCCGGGUUAGCCAGGCCCAUUUUAACAAAAUAACCGGCCCGGGACACAAAACCCUAAAGUCCUAGGGCUUACCGGGCCGGGUCAAACCGCGCUGGGUUAGGUAGUCGGGCCGGGUCGGACCGGAUCACUUGACACCCCUACCUUCAAUUGCUAGAAAUUUGUUUUCUUUUGUUUCUACUUGCUAGUGCAUUAAUUUUGGCAAGGUCAAAUGUACGUACAUGUAUAUAUAUAUAUGUGUGUAAGUUUGCCAGUGCAUUUUAAAAAAAUUAAAAUGUACGUACAUACGAUAACUUCGCUAAAAUCUUCAUCCAUCAUGUAUAGGGCUAUAGGCCAUACCAAGGCCUAAUAUAAGGGUAAGUCAAUAGCGAAUAAUCUUUUCUUCUUGCGGCCUCCUCGGCCUAUAUUUACGAAUAUAAAUAAAUCAAAUAAUUAAGUGGUCCUUGCACUUGCAGAUAAUUAAUAUUGAGCAAAGAGAUAGGUACGGUUAUGGAUAAAAAAGAGAUUAUAUCAAUUUAUGGCACAUGCAGAAAUUAAGUUAAUGUAUUCCUUCGCGCAAUAAAUACCGUCUGUAUCAACAUUAGAUAUUUGGACUUGAAGUUGCAAAAUUUUGUCCAAACAAAAGACAAAUUCUACAGUUCAUCAUAAUUUUUCCUGCAAUCAAUCGAUCUGUUUUGAGAUUUCCUUCAAUAUAGUGAGUUGUGAACCACUAAUACAAAGAGGACAUGCAUAUUUAUGUGUGCAUCCUGUUUUGAUGUGUAUAUCAAUUAAAGAAAAGGACAGCUUGAUGCACAAAAUAUCUGACAAUAAGAAUGUUGUUUGAGAGAUUGCCCAUGCAUUUUCAAAGAAGGGCCUUAUCCUUUUUGUCAAAUUUCAGUAGACCUAGAAUCACAUAUGAUAGAAGUCACUUUUUGGACAAGUAUGAGACCGUGCGUCAUUCAUCUUACUUGUUUUAUAUACACAUUGUAAGUUAAGAAUUGGAGAAACCCAUACCACAUCUCCUGUUUUCCUUAUACUUGACUUCUAACUUCCAUCAGUGUGAAGGAUGAGACCAUUGUUUAUUCUAAAAUAGGUUCAAUUAAAUUUGUACACGAGGUUUAGAGGGCACUUGGAUUGAAUUGAUGGAGAUGAAGAAAUUAAGAGACAACAAAUACUACAAACAAGAGAUGAGAGGUCAGAUAAAGCAAUUGGAUGUAUUUAAAUAAAUAAGAUCAAGUAUGUAAAGCUUAUUUAGCCUGAUUGGAUGGUAUCCUCAAUCGGACUUCAGGGAGAUUAUGUUAGUACAUUCUCCUUGCGAACGAGGACAUUUCAAAUAGGCAAUUUGUGGAUCACAAUUAGAAGGGCAAAAAUUUGGGUUCUUGGGAUCUGAUGUUCCUUCACAAAUGAAAGUUUCGUUAGCGCUGUAAUAAUUGCAUCCGUUAUUGCCAAAACAACAAUUGGUGCAUAUGGGGAUUUUCUGGACAUCCUUCCGAACGUGGGAAGCUUGCAUAGCCAAGAUUACCGCAUUCUUUAAUUUGGUAUACAAGCCUUGGCAUCAACAUGUUCCACCGUGCUUACAAGUAGAAACACUAAUCCUACAACAAAUAGAAGCUGUAUAUAUUAAGGAAAAACAUAACGUGUACUACUUGUGUAUGACAAUAAGUAAAAACAACAAAGAAAUAAUUAAAGAGUAAAAGGAGAAAGGAAAAUCUUAUAUACCAAGAACAAUAAGUAGGUAAGUAAGUUCACUAACUUCUUUCUGAACAGACAUUAUGGAUAAAUUAUUGUUUUGGGGGGUUAUUAAUUAGGAGUGUCUAUCCUCCACCUAUUUCUUUCAAACAAUGAACGAGAGGGAAAGGGAGGAGCUAACUAAAACUUCUUUCAAAUUUGAAAUAAAAGAAAAUAUCUGUGUGAAGGUACGUACGGUUGCUUCUUUAUUAGAGAGCUUAACACACUUGAACACAUAUUAUUUAAGUCCAAAAGGGCUCCAACGCCCAUAUUACAUAGAUUAGCAUGACACCGUUACGUUCAUGCUUUUAUUUUUCAUAUAGACGCCCAUGCGUAUUACGGAGAUUAGCAUGACACUGUUCAUGCUUUUACUUUUCAUACAGACAUAGUGAAUAGGCAAUAUUAGGAUCACAAUUCUUGGGGCAAGCUUUUGGGUGGUUGGGGUCAGACUCUCCCUCACAAAUGAAAGUCCCGUCAGCAUUGUAAUAGUUGCAACCCUUGAGGCCUGCACAACAAUUGGUGCAUAUGGGUUGUUCUGCACUUGCUUCGGAACGUGGACACUUUGAAUAGAAAAUUCUUGGAUCACAGUUCAGAGUGCAAGGUUUUGGGUUGUUGGGGUCAGACUCUCCUUCACAAAUGAAGGUCCCGUCAGCACUGUAAUAGUUGCAACCCUUACGACCUGCACAGCAAUUGGUGCAUAUGCGAUUUUCUGCGUUUCCUUCGGAACGUGGACACUUUGAAUAGAAAAUUCUUGGAUCACAGUUCAAAGUACAAGGUUUUGGGUUGUUGGGGUCAGACUCUCCUUCACAAAUGAAGGUCCCGUCAGCACUGUAAUAGUUGCAACCCUUACGACCUGCACAGCAAUUGGUGCAUAUGCGAUUUUCUGCGUUUCCUUCGGAACGUGGACACUUUGAAUAGAAAAUUCUUGGAUCACAGUUCAAAGUACAAGGUUUUGGGUUGUUGGGGUCAGACUCUCCUUCACAAAUGAAAGUCCCAUCAGCACUGUAAUAGUUGCAACCCUUACGGCCUGCACAACAAUUGGUGCAUAUGGGUUCUUUUGCGUUUCUUUGUGAACAAGCCUUGGCAUCAACAUGUAGAAGCAAUAUUCCUACA
Molecule: long non-coding RNA, 171362 nt
Filed under: Capsicum annuum
Lineage: Eukaryota; Viridiplantae; Streptophyta; Magnoliopsida; Solanales; Solanaceae
Description: long non-coding RNA (CANN_LNC004237)
Source: RNAcentral